RNAcentral lists this long non-coding RNA (103488 nucleotides) under Gossypium barbadense (sea-island cotton). RNAcentral's name for it is "long non-coding RNA (GBAR_LNC001820)". The stretch from base 23571 to 23714 matches the Rfam family "MIR7502 microRNA precursor family". Lineage: Eukaryota; Viridiplantae; Streptophyta; Magnoliopsida; Malvales; Malvaceae. The record is from RNAcentral.
GAGACAAUAAUUUUAAAAUUUAAACCGAUAAAUAAAAUAAAUAAACAAAGUGAAAUUAUUAUAGCGAUUCCAAAUGUGUAUUUAAAUAAAUCUUUAAAGAUAAAUAUUAAAUGAAAUUUUCUAAAAAAAAUAAAUAAAGAACUACACAUAUUGAAAUGAAAAGAAAACUUAAUUGAAUAGAAUUAAACUAACAAAGAUAAUUAAUAAAUAAAAAUAAAUUAAUGAAACUGACAUAAGGACCAAAACGCAAUGCGCAUGAAUGCACGAGGGCUAAAAAUGCCAAUGUUCCCAACCCCCAAAAAAAGCACUCAAGCGCGGACUAAAUUGGAGUGGCGCGCAAAGUUUAGGGCAAAAAUGAAAGAAAUGGAAUAGGCUUAAAUUAAAGGUGGUGCAAAUUGCCCUUUUAAGAUGGAAAUGCGCAAUUCCAGCCUAAUGGGCAGGUCAACAUGCCGGUUUCCACCCUCUUAAUUGCACCACUCUAAAUUUAAUAUAGCUUUUAUAAUACAUUUAUUUUAAAAGCUUGCAAAACCAUUUUUCUAAGCAAAAAACCCCCCAAAUUCCUAACCCUCUCAACUAAGGUUUCAAUCAAUAAACCUGUAGCAGCCGAAGCACCACCAGAUCCGGUGGCUGACAGUGCAGACGAUGGCCUAAACCUAUCAACGAUGGAGAACUUUCAGCCUUGAGAUCUCUGCAAGAUAAGGCUCUCCUCUCUCUUUUUCUUUAAACAAAUUUGAUUUCUUUCCUUUUAUUUGUUUUAUUUUUUGCAGUAGACAAAUCAAAGAAAACAGAAGCUAAAUCGAAAGAAAAACGGGAUUAAAAUCACCUUGUGGAGACUUUUUCUUUUCAAUGCUUUUUUUGUAUUGAUUUUUUUUGUUGUGUGUGUCUGUUUUCGUGUCCAACGAUUACAAAGAACAUAGGGCUUUUAUAUAGCCGAGAAUAAAAAUGAAAAUACAAAGAGUUUCUUUUUUUCUCUUUUUUUUUCUUGCUGCUGUCUUUGCUGUGCUGUUCUUGUCCUUUGUUUGUCUUCUUUUGCAGGUACGGAGGAGAACGUGGAGCACGUACAGAGGCUAUGCGCUGGCGUACGGAGGUAGCUGGCGAUCGGGGGCUGCUGGUGGCUCAGCUGCUGCGGCGCAAGGCGAACCUUAGGGUUCCUGAGGAUUGCUUGACCUUUGGGCCAAUCGGGCUGUAUUUUUGGGUCUAGGUUAAUGGGCCAUUGUAUUUGGUUUUGGGCCUAAACAAUGGGUUUGGGCUAUUGGAUUUUAAUUGGGUCUUGGGUUAUGCUGCUGGGUUUGGGGUUGUUUAAUAUUGUAAGUGGACUUGUGGACAUUGUAAUGAUUUGAACUGUAAAUGGACAUUAGAUGGCCGUUAAUUAUUUUUGUUUUUUCUUGGUUUAUUCUUGUGGUCUGGGCCCGGGCAUAAUUUGGGCCUUACACACUUCUCUUCUCUCUUCCAUAAAGCUAUGCAACAACAAAUAAAAAGGACUGUACAAAGCUUUUAAAGCUCAAAUUUUCAAUCUUUAUAAUUUAAUCCUUAGUUUUACUAAUCACUAAAUUAUCACUUUAUAAUUUCUUACUUUACUAACAUACAUUUAUUUACAUAUUCACUACAUUUAUUUUCUCUUCACUUUCUUAUGCUUUCUUUCACUUUCUCUCCUUCAACUGAUUGAUUUCUAUGGUAGAAAAUGAUCUAAUAACACUCUAACAUAUGAAAUUAAGCUAUGGUUUUAAAGUAGAACUCAAGGAAAAUUACUUUCUUUUUCUUUUCUUUUCUCUCUUUCCUUCUCCUUGCUGCCGUCCCGUGCUAAAAUAAUAUAAGAAAAUUCUACAAUUUUCUUUUCUUUCAAUUUCAUCCUUAUUUUCCACCCAUCAAUCAAAUUUCAACAAAUUUCAUCCUUAAUUACCAUAUUUCCCCCUCAACUUUACACUUCACUAGGUAAUCUCAUUAUUAUGUCUAAAAAUAUCAAUUAAAAUAGUAGCAUUGCAUUUAGGUCCUUUUCUCACAAUAUACUUUCCACUACUAUUCAAUUUAGCCCAUACUUAGAUUUUCCAACUCCACACAUCAAUACAUAUCCAUGUAACAUUCAAUAAAAUAUUUAUUCAAUUUCAACUCCUUUAAAAAAUGGUGAAUUUUCACUUUUAGUCCUUCAACUUUUACAAUUUUUUAAUUUACUACAUACUAAAUUUUCACUAUUGAUACUUUCUCUCCAAAUACUUAUUUCACUUUUAAAUUACUUAAUCCUUUCUGGAAUACUAAAAUUUUGGGUAUUACACCAUCAUAAAACCAUUUAGUCUCGAAAUAGCUCGUCAUGCAUCAUGAAAGAAUGCAUAUCCGAUAAAAUCAUAGUUCUUCCCCGAUCUACUCUUUCUCGACAGUAUGAAAACGUCCACCACUCUCCCAUGGUAUUGGAACAGUUUCCAUAACCAUAUCCAAUGCAUCCUAGCCGAAAGGUUAUUGACGAACACGGUCACUAUACCACGAACACAAUACAUGGUUGAGAUCACUGGCACUACUGAAUAUUUUGCAGGUGAAACGCAAGAGAAGCCAUACGAUAGAGGUAUGUCGGUGACCACGAUGAAAGUCCAGAGGAUGAUUCAGUCACGGUGGCUGCAGGUGGUGGGACAACCGAAGGAAAGCAAUGGUGAUGUUGGUCGGCAGCUGCAGGACGCACGGCGCUAGUGAGUGGUGGUGGCUAAAGGUUCCAAGUUGAGUGCUUUAAGUUCAUGUUAGAUUAAUUGCUUAAUGAAUUAUCUCGCUUGAUAAUAACUAUAAAAUUGCAAAGAUUUAUAAAAUAUGUAUAACUAUUUUGCUGGUUGUUUUGUUGUACAUUCAAUUUAAUUUGUGUUAGGAAUUGAAUUUUCAUUACUGAAUUUUAUGGAAUUGAAUUUUGUGUUUAGUGUGCAUAUCACAGGUAGCUUUUUGUUUUUAAUAGUUAUGGGUACCUAUUUUUCUUAUGUUGUUUAUUGGCAUCUUCGUACCUAAGUUUUUGAUCCAAUCCUUACUCCUUAAUUUUCCUUUUGGAGUAAUUGGUUGCCAUGUUACAGCAUGUUCUCAUGGAUUGAACUUCUUUAAUUUAUUGAAGCUUCCUAGGAUUGAGGUUGAUGGUGGGAGCACUGACAUGUGACAACUUCUUGUGGGAAACAGAUGAGAAACGAGGUUUUUUUUUUUUUUCUAGCUUAAGUCAACCAAUAUAUAUACUAUUUACUCGCAUGGGAAUGUUUUAAGGUGCUAACUAUUGAUUAUAUGUGAAAAGAAAAAAACUAUAGAUUAUGUAUUGUGAAUUUGCCAUUGUGUUUAGUAAUUUUAUUUUGUGUCUUACUAACAGGAAAUAUUCGAGUUUUUAUACAUAUUAUUACUGUUUAUAGUAUGACUUUACGGUUCAUGACUUGACUUUACUACUUUUAGGACUGACAUUUUGAGCGGACUGACAUUCUGAGUUGACUUUAGGCAUGUUGAACACGUGUUUUAUUUUAGAUAGGCUGUCAAACCACGUGGUCUCCCUUCUAUGAGCUUCCUGGAUACAUGCGAACUGAGAUUGCGACCUCCCCUCAGUUCGUGCGAACUAUCCUUGUGAGCUAGACUUGCAAACUCCCCUUAUUGUCCUCUGUUCGGGUCAUACUCAAUUUUCUGGUGGAACCUAUCUGCAUCGCGGGUAGGUGACGUGGAUCCUACUUGAUAUUCGGAUUAGUGAUCACCGAUGUAUAAUACAUAGUAUAUUUUAUCAUGGGAAAGUGGUCUGAUCUUUUUUAUCUUCUUAACGUGGGAUUGGAUCAAAUCAAAUGAAUAUCUUCAACCACAAUAUAAAAGAAAAUCGAAACCAACAUCUUCAGUUCAUCAACAGAAUCCAAAAUUUUCCCAGUAUCUUUAUAUAUCAUAACCAGAAAGAACACUUCCAACUCAUUCAAGAAGUUCUCUAUAUCGUCUAACAUAUUGGAUUUUGGCUUGUUAAAAUGUUGAAGCACUUCUCAAUGUCUAUGUUUCUUCCAUUGAUUGCCAUUCUCAUCUUUGAUCGUGUGAAUGAUAUUCCUAAUUCUUCGUUUGUUGGCAGUGAGAUGAAAGUAUCUGGUGUUCCUCUUACCAUCCAUAAUCCAAUCCAAUUUGUAAUGAAAAUUCAUGCAAAAUGUAUAUUAAUUAAAAACUUCUGCUAAAAUCAGAUGAAGCUUUGAAAGAGUAAAAUUGAAGUUCAAAUCUCAUAAAAUAUAAACCUUUUUUCUUUUGUCUUGAGGCUUUUCAUCUACUGCCUUAACCCUUCUCCAUUGUGGCCAUUGGCAAGGACAGCUGCAUGGGUUAACUUGUGAUAUUAGCUUAGUAAAAGUUUUAUGUAUUAUAUAUAUUAAUUUUUUUUAUAAUUCAUAAAAUUAACUCAAUCAAAUAUUUUAGAUAUAACAUAGUAUACUAUAGUACAUAUAUAUCAAUUUUUUGUAUAAAAAAAACCAAACAUCACACAAAAAAAAUUUGCAAAUAUUAAGAUACAAUUUCUUUUAUACGUUGGAUGUCGCCUCUUAAGAGUGAUUAUAUGAACCAACUAAAUUAAUUAUCGGACUCUAUAUAUAUAAAUAUCAAUUUUGUUUCUUCAUUUUCUUCUUGUUUUCCUUUUCACCAACUUUGCCCACCACACUCCCAAAAAAAGGCUUAAUUCGAUCCCAGUUUUUUGCCACCAGCAUAGGAAAUGUUGUACCCAUCAUAACACCUGCAAUAAUGCAACAUCAACAACCAAACAAAAAUUCUAACAUUUUGAAUUCAUUAACAAUAUAUAUUUAUAUACUUCAAUGAAGUAAGAAAAAUUCUAGUCAUUUCAUGUUUAAGAUCAAAAUCAUUUUGAAGUUAAACCAAUUUAAGUUGGAAUCAAACCAGGUUGGGCAUAUAUUUACCUCUACAAUGCGUUGGCAGAUCAAAGAAGGUUCCGGUAUAGGAGAAAAGCAAAAGAAAGGCAACCGUUUGUGGAAAUACAGACCAACAAUUCCCCUCAACAUCAGUCACAUAAAGUACCCAUCUUAUCACUUUAUCAGUCACUUCCCAACAAGCAUUUGCAGUUUCCAUGGCAACCUGUUCUCGCAGUUUUUCCAAUCUCAAUUUGGUUGCUUCUUCCCUAAUUAAAUCAAAGUAGUGAUGAUGAAGAGGAGGAUGAAACAAAAUUGGGAUUUAAUUAAUUGAAACUUUAGAAAUAUUGGAGAUUACUUACCGAUCAAGAAACCGAUUCACAUAUCUCCAAAUGAACAAUGCAGUGAUAGCAAAAAUGGCUACCCAUGAAACAAUAGUGAGGAAGUUGUAUUCGUAAACUUGUUGUAAUAGCCAUGUUGCAGCUGAGCUUGCAAAAAGUGAUCCACUUAUCUUCUUUCUCUUCCAUAAAGCUAUGUCGUUUACAAGCUCUGCAACAACAACAACAAAAAGAAAAGGUCGUAGAAAGCUUUCAAAGGUCAAUUUUGAUUUUGGUAAGCUAACAUAUGAAAUUUAAUUCUAACAAUAACUUAACAUAAUUUAAUCCUCUAAUUUUUGGUCGACAACCAUGUUUGUGGUGUGUGAACUGAUAGUGAUUUGCUCCUCCUAAUACAAAUACCAAAAUCAGAACCAAAAGGAGUAUAUCAGGAACUGACCUGCAGGCUGGGAAUUAACAAUUUUCUCAAAUGAAGCUUUGGAUCGAAUCAAAUCAAGAAAAAUGCCACCAGUAUUUUUAGCACCCGAAUGAAGAUCUUCAACCGCAAUAGAAAAGAAAAUCAUAACCAACAUCUUCAAUUCAUCCAUUGAAUCCAGAAUUUUCCUAGUAUCUUCAUAUAUCAUAACCGGAAAAAAUACAUCUAACAUCGUCCGAAUCGAAUUAUCCACUUCAAUCAGCUCUUUGGCAAACUUAUACUUCUUGGCGUAGCUCCAUGAACUCACCCUAUUUGAUUUAUCAACUAUUUCCUUAGCUCGAGUCAAAUGAUUCAACAGCCUCUCGAUCUCAUGCGAAUCAGUGGACCGACUUAUCUCCAUCACCCUCGGCGUAACCCAAUUCACCGUGUCGUUGAGAUGAUCGAGGAGUGGCUUGAAUCUUUUUUCCGUCCUCUUUGCUCUCUUUAUGGAAUCUAGUAAUAAGUUUAUUAUGUUUGAUAGAGCAACUCCUGGGACAACGUUCAUCAGUUGAGGAAACAUCAUGAACUAGUAUUGUUUUUGUUUUUUUUUUUUUAAAAUUGACGUGAACGUAAAAGGUGUACAAUAUAUAUAUUCAUGAACUCCAUUUUAUGAACUUUGUUUCUUGGAAUCUGCUUUGUUCAUCACUAGAAACUGAUGAUUUUAUGUAUAAUUUGACCGGGUUCUGAUAAAAUUAUUUCAUUUUGUAUCUGCUAGGAAACCUUCUCCUUUAUAUUUAAUUCCAACUUUCAGAUAGUUUAGCUUCAACAAAUCUUAUGAAAAUGGCAGAAAGCAACCUCUGUAUAUAUAUAUUGUAGCAAUAUAUGUGAACAAAAUGAUUAGUCAACUAAGCAUGAGUCAUCCUCCUCUUUUAUUAAAAUUUUCUGAAACUAAUGAAACUUUUCCUGGUUUGAUAUGUUUUGGUUUAUUUGUAUUCUUAGAAACUUUGAUUUCCUUCGCUUCGAUUUAUUUUUCUGAAUUAAUUAAUAUAUAAUUUUGUUAACAAAGCUUGUAUGGAAUAUGGUUUCUGUUUGAAACACUUGCUUUAUUAAGAAAAAUAAUAAUUUUUUUAUUAUUUAAUUGGAAUUUGGACUGACUUGACAAUAAACUAUUGCAAGUUGAUAUUGAAGGUAGUAAAAUCAUUUAAUUAAUUUAAAAUUUAGAAAUCGGUUGAGUUUUAAUUUGAUUAGUAUUAGUAUUGUUGUCAGUGUAAAGAGGAGGUGCUGAAGUUUAUUAUCCUCCUAUUUAAGAAUUUGGAGAGAGAUUAUAGAUCAUUUUAGACAUUGUAUAAAAAAACAGAUAUAAUAAGAACUUAUAACGACGAGAUAACAAUAUUUCAAAUUUUCUAUAAAAUUUUAAAAAAAAUUCAUCACUUGUGUAUUAAAUAAUAAUGUAUAUAAAUAAAGAAGAUUAUAUACAGAAAGAGCCAAAGUAAUAUAAAAUUUCAAGUCAAACUCCUAACUAACAACAACUUGAAAUUAAAGGACCAUUAAUAUAAUUUAUGUUUUUUUUUGGGUAUACUAUUAUGGCAAUUAUCAAAGCUGUAUCAAUAUCGUCAAACUAAUAAAAAAAACUAUAUAUAUAUAUAUAUAUAUAUAUUCGUACAUCAAAAACCAUAUUAAAUCUUAUUAAAAUGAUAAAAAUUAAAUUAUGACAGUGCAUGAUGUGGGCAGUGGCAGGGUGUAGUGUAGACGCAUGGUCCUCAUUGUAAAAUUUUAAUUUACAUCUUUUAUAAUUUAUACAAUUAUAAAUUAAUGGUAAAAUUGUAUUUUAGUCCCCUCAAAAUUAUAAAAAUUUUGAUUUAUCCCUUUAAAAAUUAUAAAGAUAUAAAUUAUUAAAGUGAUAAAAUUACUUUUUUAUUAUCAUAAAAAUUCAGGCUCCGUCAAUGAAUGUGGGUAAAAAAGUUAUGCCUAAAAGCAAAUGAGAUUUUGGUUGAAAUGAUGAAAUCUAUAAUGUCUUAGAUUUAAAUUUGUGGAUAAUUCUUAAGUUUAAAUUGGGGGAGAAUGUCUAAAAUUAUACAUGAACUUUGGUGCAAUAUGUAAUUAGACCUAUUUAUGGGCCGGACUACCUACCCAAAGUUUGGGAGGGUUUGAAUAAAAAUAUUAGGCCUAAAAAAUAGGUUUGGGUAAAAAAAUUAGGCCCCUUUUAAAAUAUGGAUCAGGCUCGAGCUUGAACAUUUAAGGCUUGAGCCCAACCUGACCCGACUCAACCUGUUUUUAAAUUUAUAAUACUUUAUAUUAUGUUAUUUUUAUAUAUUAUGUAAUUUGUAACACAUUAAAAAAAUAAACCUGUACUAAAGAUAUAAUUCUAUUCUAAUGUACAUAUUAAAAUAAUGUUAAGAAGACUAUAUAACAAUUUUCAAUUAAUAAAAAAAUAAAAUUAUGUAUAUUAAAAUAAAAUAAAUCUUUUUAAAAAAUAUUUAAAAUAUAAUAUGGGCAGGCCUAAAAUGACUUGGGUUAGUCUUUUGCAAAUAUGAGUGAGUUUGCGCAAAAUUUUAAACCAAUAUUUUGGGUCGGGCUGGGCUAAACAAACAUAAAGUAUGUUAAUAUCAUGUUUAGAUCUGGCCCAUGAGCACCUCUAUAUGAAAUGCUAUACACAAACUAUAAUUUUAUGCAAUUUUAUAUAUUAACUUAAUGUUAACUUAAUUCAAUUUUCACAAAUCACCAACAUAAUUAUCAAUAUAACAUCUUUUACAUUAACCUACCACAUUCACAAAUAAUUAUAUUUAUUCAAUAUAAAAAUAAGUUAACGUAUUUAUUUCUUCAAAUGUGUACAAUAAAGUCAAAAUCAAAUUUCCAUACCUACAUUUGAAUAGCAAUUAAAGUUUCAUUAAUAUAAUUGCAUCAAAGUUUUUAUAUUUAUCCUUUAAAUUGAUUUUUAUAAAUUUUAUAUAUAAUAUAAAAAGGCAAAAACACUUUGUGACUAUUGAGAGAGGUAUCCAUAGACCUCAAAAAGAUUCAUUUUCAUGGACCUUAGAACGAACAUGAAGGACACAUUGACCAUGGAAAAAAAUAUCAAAUCACUUUUUUUUUAUGAGUUACUAUAAUGACUCUACAAUGCUUAGAACAAGUUUUCAAUUAAAAUUAUGUGAGAGAAUAUUGCUAAUGAAACCUUAUUAAUGAAAUAUUUUUUAAUUUUUCAUGCUUCAAAUAUGUCAUUAAAGAACCAGGUAUUAAAUAAAUAAAUAAUUAUUAGAUUUAUUUCAUUCCCUGAAACGAAUAUAGUAUAUUUAACAUAAAUAUAAUAAGUAAUUAUAUAAUAAUCGUAAAAGGAAUAAUCAUAUUAAUAGAUAAAUAAGAGAAGAAUGAUAAUUCUAAAAACAACCUUUUAAAUGCGUGAUUGAGAACAAUAACAUGCUUGAAAGUGAUAAGCUUAUGGUGUUCAACGACCUAUCAUCUUUGCUAGGAUGGGAAGCUGAUUGCACACAUCUUUUGUAAUCGAUCAUGUUAACUAUGGUUAUUACCUUUCUGAUGAACCCAAUUUCUCUAUUUUAAUUUAGCAUAAUUAAUUAGUUGUUUUAUUUUUAUAAUAUUAUUUGUAUAUUUAAAUUGAUAACACCAAAUGAUUGGUGUGAUUUAUUUUUGCACAGUAAUUAUUAAUAAUAUUAUUAAUUUUAACCUACUUAUAGCAUUAUAAAAAUAGAAGGAUGAAGUUCCACCAAAAUAAAAUAAAGGAAUUGAAUUUUGCAUUUCAACAUAAUUGAAGAACUAAAAAACUAUCAAAAAAUAAAUGAGAUGAGUGAAAUUUAAAAAUUUCAUCUUGAAUUUAUCAAAUAAUAAUCCAUAUGUUUGUUAUUUAGUCUAUUUUUAAUUUUUAGCACGAUGGAAUGUGAUAAAAACACAUCAUAGGUUUAUAUCGAAGCAACAAUAUGAUUUUAGUUAUUAUCGAUCCAACUAAAUUAAUACUUGAUUAAUUCAACCAAUGCUUUAAUAUAUAAAAUAGUAUAGAAAUAUGUCUUGAUAACCCACUGUAACAUUUUUUAAGAAGAAAAUAAUGUAAGUGUAGCUAAUUAAGGGUUCGUUUAACAUUACUUUUGAAAAAUAUUUUUAAAAAUUACUUUUUAAAAGUACUUUUGAGAAUUUUUUUGAAAAGUUUGGUCUAGAUAUAAGUGUUUAGUAUUACUAUCAAAAAGUACUUUUAAGAAAUAAAAUAUCCAUUUUAGACAUGGUAUUAUAAAGUAACAAAUAUGCAUUUAGAUAAUGUUUAAAUUAGUUAAUAUCAUGAUAUUUUAGUAAUAAUAUAAAAAUAAUUUAUUAUAACUUGUUAAUAUUUUAAUAUAUGAAAAUAUAAAUUUUAAAUAUUUUUAAACAAUUAAUAUUAAUUAUUUAUAAAAUUUAAUUCGAACAUAUAAACUAUAUUUUAAAUAUUUAAGUAUAACCAUUAAAUAUUUGUAAUUAGAUAUUAACACAUUUGCAUUAUUUUAAAAAAAUACUUUUUUAUUUUUAAUUAAUGAUUUUAAUACAUUUUUAUUAUUUUAUUUUAAAAUGUAAUUUGAAUAUAUAAUCCAUAUUAGAUAUUAACAUAACAAAGAAAAUAUAAACCUAACAAAUUAAAAUAGGCUUAAGGGUGUAAAAAGGCCUCAAACUUUUCAAAAAAAAAAAACAAUUAAGCCCCUCCUUUUUUUUUUUUGCACUCAAUUGAAUACUGGAACUUUCAAAAUGCAUCAAAAAGCCCUCAAACUUCUUCCAAAAAAGUAAUUAAGCCCCAGCUCUUUUUUUUCCCACUCAAUUGGAUACUUGAACUUUCAAAAUGCAUCAAAAAGACCCUUAAAUUUUUUCAAAAAUUCAAUUAAGCCCCUGCUCUUAUUAAAAAUUAGAAAAAAAGUAUAAAAAUAAUAAAUAAUAAAUUUUAGAAAAAAUUUAUUAAAUUUUAAUAAAAAUAUAAAAAAUUAGAAAUUUGUUAAAAAUUAGGAUUUUUUUAUAAAAAUAUUAAAAAAUAAAAAAAAUGUAAAAUUUUAUAAAUAUCAUAAAAAAUUAAAAACCCCUAGUUCUUUUUCAAUUAAAGUCACCAUGUGUCGCAACAUAAUGUGUUAUGUGGUGAAAAAUGAUAAAAAAAAUCAAUAAAAGUUAUAAAAAAUUAUAAAAUACUUCUUUUAGUACGAUAUUUUUAUAAAAUGUUUUUACAAAAUUUAUAUUUCUUUAUAUUUUGUAUAAUUUUCUUACGACAUUAUAAAAUUUUAUAACUUUUUUUAUAUUUCUAUAUAUUUUAUAAUUUUUUACGAUUUUUAUAAAAUUUUAUAUUUUUUAUGAUUUUUAUAUAAAAUUUUCUAAUUUUUAAUAAAUUUUAAAUUUUUAUAUUUUUGUUAAAAUUUAUUAAUUUUUUCUAGUUUUUAACAAAAGCAGUGGCUUGAUUACUUUUUUUGAAAAAGAAUUGAGAGUCUUUUUGAUGCAUUUUGAAAGUUCAAAUAUCCAAAUGAGUGUAAAAAAAAAAGCAAGAAUUUAAUUACUUUUUCUAAAAAAGUUGAAGGGUUUUUUACGCCCUUAAGCCAAUUAAAAUAUUAUAUGUAUUUGAAUUAAAGUUUAAAAAAUAGGUAAUAUUUAUAUACUAAAUAUAAAUAUUAAAAAUUUUACAUUAACAUUUACAAGUACUCUUCCACUGCUACUUCACAAAUCAAAUUCUAUUCAAAGAAAGUGCUAUUACUUUAUUGUAUUUCAAUCUAUCCUAAAAUCAAAUCCAAAUUAGGAUGUCAUUAUACAAAUAUUCUCCACAAAAGUAGAUUGAAAAUGGUCCUAAAAUUGCAGGCAAUUUGUACAUAAAUCUACAUCACAAAAAUUAAAUCUACAAUCCAACAACAGAAUCAAUAUCAUUAAGAUGUUUCUUAGCAACUAAACAGAAAACCCAAAAAAAUCAAAGGAGAAAAAGAAGGCAGGCAAAAAGAGAUUAACCUGAAAUAGGGAAAAAAACGAGAGAAAGUUAAAUGGAGAGAUGAAAUGAUAGAUGGGAUUAGGGGAGUAGAAAGGGAUAGUGUGAGAGAGAGAGAGCAACAAAAACCCUUGGAGAAAAUGAAAGAAGGGAGAACCAGAGAAAAAAAAGGGAAAGUAUCGUUGGAUUAGAGAUGAAAAAGUAAUUAAGCACUAAAAAGUGUUUUGGGAGAAGAAAAACUAAAAAUUUUAGCAUCUCCAUUUGGUCAAAAGUAGUUUUAAAAAGCCAAAAAUCUCACAAAAAAGUUACAUUUUUAGCGAACUUUUCUCCCAAAAGUGAUUUUCAAGGCAAAAAUGCUUAUUCACGUCAAUACAAAACAAGUCCUUAGCCUUAGCAUGAUUAGUAUCGACAUUGCUGUCAGUGUAAGAAGACGUGGGUUUGAAUGUAUUAAACAGUAUUAUCCUCCUAUCUAAGGGUUGAUGAGAAACUAUAGGUAAUUUUACACAUUAUAUCAAAAAAAUAUUAAUAUUAAGAAAAAAUUCUUGUAAAUGUGAACACAUACCUACCUUUAAUUCUCUCAUUUCUACCCUCAUUUUCAUUCCAUUCUCUUACAUGAAUGCAUAUACAACACUCUUUUACCACACAUAAAACAAAUUACCACAUCUUUAAAUAAUCAAAUGCCAAUUCUCUCUUUUCAUACUUCUUUUUCAAGCUUUUGCCUCUCACCUAUGUUUUAAACCUGGAGAGAUUCCUUGAAUACAGAGUAGUAAAUUAACAGCUGUCAUAUUUUGAAGCUAGCAGAUCCCCUUUUAUCUAUAUAUAUAUAUGUCGUUGAAUAGAAGAAGGGGAAGAAUUUUGGGUUGGGAAGAAAGAGCUGAAACAAUGGGCAGAAAACCAUGUUGUCUCAAAGAGGGAGUUAAUAGAGGAGCAUGGUCUUUCAAGGAAGAUCAACUUUUAAGCAACUACAUUAAUCUCCAUGGUGAAGGACAAUGGAGAACUCUCCCUCAAAAAGCCGGUAUAUAUGUAAUAGCAAUCACUUUUUUAUUUCACUUCAUAACCUAUCUUCUUACUCUUGAAUGUGCUGGUUUUUAUGGCUGAAAAACCAGGUUUGAAUCGAUGUGGGAAGAGCUGUAGGCUACGAUGGAUGAAUUACUUGAAACCUGGUAUUAAGAGAGGUAACAUUUCUCCUGAUGAAGAAGACCUUAUCAUUAGACUUCAUCGUCUUCUUGGUAACAGGUAACUACUUUUUCAUUCUUUUUUUUUUUUAAUUUUAUAUUCUAGUCUAUUUCUGAUUUAAGUCCCUCUAUUAUCUUGAAAUUUAAGGCCCCUCCAGAAAUGGUUUUUAAUUUGUCUGCACUAGAAAUGGUAAAAUUUUAAAUUAAUUAAUAUAGUGAUAAAAUUACAUUUUAACACCUUCAAAAGUUUAUAACUUAAUAUUUCCCCCUCAAAAAAAAUUUUGAACGUCGCCUCUUAUCAUUAUCAAUUAACCAUUAAUUUACACUUUAAAGAUAGCAAUUAACAAUGUGUUAUCAAUUUGGAGCUACUAAUAACAUUAUAAAAGUAGAGGCAGAGGUGAAGGUAAAAAAUAAUUUUUUCUGGGGAGGUAUCAAGUUGUAAAUUUUGAUAAGAGUGAAAAUCAGGGGUGAAGUCAGAAAAUUUUUUUAGGGGCGAAUGAAAUUUUAAUUUUUAGUAGUCUAUAUGUUUAUAAUUUUUGAAGGAUUAAAUCAAAUUUUUAUAAUUUUAGGGGAGCCAAAGUAUAAUUUAACCUUUACUAAUUUAAAAUUCUAAAAAAUUUAAAGGGCCUAAAUAGUAAUUUUCCAUUUUAAGGGGGUCGGGGCCCCCUGCCAGCCCUUAGAUUCGCCUCUAGUUAAAAUUUAAUUUCGCCAUUGUAUUAGCUAAUAUCCUAGAUUCGCCUCUAGUUAAAAUGUAAUUUCACCAUUGUAUUAGGUAAUAUCUUUAUAAUUUUUUAAAAGACUAAAUUGAAUUCUUAUCACUUUUGGGGGUAAAGUGUAGUUUUAUUAUUACUAAUUUAUAGUUUUAUACAUUGUAAAGGGUAAAAAUGCAAUUUUCUAAUUUUUGGGGGUUAAGCCCUGCCUCUCCUCCCGCCACCUGAUGGAAUUAUAUCAAACAAAAUUAGAGAUUAAAUCUUAAAUUUUUCAACAUAGUAGAGGCACUAUAACUACAAUUAGACCUUUUAAUUUCUUGAAUUUUUUUUUUUAUAUAUUGGAAUUUUGCAGGUGGUCUUUGAUAGCCGGACGGCUCCCAGGACGAACAGACAACGAGAUCAAGAACUACUGGAACACCAUACUAUCAAAAAAGUUGAAUGCCGAUGUUUCAAAGAAAACAUCUGAAAGUGAAGACAUGAAAUCUAUCGAAAAAUAUUUAUCGGCCGGCAUUAUUACUCCGGUUGUACCAAAGGCCACUCGUUGCACUAGGAUUUUCUUCUCAUCUGACGAAGUUCAACACUUGAAGAACAACCAAUGCCCUCCUUUGUCAACCCCGACGGAUACCGAUGAUGGGUUAACGUUGGAAUCUUCCAAGGAUAACGAUGUUCCCGACAUGGAUAACGCUUUGGAUGACGUUGGUUUCUCACAAAAUGGGAUAGCGGACGUGUUUGAGAACAGUAACAUGCUCGAAAGAGAUGAGCUUGCACCAAUGUUUGAAACGAAGUUCAAUAAUGACUUAUCAUCUUUGCUUGAAUUCGAAGAUGAUUGGACAAAUUUUUUGUAGUCGAUUAAACUCUCCCUUACUCAUUCUAAAUGCUUACAAUUUCUAUUUUUGUCACUCCAAAAAAUUAAAUUUAUUAAAUUAGCCACUCCACUAUUAAAUAGUGGCGGAAGUCUAAUGAUGCAUUUUUAUAUUAGUUACUAAGUAAUAAACUAAGGUAUCUUUUAUAUAUAUAAAUACAAGUAAAAGUAUUAUGGAGAUGCUUGAUUUAAGAGUUGGAUUAUAUUUGUGUCUCCCUUACUAAAAAAAGACAAAUUAAAUUUUAUACAUUAAAUCAAAGAGUAAACUGAUUCUUCUGUUAAAAAUUUUAUCUAUUUCUACAAUUAAAAAUUGCCCUGUAUGUCAGCAUGAGGUACAUGUGGCAUGCGACGUGUAACUAUUUGGUUAUUUUGUUAGUCAAACUAGUUUAUAAUAGUAGAAACGGAUGAAUUUUUUGUGGACAUGAGUCUAAAGAGGUCCUACACGUUCUUAGAGAUUGCCCUGCUGCUAGAAGCAUUUGGGACAAAAUCGUUCUAGAUGGAACACUCUCAAGCUUUUACACCAAAUCUCUUUAGGAAUGGAUAACGGGCAACUUUCAGAUGCAUCAACAUUUUUCUUUGGUCAGGAUUGAUUAGCUGUCUUUUUUGGGAUCAUCUCUUGCCUCUUGGUGUAUUUAGAAAAACUGCAACCUGUUUUCCUUUCAAGGUAUUUCAUGGAGCACUGACAAAGUUCUUAAAGUUUCUCUUAGCUAGGCAAGACAAUAUACCUUCGCUUUUAAGUCAUUAACACAUAGAAUCCAAAGGUCUUUUGAUAGUUCACCUAUGGAAAAAAAAUUGGGUGUGCUUAAAUAUGGAUGGUUCAAUGAGAUAGGAUGAAGGAUUUGUUGCAGCAGGAAGCUUAGUGCAGGAUCAAAAUGGUAGAUGGAUCAUUGGGUUUAACAGAUACUUGGGAAAUUGUACAGUGACGGAGGCUAAACUUGGGUAUCUUGGAUGGGUUAAAACUUAUUUUAGAUAGAAUAUUUGAAAGAGUCUUAAUUCAAACAAACAGUCUAGAAGGCUACUACUACCAUUCAGGAACGUGCCUUUAGAAUCUCAAACUCAACACUCCUUAGAAGAAUUCAUCAUAUCCUGAAAAAGAUAAAGUAGUGGAAGAUUCAACAUAUCCCCUGGGAGGAAAACACAAUUACAGAUAGACUUAUCAAGAUGAUUCGUGAUAGAAAGUCAGGUUUAAGAUUGUUUGAGGAUCCUCCAUUGAAUGUCUAGUUUUUUUAGUCUAUAUCUUGUAUUUUUCACCAAUUUUUUUAUUAAAAUACCCUCUCAUUUACAAAUUAAAUUAUAUUUUAUGAAGGCAUUUUUAUCUUUUUUAUAUAAUAAAUCAAUAAAAAUUUGGUCAUAAUUUGAACCCAAAUCCCCAUGCUUGGUAAACAAUUAAUUUUACUAUUGUAACCAAAUCAUCAAUUAACUUUUAUAUAAAUUUUUAAUAAAUAUAUUUGUUACAUAUUUUUUACUUAUAUCGUGAGUGUAUCAUAAAUCUAAGAAUAAUAAUAAUAAUAAUAAAUUUUAAAAAUUAUUGUGUAUAAAUAAAAAUAAUAUAAAAUUAAUCCAUAAUAUAUUAAUAUUUUAAAAAUUAAUUUUUUAAAUAUGAAUUCAAGCUAGUUAGGUAAGAAUUUGCAGAAUCUUUAUCCAGAAUCUAGCUAUGCCGAGUGGGCUAAUUUUUAAAAUUAAUUAAUAAUAAUAGCUGCUACAAUUUUUACAUGCUAGACAUUUAUGGUCCACCUCAACCUAAAUAAAAUAAUAGAAAUACGUUGCAUGUACAUUAUAUAUUGGUUGACUUUUUGUAUGGUUUUGGUCUUCUUUGAUCUGUCACAUUAAUUCACCAAAUUAAUGUAAAAUAAAAUAAAAAUUUGAAAUUAUUUAAUAACAAAAAUAUUUUAAAAAAAUGACUUAAUUCACUUUCUCGGGGGAGACUUACUUCACUUAGGGCAUGGCUUUUCCCCUUACACAAAAUAUUGUUUUCUAUGCAAUCAAAUUUAGUAUUAAUGUAUUUUAAAUAAAAAUAUUUAAAUAAUAAUUUUAAAAUAUUAAAAUCUUAUGUCAACUGGUACGAGUUUAUAUGCACUAGUAUGAAUUAAUAUUAAUUGGAAUGGAUUAAAACACAUUGGUACAAUCUGUACUAACCAAAAUUUACAGUAGAAUGAAAAAUAUAAUUUUUUUUUCAGUUUACAACUGGAAUAAAAUGUUCCAACCGAUAUAAGCAAUGUCGGUACAAAUUUGAUUUCCUUAGUAUUGUAUAUAAUAGUUUCAAAAUAUAUAAAAUAUUAUACCAAUAAGUGUUGAGUAUUCCGAAUGGAAAAAAACAUAUUUAAAAUUUGGAGAUAACUUUGUUGGGAGUGGCCAUAAUGAACCUUAAACAUAGACUGUAAAAUCGGAUAUUAUGAGUACUAAUAAAUAUGUAUAUAUAAUAUUUUAAUGACAUAAUUUGAUACUUGAGUUUGACACUUUUUUUAUCUAAUGUGAUACAUGUGUUAUUUUUUUGUCUAACAUGAUACUUGUAUUUGACAAAAGUUAUAAAUUUUGGUACUUGAAAAUAACAAUGUUAACCUUUUAGUGUUUAAUUCGAGUUUUAAAGUUGAUUUGAUGAAAUUCAUAAUUAGCUAAUAAUAUUAGCAAUUAACUUUCAUAAAUCUCAUCCAUCGAUCGGGUUGUGUUUGACAAAGUAACUAUUAAAAAAUUAACAUCGCUAUUUUUAAGUACCAAAAUAUAUAACUUUUGUCAAAUACAGAUAUUUAAUUGAAUAAACUCGAAUAUUACAUAAUGUAUUAAACCUAUUUUAAAAUUAAUUUUUAUAUUGUAACAUGUCUAAAUAAGAGUUUUGGAUAAAGAAAUUGAAAUUUUCCUUGUAUAUGUGACAUCCUAUGAAUGUGAAAAGUGAAUCCAGUCAUCAAUUAGGAGACACCGAGACAGCAUAAUAAGUCCACAGCUUUAAUGCUUCCAAUAGAAUUAUAGAAAGCAUACAAUUGUGGACAAAAUUCAAAGGUCCAACACAGAAAAUAAAUUAUGCUUUAAUUUUAUGAUUUUUUUAAUUAGGCCCAAACUUUUUCUUAUCAAUUUCCCAAUUUGGAAAAUUUGGACAAGGCCUAAGAGUAUAGACUCAACAACAGCUGGAAAUUAGGGAUCUCAUUGUAUUUUUAAAGGUAAAAUCAUGGUUUUAGCCCUUUAGGGUUUUCAUUAUUUCGAAAUAUGAAUAGACGUGAUGUCAAAUUUUUUGUGUUAGACGUUGAAACUAGAUUAAAAAAAUUUAGCGAUUUUUUUUAAUAAUUUCGUUAUAGGUUUUAAUCAUAUUUGUUCUUUUUGACAUAAUUCCUAGAACUACUCAUAACUCCCCCUUAACCCAUAAAUAGGAGGAUAAUACACUUCAAAGCACUCGAACUGACGUCCUCCUGCAUUAGUAAUAAUGUUCAUGUCAAUCAAACUACGACUCAAUUGACAAUUUUAGCAAUUUAAUUUUAGCGAUUUAAAAGCAUAAAUUUUAUACAAACAACUUUCCCUAUAACAACCAUGCAUUAUAAUAGUAUUUCAUUAGAAUAACAUGUUUAUUGUAGAACCGGUUGUUUUUAUAAUUUUUAGGUUUAAAUGAUAAAUUUGGCUAUUAACGUUUUCAUGUUCUAUCAAAAUGACUCUAAUUGUAUUUUUUGAACAUUUUUUGGCCGUCAACCUUUUUUCCAAUCUACUUUUUAUAACAGAUUUAAUGAAAGUACCUUUAAAAAAGUUAAAGAAGAUGAUGUGGAAUUUCAUAUAUGGAAUUUUUUUAAUGAGAUGUAAUUUAUUACUUAGAUAACUCAAUAAAAUAAUUACAUGAGGAAAACAAUAAAAUAAAUAAAUAAUACAUUAAAUUAAAAAAAUCUUAAUUUAAAGAAAAUAAACGUAAUUAUCUAAAAAAACUAACUGAGUAGAAAAACUUCUCAGUAUACAAACGUAUGAGAGAUUGAAACCUUUUGAAAAAAAAAAGAAAAAGAAAAAUUGUAACUUUAAAUUUAUUCAUUAAAUCGGUUGAAAAAACAUAUUGAAAAAAAAAAAGGUUGAUGGCCAAAAAAGACUAAAAAAUACAAUUAGAGCCAUUUUGACAAACCAUGCAAACGAUAGUGACCAUAUCUAUUAUUAAGCCUAAUUUUUACAACUUUUUAACUAUAACAAUAACAAUCCUAAAGUAUGGAUUAUACCCUUUACAAAAUAAGUUCUCUAUUACAACCUUAGCCACUUACCUUAAAUUUUAGUAAAAUUAAUUUUAUUUUUAAGUGAAAUAAAAAUAAUAAUUUUUACAUGAUCUAUUACUUCAAUAAAAUGUUUAAAUUUUAUAUAAAAAUUUAUUAAUCAUAUAUCAUUAAAUGAUAAUAAUCUUUAAUAAUUAGAAUUACAUUUAUAAGUUUUAUUAAUGAUGCGAUUUAAAUCUCACUAAUAAAUAUUAAUAAUAUAUUAUGAUUUUAAAUUUUAAAUUUAAAAAAAUUAAAUAUGAUCUAAUUCUUAAAUGUUGUUAGAAGUGUCUCGAAUGUUGUUAUAAGUGUAUAACAACCGUCUCUCUAACUUUCAAAAUUUGGAUACAUAAAUGGAUUAUUAUAAAGAUAAUUGAUUGUAUCUAAAAAAAAUAAAUUCAACUAUAAAUCUUUGGAAAUUGCUAAAAGAAAAUUAUAACAAUUUCAACUAAGGGAGGUAAAACCCAUGGUUGCCACCCUUGAAUCUGCCCCUAAAUAUAAGAUUUUUUAUACUUAAUAUAAUUUGAUGUCUUCAAUUUUAUUGGUAGAAGGUAAGGGGGAAUGGGUUAUCCAAGGCAUCAACCUAAGAUUAGAUGUUAAUGCAAUACUUAAACCAAUAAGUUUUGUGGUUGAUGGUCAUGUCAAAAUACAUUUUUAGGGAGGCAAAAGCAGUUGGUGAGACUAUCUAUCAACAAUGAAUCAUAGUUACAAAUCUUCAACAAAGCUCCUAUAUUAGUGGAGAAUGCAGUGUUAGGAGACAUGUUUGGUGUAACCCAUGACCCUAAUUGUGUUAUGUGAUUUUUGUUAGCUUUAGGAUAGCAUCUUUUUUUAAUUCCAAAUUAAACUUGAUUAUAGGCUGGAUCGCGAAGAUUCGUUCGAAAAAUGAAAAGAUUUUUAUAAAAAUAUAGGUUUGAAAAAUAAACUUGGGUAAAAAAAUGAGGCCUAUUUUUUAUACAGGUCGGGUAAGCUUUUUUAACUCAACCCAAAUUUGCAAGAAAAAAAUCCUGCUACUUUUUGUUGUUGGUUUGAUAUUAUUUCGCUAUUAUAUUGUUACUGUUUUGUUGUUAUUGUUUAGAUAUUGUACAACUCUUGUUUUAUUGUUAAUUUUGCUACUAUUUUAGCAGUAUUUACUUACUAAGUUGCAUCUAUUUUAAUGUUAUUUAAGUUUAAAUAAUGUUUUUAGUAUACUUUAUGUACUAUAUUUUUUAAAUUUAUUUUUAUAUAAAAAUAAUAAUAUAAAAAAAUUAAUAGGAGCGGGCCGACUCGAGUUUGGGUUUUAUUAUUUUUAUGCAAACCGGACUUGAGUAAAAUUUUAAGCCCAUUUUUCAAGUCGGACCUUGACAUAAAAAAAUAGGUCUAAAAUUUUAUUGAGAUCCAACUUGACUCGACCCAUAAUUAUCUCUACACCAAAUGAAACCAAUGCAAUGCAAACUUUUUAACUAUUAUUUGGUAACAUGGUGAGAGUGACAUGGAAAUUUAGUAAAAAUUAUUUAAUUAAUAAUACAGAAAAUAAAAUUAUGGAUUUAAACUUAUAUAAAAACAUUACAAAAAUUGACAUCUCAAAUUUCAUUAAUAAAACCAUUUUUGAAUAACAUCAUUAGCAUGAUCUAUUUGAUGCACUAUUUAUGUUGAGGCUAUUGAACCUACAUUAUCCAUCUACUCAAUCUCUGAGUGGAUGCAAUAUUCAAUGAGACCACCUAUCGUAAUUAAUAGGUAAACUUUUAUUGUUGGUUCUAUAAAUUUUCUUUCCAUUAUUGUUCAUCCAAGAGUAAUCCAAUUCUUAAUCUCAUAUAAUUCACAAUUUUAGCUACUAUAGUCUUGGCAUUAGUCCCCUACAUAUCACCAUUCCAAAUCCCUUUACUCUAUAAACUAUAUAUACAAGGACGUGUGAAGUUAGCUCUCAUUUCACAUUAUAAAAAUCACAAUAUUUCAAUUUUGAUCCUUCUUUAUGCCUAGAUUUGAGAUUUAAUUUUUAAUUGAAUUUAAUUCUUAUAUUUUUAUAAUUUUAUUAGUUAGUUCAAAUAAUUAAUAUUGUUAACUAUUCGAAGAAAAAAAAAUCUAUUCUGACAUUAUGAGAUGAAAUAAUGAUUAAGGAUACUAAUUAAUGAGGUUAUAAUAAUAAAGGCAGCAAAUUAGAUCAAAUAAAAAGUAUACAAAUUAAAUCAUAAAUUUAAGUAUAAUAGAGUGAUGAAUACCACGAUAUGGCUUAAGACCACCUAUACCUAAUACAAUUGUUUCUUAUAUAUAUAUAGUAAUUGAAUGUAUAAUAGAAAAUAAAAUAUUCAACAAUUUUUAAUAUCUUUUUACAGAUUUAUAUAUAUUACAUAUUUGAAUAUUAAAUUUAUUAUGAAAGAACAAAGACAAUAAUUGCAAGCAGAAGCAAUGCUUAAUAAUAAUGCCAAAAACUAAGGUACUAGUGAAGAAUAAAGUAGAAAAACAAACAACAUUCAAAAUGUUUAUGCAAUUCGGUUUUUCGAUAUCUGUAGGGUUGUCGAGGUUUUAUUCAGAGAGAUAAUUUACUAUCUUAACACCUCAUACAACAAGUGAUUACGAGAACUGGCACUCACUAGAUUAGCAAUCUCACAUUUGCACCUAAGAUCUAGAUCACUCUCCUCUAAGUUUUCCCCUUGAAAACUUAGGAUAAAAACCAAGUGAUUCACUUGGUUUCUUACAAAAUGAACUCUAAAAAAACAAGUUCUAAAUAACAAAAAAUGUGUUAAACUUCUCCACACCUUUUACCUACACAAACCAUUAAUAUAUAAGAGUUUAAGGCUGAUUAACAUAAAAAUUAAUUACCAUCAAUCGUCCCAUCAAAAUAAUAAGAUAAUAAGCAUAUAAAAUAUCUUCAAUAAGUUCAAGAUAAUUCUUCAAAUUUUCAAGAAACGUUAUCAAGUUACCCAAACCAAUUCAAUCUUCUCAAAAUAGGAAAGCCGAUUUGCUUGAUCCAAUCUAAACCAAUAUUCAAGUUAUGUUCCUAUAAUAGAUUUAGAUAUCAUAUAUGAGCUUACAUAUGUCCACAUAAUUAACAAAGAGCACAUCCUAAAGAUUUUGUUAACAAAAAUUGUCAACUCCAUAUGAGACAAGUUAUAAGGCUGAGCAAUGCUAUAUAGUAGAAUGCACUAGUCUAGAAACUAUUCAUAAUUGUCUCAACAAUAAAACCCAUAUUAAGGUUGGACAAGCCUUCCAUAUUUGGAGCAUGAAUCCAACUUCACUAAGCAAACUUCGAUCCAUCAUGAUCUACCCAGAUUUCAUCAAAUAAAUUACUCUUUGUCUUUGUAUAAGGAAACAAAAGAUCAUAAUACUAAAUAUUUUAAUGCAAAUAUUUUAGAUACUAAUUCACUACUUAAAUUCACUUUUAUCUUAAUGCAAAUAUUUUAAAUAUUUAAAUUUUAAUCAGAAUUAGAAUCACUCAUAAUACUAAAUAUUUUAGAUAUUCAAAUAGAAUAUUCAUUUUUAUUGUUUAAAAAUAAUGUAAUAAAUUUUAAUGUUUUUAAAAAUCUAAUUAAUAUAUUUUAUUUUAAAAAUCUAAUCAAUUCACAAAAUUAUUAUUUACCAUUGAAAAACAUGCCAUAUGGAUAAUUGAUUUUAAUGGACAUGAUGAAAGAGAUAAAGGCAUAAACAUUAUUAGACAAAUUUUAAUUGGCAUUCCAUUUGAUUAAACAAAAAGCCAUUUAACCAUCAAAUGAACACCCUUGGAAAUUUUGAGAAAAAAUACCUAGUAGGUUUAACAUAUCAACACCAAAAACUACACACACAUCAUUUUGAUUUAAGAUCAUGUUCCUAACAUGAAGAUGGUGGAGAAUACAACUGCAAGACAAAAACAAACCAAAUCACAUGGCAUUAAGUCACCAAAGAGCAAAUAAACAAAAGGAUUAUAUAGUACUAUUUGUACUUUCAUGUAGCUAGUAAAUUAGUACUAAGAUUAACCUUGUACUAGAAAUUAACAUGAACAAUGAACCCUCCAAAAGAGGUGAUGAUAUUCACUUGACCCCAUUGGCAGGGGUUGAAAUAGCAAGAUCAGGCCAAGAAAAACAAUCCCCACCAACAAAUCCAGUCUCUGCACCUUCAAACUGCCAUGCAUUCCCCAUUCCCGUGGCAGCUCCACCAUUACCACGCCCACCACCACCACCAGCGGCCCCUCCAUCUCCUACGCAUGGCAAAGGCCACAUUCCUCUUCCAAGCCCAAACCCAACAUCAUCAAGUGAUGGAGCAAUACCUAGCCCAAACCCACCAAGUGCUAGAAAUCCAGGUCCUUGAGUAUUCAACAAUGAAGUGAAACUUCCAAAUAUAUUGCUUCCUUUGGACUCUCCACCGAUACUAAAGCUUCCUUGGUUGGAUGAGAUUGGCAACAAAACCGGGGUAGCAGGUAAUGGGAAGCUAUUAUAACUGGUUGUGGUGGCCGUGGUGGUGGUGGCGGCGGCACUAGGUGCAGCAUUGGUUGUGGAAAAGGUGGUGGUGGUGCCAAUGUUGCUACGUGAACGCUUAGCAUUUUUCCUAGUGCCACCACCAACAGGGAUGUCCCUAAGUGUACCACCAUGAGUCCAAUAACGUCUACACGACUUACAGAAAUAACGAGGCUGAGAAAAGUUAUAGUUGUUGUAAUAACAAAACUUCGUGUUAGUGGAAUCACAACGUGGGCAAAGCAGUUGUUCUUGUUCUGGUGGUGGGGCGCCAUUGUUAAGCCCCUUGUUAAAACGCCUACAUUGAUCUGCAGAACUGGAUGGCAUUUUCAAACCAAAACAGAAAAGAACAAAACAAGCUUAAGUUAGAGAGUAUCAAGGGGGGGGAGGGUUAUGGGGGGAAAAUGAGACAUGUUGUGAAGGGUUUAUAUUAUAAGAGAGAGAGAGAGAAGAGUGAAGAAAACACAGGCUUUUUACAGUGUUUUGUUAGGCACGAGAUUCUUUGAUCAGUGACUCUGCAGGAUGAGGUCUGACCCUCUGUGUUGAGGGUCGGCUCCAUCAGGUAUAGCAAUGCUGCAUGGUGUUGUUAGCUGUUUGAUUUUGGAUUUUUCUUUUUUUUUUAGUUUUUGGAUUUUGUAGAAUUAGGUAAAAUUACUGGGAGGUUACAUUAAAUUUUAUUUUGUUUCAUUUACAUAAAAUUAGUUAAAUUAAUUCUCGUAUGUUCAAUUAAAGAGAAAAAUGAUUAUUUUUGUUAAAAAUUUUAUUUGUUUUUACUAUUAAAAUUAGUCUAGCGGACUGACUAAUUAAAUAGUUAUGUGUGGUGUGCCACAUGUACUUUAUCUUGACAUGCAGAGACAGUUUUUUAACAAUAAAAAUUAAUAGAAUUUUUAACAAAAAGACUAAUUUACUUUUGAUAUAAUGUAUAGAGACUAAUUUACCUAUUUUUAGUAGAAAAAAUGCAAUUAGACUCCUAGGUACAGUAGGCUCAUGCCUAGAAAAGGAAAAAUUUAAAGGUUAAAUUCUACUAUUACUCUAUUAGUUCCUAUACUUGUUAAAAGUUAUGAAUUUAAUCUAUGUACUUUAAUUUGAUCAAUUUUAGUAUAUGUACUUUUCGAUUUGGUUAAUUUUAGUCUCUGUAUUUUUCAAAUUCUAAAAUUUUAGUUUGACCCAAACAAUAGUAGUUAAAUCAAUUCGGUUAUAUUCAAUUACUAGUCUUAUACUAUGCAUACCGUUGUAAAUUUAUUUCAUAUUCUCUAAUUUGAUAAUUUUAAGUCAUUAAAUUUUUCGAAUUUUAAAAUUUUAGUCUUGAUGCAAAUGACAAUAAUUAAUCCAUUAACUGAAUUUUUAGUGAGUAAUAUGUCAAAAUAGUAAGCCGACAUGACAUUACACAUAUGAUACAAUGUUUGCCGCAUCAAAUUUUGGAAAUAGAAGAACUUAAUGAAUUUAACAAUUAUCAUUUGGUGAGGACUAAAAUUAUAAAAUUUGAAAAGUAUAACAACUAAAAUGACCAAUUAAAUAUAGGGAUUAAAUCCACAACUUUCAUAAAAUAUAAGGACUUAUAGUAGAAUUUAACCAAACUAAAUCUAACGGAUAUAAAGCAGUCAAAUAAAGGUCCCAUUUUGGAUUUAUGUAAAUUAACAGUAGUGAAAAAGACGACAAAAUUCAAAAGGAUAUACAAAUUUGUCUAAUUCUGAUAAUGGCAGUAACUAAAUCAUAUUUAUGGUCAUAAUUUUGAGGGUUAAAAUAUGUUGUUAGUCCCUAUAUCCCUACAGAAUUUAAGAUUUAGUCUUUGUACUUUAAAAGUUAAAAAUUCAAUCUCAAAUCCUAGUCCAAGCAUUAUUGUUGUAGGUAAUUUCUAGCAAAAUUUGUCAACCUAACAUUUUUUUUCCUUUAAUCAUGUACCACAGUCAUAUGAGGACAUUUUAAUUACUAAGUCAAAUUAACAAAAAAAGGGAACGAUAUUAAUGAUUGGAUUGAAAAAAUUUUAAAUUAAAAAAGUAGAAGGACUUAAUUUUUAACUUUUUAAGUACAUAGAUUAAAUCUUAAAUUUAUCGAAAGAUAAAGACUAAUAGCAUAUUUCAACCUACCACUUUCAUAAUUAGGGCCGAGUAAAAAAAAUAAAAAAUCGAUCCAAACAGAUGUUGUUUGGAUGAUUUUGGUUCACAAAUUAAAAACUGUAGUUAACCGAAAUGAACUAAAUUUUUUUAAAUUUAAUUUAUAGUUAUUUUUAACUUUUUUAUAAUGUAAAAAUUAAAUAUUUUUCGAAAAUUUAAUUAUUUUUUUUUCUUGAAAAAUUAACUUUUUUGUUCGAAAUAAUAAUAAAAAACUUUAAAUAAGAUAAUAUCCAAAAACCAUUAAACAAAGAAGAUUUUAUUAAAAUAAAGUUCAAAAAUUCAAACCACAAAAUUAAUAUGAAAAAAUAAAGAAUUGAACCAAAAUAAAUUAUCAUAAAGGUUUUAAAAAAAUUUUGACCAAAUUGAACUGAACUCACUCUUAUUUAUAAUGUUGUUAGUAGAUCCAAUUUGAUAAUUAGUUGUUGUCAUUAAAAUGAUCACAUGAACUUUAUUUUUUUUAUCGAUAUUCAAUUAUAUAAUAAAGAUCACUCAAAAAUCUAGUUAAUCAUAUUCAACCGAUAAUAAGUUUACAUGUUAAUGAGAUUGUUUUAAAAAAUAAGUUCACAUAUUCAUUUAAUAGCAACAUCUAAAAAAUUUUCUAAUCUAUGAUAUUAUUUAAACCCCUCACUGAAUUAGUGUCACGAGUUAACCGAGCACAAACUCAAGUAAGAAAAUUACUAAACUACCAUUAUAUAUGUGAGACAAGUUAUAUUUUUAGAAUGAUACUUUUAUCUUCUUCUAUUUUAAAUGAAACCAAUAAAAAAUUAUAGAUGAUAUAAUUUGAACCCAUGUCAUCAGCACGACAUAAAAUCUCAAUUUUACCACUUCAACCAAAACUUCUAACUUGAUUUCUUUUGUAAAUUUUAAUAUUAUUACACAAACAUUGCUUACCCAUGUUAGAAUUUAUAUCAGAAGUCAACUUAAUACCUACUCGAUUGAGAAAAUUUACUAAAAUACUCUUAAUUUAAAAAAUAAUUACUAUUAUUAUAAGAAUAUUUUUGUUUUUUCAUACUUUUAUAUAAUCUUCAACUAAAUCAAUUGAAAAACGAAUCAAAUAUGAGACCACAAAUUUAUAUAGAAAUUUCUUAUAGGUGGAGCGGCUGGAGAUGGAUUGGCAACGGACUUGCCUCCCUCUGAAAAUAUAAAAUUUAAUUUUUAAUCUUUUAAAUUAAUAAAUGAUAAAAUUAUAUUUUGACCCCUAAAGCUUUCGUUACAAAAUACAACUAAAUUUCAUGUUGAAAAAUGUUUUAGGUUCCCACCUUUUCUCACUCCACCGUUGAUGAUAGGUGUAUUAAAAAUUUUCAUUCAAGUUUUCUUAAAAUUCUUUGUUUCACGUUUCUUUCACUCCAUUUUUAAUUUGCUAAAAUAGGAAGUAGACCAUUUCAACAACAAAUUUGUUCCCUAUGAAUAAAACUUUGGGGUGCAAAUUGUGGCAUUGCCAUCGUCCCAACAAUUAAAUAGACCGAACUGAAAGUAGUACAGACAAAGCAUGCCAAAGAGUUUCAGCUAAUAAUGUCGAAUUCCCGACAGGUUCUGGCCGAGCAAUGGGGGGGGCCAAAAGAAUUCGAAACAAACUGGAGUUUUGAUGGUCAAAAGAGUAAGAGGAUAGAGAUUGAUGGAAGGGGUGGUGGGGAUGGGGAUAGUACAGACAGAAUCAUGAGUUGUCGGACAGCGUGGGGUUCAAUUAUAGGGUCACCCCCUCUGAUUUUCCGACACCUCAUGUCCGUAUCAGAUUCCUGGUCCGUACCUUCCGGUCCUUUCCCGAUCUUCUUGCCGGAUUUCUCGCCCCUACUGUUACUGUUUCGCUGUUAGCCUUGGAUUGCUUCUCUUUGUUUUGGAUGUUCACCGUUGAUUUAGCUUCACGGUACUAGACCCAGCAGGAACCCGGGGCUGCCAUUGCAGGAAGAGAUGCUGUCCUAUAAUCUGGUGUUGGAUAAAAUGAACAGUGUCCUAGGUUUAUGAACCCUCUGUCCCUCUAUGAAGAAUCUUUUGCAAAAGAUUACAGAGUUUAUUAUGAAAGGGUAAACUAAACUUAAUAUGUUUCAUGCAUUACAAAUGGAGCCACUUGAUUUGAUUUUGGUAACGUUUAUGCUAUUCCUUAAUAUUUAGGGUAGAUUACACCCAAAGGUAAUUAAAUUAAUAGUAAAUUUAUAUUUUGGUUCCUCAACUUCAAAAAGUUACAAAAUGACCAUUAAACUAAUCAAAAAUUUUCCUUUUUAAGUUAAUGAACUAUUUUGAAAGUUUUUAUUUAAGUCAAUGGGAUAUUAAGUUUUUUUUAUUUAAAGUCCAGCUAGCGAGCUCUAAGCGACUAUCAAUACGGUGGAAGUACCCAUUGAUGAAUUGAAGAACAUAUUUUAGAUCGAAGUCAAUUUGAUAGUCAGUUUUGAAAAACAGAGAAGAAAGUUGUUUCAAAUUUGUUUCAUGAUAAAAAAAAUUGUAGAAGAGACAGGUAAUGAGAACUUUCAAUUGGUUUAUUGACCAUUUUGUAACGUUGAAUAGCUUAGUGACUUAUAUGAAAAUUUUUGAAUAGUUUAUUGACCAUUUUGUAAUUAUUUUGAGUUGAGUGACCUUGGAUGUAGUUUACCUUAAUUUUUAACUCACUACUGUACAUAUUAGUAGAUUGUAUAUAGGUUAAACUAUGCCAUAAUACCUUGUACUUUUUAAAUUUUUGAAAUUUAAUCCCUAUACUUUUAUUUCUAGAAAUUUAGUCUAUCUACUUUUCAGAUUUCAAAAUUUUAAUUGAUCCAACUGUUAAUUUUUUUUUGUUAAAUUAAGAUUAGUUACGUCUUUUUUUAAUUAUUUGGCUACUAAGUUUUUUUUUAUUUCAAAAUGUCACACCAACAAAUUUAACAAAAAAAAAUCAACAAUAUUAACAAUUGGACCUGAAUUUUGAAAUCUAAAAAGUAGAAGAACUAAAUUCUUAAAAAUAAAAGUAUAAUGACUAAAUUCAAAUUUUUGAAAAACAUAGACUUAUAACAUAUUUUAACUGGAAGUAUAUUCUUGAAUAAAUUAAAAAUUAAUAAUAGUAAGCUUGGGACACCUUUAUUUAACAUCUUAUUCGUAGCAUUGAUUUAAUACUAUAUCUUAAUUAAGCAUAAGUUCAAUUAGAAGAAAAUAAUUUACAUUCAAAAUAAAUUUUAAAAAAAACUUAUUUAUUACAAAUAGAAAUUAUUUAGUAGAUUUUCAUGUCACAUCACUCAUGAUCUCAUCUAAUAAUAUAAUGCCAUGUGAAAUGGGUAACUAAAAGAGAAAGUAAGGAAAAUCUCAUGUGAUGGCUUGAUGGUCAACGUGUUUAUCACUUUAAGUGUGACUUGAGUUUAAAUCGUGUUAGUCGUAUUUGUUGUAAUUAAAAAAGAAGAAGGAAGUAGAUGAUUUGAAAAUGAUGAGUUGGCAAAAAUUUUAAUCACCUGUAAAAAUAUUCCAUAUAAUAUUAUAUUAUUAGAUGGGAUCAUGAAUAAUUUGAUAAGGAGGACUUACCUAAUAAAAUUCCCCUACAAAUCUUAAACCUAAAAAACCAAAAUUUUAAAUUUCAAAUUGAACCUCAUCCAUCAUGAGUGUAUAUUGGGCUAAGUUUGGGUAAGUCAAAUUUUGUAUAGCUAAGCUUUGGGUUUUUCUUGUGGGCAGCAUCCUUCACCAUUUAUAAAAAGGGGACAAUUCAAAUGUUAGCCCCAAAUUUAUGUGUCAUCUCCAACCCAAUACAUCCCACAAAACAGGCCCCAAUAGCGUACAACAUUAAAGUCUAUUAUAUAACUUCAACAGCAUAAUCAAAAAUCCCGAAAAUAAAUUAUAAAAUUAUAGUAAAAAAUAUAAAAAAAUAAUUAUUUAAUUUUGUAAUAAUGAAAUUUCAAUUUAAUGAUAAAAUUAAACAUUUUAAAACUUUUAAGAUUUUAAGUUUAACUACCUUAUUUUUCUCAUAUUUUUAUUAUCAUGGUUUGAGUGUUUCUAUUGUAACUGUCAUUAAAUAUGAGACUAAUUCACAAAUCGUCAUUUUUUCUAUAUCGGAGUUAGAUUGUAUUCUGACUUUUUAUUAAAAAAAUUGGAUAAAUCAAAUCUUAUACGUUAGAUCAAAGAGUAAAUUGUUAAAAAUUGACGUAGCUAGUUGAAUAAUCAGAUAGUUACAUGUGAUAUGCUAUGAUGUACAAAGACAAGUUUGUAACAGUAAAAAUAGAUAAAAAUUUUACUAAAAUGAUCAGUUUACUCUUUGAUCUAAUAUGUAAUGAUUGAUUUGCUCAUUUUUUUAAUUAAAAAGGACAAAUUAUAAUCCGACUCCUAAUACAAAAGUUGUUUUUCACAUUUAUGAUGUUUUAAAAUCUGUAUGGUCGGAAAAUUUUAAAGACAUGGCCAAGUAUAAAAGCAUUGAUUAAAUCCCGCAUGGAUUAAGCAUUGAAGACUGAGAAAACCUUUGGAACAUUGGUACUCGGCAUCAAUGGCAAUGCCAUGCAGUAUAAUAAUAUAAAAAACAAUGGAAACUCUUAGCUCAGACUGUAAACUGGCUUUAAGUAACUGUCGGAACCAAGACCAGAUAUUAAAGCAUAUGUUUUCAGACCAAAGGCUGAUAGUCUUAAUUUUCUACACGACAAAGUUAAAGCAUUAAUUAUGCUUAGGAAGCUUUAUGAUCAUCAAUUUCAUUACAAAUAUAACAUCAAUAUUGUCUCAUUAAUACCGAGGGAAAGAAACAUCACCUUUACUCCUGCUUACUGCAUUGAGCUUUAAAUGUCAAAUUCUAAUUAUUGACUUUUUAAAACAAAUUCUAAAACAAAUUCUAGUUAUUGACUUUUUAAAAUAAAAUUAAAUCAAAUUUUCAAAUUCAAAUACAUAAUAAAAUGUCUAACUACCACCUAUAAAAAGUAACCAAAUAAAGAUAAAAAAGAAAGAAAAAGAUGAUCUCCCACUCAUUGUAAUCAAAUGACCCCAACUUUUUACAAAGUAUGAUUAUGUCUCUUAUCAAUUCAAGAACAAUGACCAUAACAUGCAUGGACAUGGAUGUUUAUGUGAAUGAGGUACAGUCAAGAAAUGCAUUCCCUCAAAAGCCCAAACCCAAAAAAGAAAUUCUAUUAGGUCCUUAGUGAAUUCCACUAUCAAUGAACAGAUGAAUGAUGAUGAUGAUAUUAUACAGGGUCAUUCGAUAGAGUCUAUACCAUGUGGUCCAAGACCUUUGCAAAGGGUAUUUUAGUACUUUCAAAAAGAUAGUUGACUAAUCAUAGAUUAUGAAACAUGAAAUCAUGAUCAUAAUUGGCUGGCUUUGACAAAUUAUAUCACAACUAAAGUAAUGCACGUGCUCUCUGAAGUAAACAAAUUGAAUUAAGAUUAUAUUACAUGAAUAUAAUUAAUUUUUAAAUUUUUUUAAAAAAAUUAUAUUUCUAUAUUCAUGUAUCGAAUUCGAAAACUAUAUUUAAAAAAAUCCGAAAAAAUAUAAGUUUUAAUCCAAUAUUAAGGGUUGACUUGAAAUUUGUUUGUUUUGUAUAACUUUUUUUUGAAGAUGAAGCAAUAUUUGAUGUAGCCAUUUUUUUUAAAAAUUCAAUGUAACCCUACAAAUACUUGUUCAAACUUGUGACUAAGUUUUUUUUUUCAUGUUAUUAUAAAUUUAUAUUCAACGAUACUAUAUAAUUAAAAAAAAGUAGAUCUUAUAUAUUUAUAUUUUAUAUUUAUAUUAGGAAUGAUAAGAAUUGAUGUAAAUUGACAAUAUGAUUAGAAUUUUAAACCUUUAUUAAUACGUAUCUAAUUGGACUUUUACUUUUGAGGCAGAUUAUUUUUGGGGUUUCGUGCAUUGGUUCGGCUAUUGAGGAGAGGGAAUCCAAAGGCAAAAUGGCUUAUAUGUUUUGUUUUUUCCCUUUACCUAUUAUUUAUGGGAUAUUUUUUUAUCCAAUUUAUUCUCCAAUUAUAUUAUAAAACAUUCUUCAAAAACAUUACACAAAAUAAUAUUUUUGUUUAGACUUACAACCACUAGCUCAUUGGUCUUAAAGGUGAUUAUAGUUGGGGUCGAGAUUUAAUUGAAUAGUAUAACAACUUUCUUUGAUAAUAGUCUCCUAAUUGAUCAAGUGCAAUCGCCUUUUGUCAUUUGUUCCCCCCUUACAGCAAGUUGUGAUUGUUACUAUGAAAAUAAAAUAAAGAACACACAAAUUUUUAAGUGGAAACCCUUUCGGAAAAAAAUCACGGGCAGAAGAGAAGAAAAUUCACUAUUUUGAAUUCGAAUUAUUACAAGAAGAAUAGACUAUGUCUAUUUAUAGGCUUGUAAAGCCAUAUUCUAGUAAGACUGAAACACCUUAUUCUAAUCAAUAUCAAAUAGAUGGAAUUUAAUAAGGUUUAAAAAACCUUAUUCUAAAAUAAAAUAAAAGAAGUGUAAUUCUAUAUGGAUUCUUCUUUUAUUUUAUUUUACUACUGUAUUUUAUUUAAAUAAGGAUUUGAAUUAUUUAAUUCUAACAAUCUCCACAUUGACACGAAUUCUCAAUGAACAAGUUCUUCAUCGCGAACUCUCAACGAACAAGUUCUCCACCUCUUCUAUAAAACCCCUUAAGGGUUCAACUUCAACAAUGAACACCAACAAAGUCUAAGCAAUGUUCAAACUUCGUUAUAGCAAGUGACUUAGUCAUAAUAUCUGCAGGAUUUUCACGAGUACUAAUUUUGCUCACAACAAUAUCACCACGAGCAAUAAUAUCACGAACAAAAUGAUACUGAACAUCAAUGUGUUUUGUUCUCUCAUGAAACAUUUGAUCUUUUGUAAGAAAGAUGGCACUCUGACUGUCACAAAAUACUGCGCUGAUUUAAAGGUCUUCAUUGAGUUCACUAGAGGGUCCUUUCAACCAAAUAGCUUCUUUACAAGCCUCAGUAAUCGCCAUGUACUUAGCUUCAGUGGUAGAAAAAGUGGUUGUAGUUUGCAAAGUGGCUUUCCAACUGAUUGCACAAUCUCCAAUUGUAAAGACAUAACCUGUUAGAGACCUUCUUCUAUCAAGGUUUCCAGCAAAAUCAGCAUAAACAUACCCAAUGACUCCAUCUCUAGUUCUUCCAAACUGUAAGCAAAAAUCAGUAGUACCUCGUAAGUAUCUUAAUAUCCACUAAACUAUUUUCCAGUGUUCUUUACUGGGAUUCGCCAUGUAUCUACUAACUCACUGACUGCAUAUGAUAAAUUUGGACGUGAACAAACCAUAGCAUAUAUGAGAGAUCCCACUGCACUAGAGUAUGGUACAUGUGACAUGUACUCAAUCUCAUCAUCUGAUUGUGGAGACAAAGCCGAUGAAAGUCUAAAAUGGGCUGCUAAAGAAGUACUAACAGGCUUAGCACUCUGCAUAGUGAACCUGCAAAGAAGUUUCUCAAUGUGCCCCUUUUGACUUAGGUAUAAUUUACUUAAUUUUCUAUCUCUGAGAAUCUCCAUACCAAGUAUCUUCUUUGUUGGUCCUAAAUCUUUCAUCUUAAAUUCUUUAGUUAGUUGGGAUUUGACAUUUCUUAUAUCUUCUUUAUCUUUUGCUGCUAUCAACAUGUCAUCAACAUAAAGAAGUAGAUACAUAAAAGAAUCAUCACUGUUUUUCUUAAAGUAAACACAACUGUCAAAACUACUUCUUUUGGAAUCAUGAGAAGUCAUAAAGGAAUCAAACCUCUUGUACCACUAUCUUGGUGACUGUUUCAAAUCGUAAAGGGACUUUUUCAGCAAGCAAACAUAGUCUUUUUUUUUACUAAGCCUGUAAAACCCUCUGGUUGUUGCAUGUAAAUAUCCUCCUCAAGUUCUCCAUGCAAAAAUACAGUUUUUACAUCUAACUGCUCAAGCUCCAAAUCAUGUAUGACCACAAUACCAAGCAAAGCUCGAAUUGAACUAUGCUUAACAACUAGGGAGAACACAUUAUCUGUGAAGUCCACUCCUAGAAUUUGACUGUAACCCUUUGCAACAAGCCUUGAUUUAUAUCUGGGUUCUUCAACUCCUAGAGUCCCUUCUUUUUUUUUAAACAUCCAUUUACAACGAACAUUCUUUUUACCUUUAGGAAGUUUCACAAGAUCUCAUGUUCUAUUUUUGUGGAGUGAUUCCAUCUCCUAUUGCAUAGCAAACAUCCACUUUUUUGAGUCUUCACAGCUAACCGCCUCAGAAUAAUUAGAUGGCUCUUGAUUCGCAUCUAUAUCUUCAGCCACAUUUAUAGCAUAAGCAACUAGAUCAGCCUCGGCAUACUUCUUUGAAGGUUUAAUUUCUCUUCUAGUUCUAUUUUUGGUGAUAGAGUAUUGUGGUGAAGAAGCAACUCUAUUCUCAAUUUUUGUAUUGGCUUGAGGAGUCGACUCUGUAUUAAUCUGAUGCUUCACCUGCUUUUGAUUUUCUUUAUUGGAAGAGUCUUUAAGAGAUAAGUUAGGUAACAUAGCAGUUUCAUCAAAAAUAAUAUCUCUGCUAAUCACAACUUUUCUAUUUUCAGGACCCUAUAACUUUUACCCUUUUACACCAGUUUUAUAACCAAGAAAAACAUAUUUAAUUGAUCUCGGUUCCAAUUUUUCAUUAUCAACAUGAGCAUACGCAGGACACCCAAAGAUCUUUAAAUUAAAAUGAUUAGCAGGAUUACCACACCAUACCUCUUGUGAAGUCUUUUUCUCAAUGGCAAUGGAUGGGGAUUGGUUGAUCAAAAAACAUGCAGUAGAGGCUGCUUCGGCCCAAAACAACUUUGGAAAGUUGGCAUUUGACAACAUACAUCGAACCUUCUCCAUAAUCGUUCUGUUCAUUCGUUCUGCAAUGUCAUUUUGCUGUGGAGUAUGACGAACUAUCAAAUGUCUCACGAUCUCUUCUGACUUGCACAAUAUAUUAAAGUCAUCAGAACAGAACUCUAAGCCAUUGUCUAUGCAGAGGUAUUUUAUUUAUUUUCUCGUCUGUUUUUCAAUCAUAAGACUUAAAUGCGAAAAACACAUCGCUUUUCUAUUUUAAGAAGAACGCCCAAACUUUUCUGAAAAAAUCAUCAAUAAAGGUUAGCAUAUAAUUAGCUUCACCUCUCGAAGGCACUCUAGAUGGCCCCCACAGAUCAGAAUGAAUAUACUCCAACGUUCCCUUUGUGUUAUGGAUUCCUCUGGUGAAUCAAACUCUCUUUUGCUUCCAAAAAAUACAGUGCUCACAGAAAUUCAAUUUGCAAAUUCCUUGCCCAUCAAGAAGUCCUCUUUUGCUCAAUUCUGCCAUGUCAUUCUCACUCAUAUACUUUAGGCGCAUAUGUCAAAGUUUAGUAAUAUCAUCAUCUGACAAGGAAGAGGAAGCAAUAGCUGCAUCACCAGUAACAGUAGAACCCUACAAAAUAUAUAACUUGGCAGUCUUUUUCUGCCCUUUCAUCACAACAAGGGAACCUUUGAAAAUCUUUAAAACCUCACUUUCAGCUGUGUAUCUGUACCCUUUUGAAUCAAGAGUGCUCAACAAAAUUAAAUUUCUUUUCAAUUCUGGAACAUAUCGUACGUCACUAAGUGUUCUGACAACUCCAUCAAACAUCUUAACUUUAAUUGUUCCAACACCUGUAAUUUUACACAAACCAUUAUUUCCUAUCAAAACAACACAUUCAGACACUGUUUCGUAAGUUGUAAACCAAUCCCGAUUGGGACUCAUGUGGAAGGUGCAACCUGAAUCAAGUAUCCACUCUUCGCUCACUUUAGAAUUGUUGACUGAAGCGACUAGAAGUUCACCAUCGCUGUAGUAUUCUACAACAUCAGCUUCACCAGAAUUUUCUGGUUGUUUUUCCUUUUGAUUCACAGCCUCCCUUUAAAUCUUGUUCUGUAGCUUUUAGCACUCAGAUUUAAUGUGUCCUUUCUUCUUGCAGAAGUUACAAGUUUUACCUUUGUUUGAAGACUUUGAUCUACCUUUAGAUUUACUGCAAGAAUUCUAUUCUUGUGUCCUUCCACGAUCAUCAUCAGCAUUCCGAUCUUGUCUCUCACGAACAAUGAGACCCUCUCCCUGAGAUUCGGGUUUAACCACAAGAUGUUUCAUCUUAUCAUAUGAGGUUAAAGAAUCAUAAACCUCAUCAACUGUGAGAUACUCGUGGCUAUAUAAAAUCGUGUCUCUAAAUGUUGAAUAAGACGGGGGUAACGAACAAAGUAGAAUCAACCCUAGAUCUUCCUUGUUAUACUGAACCUCCAUGACCUCCAAGUUUGAGAGAAUUUCUUUAAACAUUGUUAAGUGUUCGUGUACAGACGCACCUUCCUCCAAACAAUGAGCAUAAAGACGCUGCUUCAUAUACAGCUUGCUUGUUAGAGUUUUCGACAUACAUAUUUGUUCUAACCUCUUCCAUAAUACAGUGAUGGUCUUUUCUUUCAUCACAUCUUGCAAAAUUUCGUUGGACAAAUGCAUAUGUAAUUGUGUUAACGCCUUUCGAUCCUUACGCUUCUUCUCUUCAUCUGUUAAUGUCGAAGGUAUCUUAUCUAUCCCUAGCAGGGCAUCCUUCAGAUCCAUCUGUGCAAGAACUACUUGCAUCGUAAUCUGCCACAAUGCAAAUCUAGUGUUGCGAUCCAACAGCGAAAUUUCAUACUUCAAAGACGCCAUUAUCGUGAUCGAGAUGAACAACCCGAAAGUUCUGAUACCAAUUUGUGAAAAUAAAAUAAAAUAGAAUAAAGAACACACAAAUUUUACGUGGAAACCCUUUCAAGAAAAACCACGGGUAGAGGAGAAAAAAAUUCACUAUCUCAAAUUCGAAUUAUUAUAAGAAGAAUAGACUAUGUCUAUUUAUAAGCUUAUAAAGCUAUUUUCUAGUAAGACUGAAACACCUUAUUCUAAUCAAUAUCAAAUAGAUAGAAUUUAAUAAGGUUUAAAAAACCUUAUUCUAAAAUAAAAUAAAAGAAGUGUGAUUCUACUUCUUUUAUUUUAUUUUAUCACUGUAUUUUAUUUAAAUAAGGAUUUGGGUCACUUAAUUCUAACGGUUACUAUAAUGGUAUGUAUGAGUGUGAGUCUUCCUAUCAGUGACACCUUUGGAGAAUUUGAUACUUUGACCUAACUCUGCCAUAAAAGAUUGUAGUACUCCUCUCUUAUAGUGAGGAUGGAUUUUUUUGUACUUGGCAAACAAAAUGACCAUCCAUUAAAUGCAAUUUCCUAUUAAUGUGACAUGAGCCCCCACUUCAACUAACAUAUUUAAUAAGGAUUCUAUAUCUAUGCAUUCAUUAAAUGCUGUAUAUUCAUAAUUCUUGGAAAAAUUUAGUGUCCUUUGUGAGUUUGAGUACAAAAAUAAAGAUUGGGAAAUAAUAUAAACUUAAUAUUAAAUAAAUUCAUUCAACUGUUGAGUUUCAGAAAUAUCACCCAUGAUGAAUAUAAAAAAAAAACUAAAUAGUCACUUUUAUUUAUCUCAGGUUAUAUUUUAGUCACUUAUGUUUAAAAUGUUACGUUUUAGUCACUUACGUUAUCCCAUUGUAACAUUUUAGUCACCGAGCUGUUAAUUGCCACCAACGGUGUAAUGGUAAGUUGAUUGACACGUUAAAUCAUCAUUUCAAACAAAAAAAUUAAGUUAAUUUGUACAAUCGGUCUCCAUAUUUUUUUCGUUUUGAGCUAUUUAAUUUUUUUCUUUUAUAUUUUUUAACUUUUUUUUCCAUUCUCUUUUGCUUCUUCCUCUAUUUUCGUCCAUUCUCCGUUUCACUUAACGUAAUUUUUCUAUGUUUUCCAUUGGUUAAAACUAGUCCCUAUACUUUUAUUUUUUGAACAAUUUAGUUUUUUUAAGUAAGACGAGCUUUUGGAAUAGUUUUAACAAAUGAAAAACAUAAAAAAAAACCACAUUAAAAGAAAUGAAGAAUAAAAGAAAACAGACGGAGAAGCAAAAGAGAAUGUAAAAAAAAAGUUACAAAAAUAAAAGAAAAAAAUUAAGUUGUUCAAAAUGAAAAAAAAAUGAUCAAUUGUAGAAUUUAAUCUAAAAAUUUCAUUUAAAAUGAUGAUUUAACGUGUCACGUUAGCUUACCGUUACACCGUUAACUAUAAUUAAUAGCUCAAUGACUAAAAUGUUGCAAUACAAUAAUGUAAGUGACUAAAAUGUUACAUUUCAAAUAUAAAUGAUUAAAAUGUAACUUAAGACAAACAAAAAAUAACUAUUUUAAUAAUUUAACUUAAAAAAAUGUGAACCAUCUUAAAUUUUAAAUAAUCAAAAUCAAAAUUUAAAUUUUUUAUUGAUUAUUUUUUUUCUAAAAGAAAGACAACUAGAAGUUUAUAGAAUUAAAUAUUUAUCCAACUAGAUGUGCCCUUAUAUGAUAGCAUGAGUUUUAUUCCAUUGCAAAUAUAUAUUUUUGUCUACUUUCAGAAAAGCUUAAAUGAUCAUUUAAUUUUAAGAUGGCCCAUAUUAAAAAAGAAAUUCAAAUAAACAUUCAUCACAUGCUGCAAAAGCAAGUAUUUUCUUUUAAUAUUAUUUUUCCUUUAAAUAAUUUAAUUUAAUUUUUGUCAAUUUUUAAAAUGAACAAUUAAAGAAGACUACUUACAAUAUUAAUGUUCUUUUCAUUAAUUGUACAUGUUUUUUUUAUUCAUAUAAUAAAUUUAGUUAGUAAAAUUUAAACAUUCUGUCAAUUUAGUUUUGAUUGAAUAAAUUUAGCUUAUAAUAUUUACGCAUUUUAUCAAUUUAGUAUUGCUUUAAUAAAUUUAGCCUAUAACAUUCAAAUAGAAUAUAUAAAUAUUAAGAGCUAAAUUUGUUAUUAUAUCAAUUAAAAAUAUAUUUAAUCGGCAAAAAAUAUUAAAGUUGUGAUUAAUUGUCUUUGGUUGCGAGGGGCAAAGCUAAAUUUUUUUAGGAUUUUAGUUGUAUAUUAUAUUAUAAGAGGGUUAAAUUAAAAUUUUAUCAUUUUUUUAAGUUAAAGUGUAAUUUUACCAAGUACUAAUUUAUAAAUUUAUAACUUUUAAAGGGCAAAAAUUAAAAAUUUUCAUUUUAAAGAGUUAGACCCUGCUAGCCCUUUGGUAACUAAUACAACACUGGUUAAUUGCUUACCUUCUAAAUUGACAAAAAUUAAAUUAUUUCAAAAUUUUAAAUAUCAAAUUGAGAAAUUUCUUACCUUUAUUAAAUUGGGUUACAAAUUGCUCAUAACUCAAAAUAGCAAAAUACUUGUGAUUGAACCAAAAACAUACCUUAUUUUAUGAUCUGAUCUCAUUUUAGAUAAUUAUUAUAGUGUCAACAAAACACUCAAUCUUUUUGCAUGUAUGAAAUACACCAAUUAGCCACAAAAAAGAAGAAGAAAGAAGCUUUUUUUUUUGUCCUUUUUAGGUCACUUUGUUUAGUAAGGUGUAAGUCAAAUAUAUAGUUUUAGGCAGAUAAAGCUAACAUUGUUUUGCAAUAGUAAAAUGGCUGAAAAUUUGUAUAUAAAAUAAAUGUAAAAGAAUCUGAUAUGGGGAAAGUUAAAAAUGAAAAAAACUGAAGGAUUUGGAAGAGGUGGACUUUUUAGUUUUGCUUUUAGUUGGACAGAAAAUAGCUUUUACAAGCCAGCUGAUUAUUUGACUUUUUUUAGCUAAGAGUUUUUGAAGAAAAGGUCUUUUCUUUAUAUAGGUCCCACCCACCACAAGAAAAAGAAAUUGAAUUUGUGAUAUUAAAGCUUUCAUUUUUUUAAUGUAUAAAGAAUUAAAAAAAAAGCAUCAAACAGAUAAAUAUUAGCACAGUUACAAACACUUCUCGUUUGAUUUGUUAAGGAGAGUGGUUAUCAUUAAAAAAAAAAUUGGGUAAGAUCUUGGAGAGAGAGAGUCAAUGAAAGAGAGAGAAAGACUGUGGUGGGUUAUCAUCAAUUCUUGUUUUUGUAUGUAUUAUUUUGGGUUUUUCACCUCUUCCCCAAAGUAAUUGUGCAUUUGAUGUAAAGGGGAUAGCUUUAAAAAAGGUUCCAAUUUUUAAGCUGUUUUAAUGGUGAGGUGGAUUUGUGUUUUGGAGAAGGGAUCUUUAUAAUCUUUGUUUUGUUCUUCUUGUUGAGCCUUUUUUGUUGGUUUCUUGAUUUUUCAAGUGUCUUCUUUGAAGAGAGUUUUUUGGUUGUUGAUUUUUGGGAUCUGGGUUUUUGGGUGUGUUCUAGCUUUCUAGGGCUUUCAAUUUAUUCACCCUUUGACUCAUUUAGUCUCUUCAUUGGGUUCCCUUCCAUUUUUAUUCUUUUGUCUUUCUUAUAAACAUGGGCUUUUGACUUUCUGGUAUACUUCCAAUUCUGGGUUCUUCUCUGUGGGUUUUGCACCUGAAAUAAAAGUUCAUGGGAUUCUCCUUUUCUCAUAUUAGUGCCUGAGAUUUGCUUUUUUGGGGGUUUUUUUAUGGGUUGUUUUCCUCUGAAUUGAAUCCCUUUUUUCUGAAUUUAGGGAUUUCUAUGGGUUUUUGUUUGAUGUGUUGAAAUCCCAUUUUUUGUGGCGAAUUUUAAGCUGGUUUUGUUUCUGGGUUUGUUUCAAGCUUUUACCGCUUUGAUGCAUCUUUCACUGUGGAAACCCAUAUCUCACUGUGCUGCUCUACUUUUAGACAAGAAGAGCAGCAAGAGAAGAGAUGGGUCUGAAUCAGCAGCUGAAAUAAAAAAGAACCCAUCAGUUCUUCGUAGAUUACACGAGAACAAGCUCAGGGAAGCUCUAGAAGAAGCAUCUGAAGAUGGGUCUUUGUUCAAAUCCCAAAACAUAGAACCUGAUUCAACAAAUCAAGAUGAGAGCUUGGGACGGUCAAGGUCCCUUGCUAGACUCCAUGCUCAACGUGAAUUCUUACGAGCCACUGCUUUAGCAGCUGAGCGUACAUUUGAGACUGAAGAUUCCAUCCCUGAUAUCCGUGAAGCUUUCAAUAAGUUCCUCACAAUGUACCCAAAAUACCAAUCAUCAGAAAAGGUUGAUCAGUUGAGGUCAGAUGAGUAUGCACAUUUGUCACCAAAGGUAUGCCUUGAUUAUUGUGGAUUUGGGCUUUUCUCUUAUGUUCAAACUUUGCAUUACUGGGAAUCUUCUACAUUUAGCUUGUCUGAGAUAACUGCGAACUUGAGUAACCAUGCGCUUUAUGGUGGUGCUGAGAAAGGUACUGUGGAAUAUGAUUUAAAGAGUAGGAUAAUGGAUUAUUUGAAUAUUCCUGAACAUGAGUAUGGACUUGUGUUUACUGUAAGUAGGGGAUCUGCGUUUAAGUUGUUGGCUGAUUCAUAUCCAUUUCAUACCAAUAAGAAAUUGUUGACCAUGUUUGAUUACGAGAGUCAAUCGGUGAAUUGGAUGGCUCAGAGUGCUAGGGAGAAGGGUGCCAAAGUUUAUAGUGCUUGGUUUAAAUGGCCAACUCUUAAGCUUUGUUCUACUGAUUUGAGAAAGCAGAUUUCAAAUAAAAAGAAGCGAAAGAAGGAUUCUGCUACUGGUCUUUUUGUUUUUCCGGUGCAGUCUCGAGUAACAGGGGCUAAGUAUUCGUAUCAGUGGAUGGCAUUGGCUCAACAGAACAACUGGCAUGUCUUGCUUGAUGCUGGCUCAUUGGGUCCCAAAGACAUGGAUUCGCUUGGUUUGUCCUUGUUUCGGCCAGAUUUCAUAAUCACAUCAUUCUAUAGGGUGUUUGGCUAUGAUCCAACUGGAUUUGGGUGCCUCCUUAUAAAAAAAUCAGUCAUGGGAAGCCUUCAGAACCAGUCUGGAUCUACUGGUUCUGGAAUGGUGAAGAUUACCCCCGAGUAUCCUCUCUAUCUGAGUGAUUCUGUAGAUGGUCUUGAUGGAUUGGGUGGAAUCGAGGACAAUGAAGUUGGUACAAAUGGUGAUAAGCCCUCUGACAACCGUCCAGGUACGCAGUUGCCUGCCUUUUCCGGUGUCUUCACAUCUUCUCAGGUUAGGGACGUAUUUGAGACAGAAAUGGAUCAAGAUAAUAGUUCUGAUAGAGAUGGAGCAAGCACCAUAUUUGAAGAAACUGAGAGCAUUUCUGUAGGAGAAGUGAUGAAAAGCCCUGUUUUCAGCGAAGAUGAGUCAUCAGACAACUCAUUCUGGAUUGAUUUGGGUCAUAGUCCUUUGGGGUCCGAUGGUGCAGGUCAGUUGAAUAAGCAGAAAAUAGCCUCCCCUUUGCCACCUUUUUGGUUUAGUGGCAGGAAGAACCACAAGCGGCCCUCUCCAAAGUCAACAUCAAAGAUAUAUGGCAGCCCGAUAUAUGACGAUAAAGAUGCGAACUUAGGGCAUGAUGAUCAUGUAUUAUCCUUUGAUGCUGCUGUUUUAUCAGUUUCACAAGAACUAGACCGCGUGAAGGAGAUCCCUGAAGAAGAACUGUUUGCUGGAACGAACAUCAGAUCACAAAAUCAAAAGAAGGCUUCUGAUCAUUCACAUGUUCCAGAAAUAGAGGAAGAACAAAGUACCAGCAAACCACUGGCUGUGGGGUCUGUAUCUGGUUCUGCUAUAAAUGGAGCUCGCCUCAAUAAUGGGCUAGCAAAUGGCUCAACUUCUGAAAUUUCCUCGGAGAUUAAAGAGAGUGCCAUUAGAAGAGAAACUGAAGGUGAAUUUAGGUUGUUGGGAAGGAGGGAAGGGAACAGAUAUAAUGGUGGCAGAUUUUUUGGGUUAGAAGAUGAAAAUCCUAGCAGGGGACAAAGGGUAUCCUUUAGCAUAGAGGACACCCGUAAAGAGCGCAUGAGUCAUACUUUAGAACCGGGAGAAGUGUCUGUGACCAGCCUCGAUGAUGAAGACUACACCAGCGAUGGAGAAUAUGGUGAUGGACAAGACUGGGACAGGAGGGAGCCUGAGAUAAUAUGUCGGCAUCUUGAUCAUGUUAAUAUGUUGGGGCUCAAUAAAACGACUCUUAGAUUACGGUUUUUAAUUAAUUGGCUUGUAACGUCAUUGCUGCAGCUUAAGUUACCUAAUCCAGAUGGAGAUAGCAGAGCGAAUCUUGUUUACAUUUACGGCCCGAAAAUAAAAUACGAAAGGGGUGCAGCUGUUGCAUUCAACGUGAGGGAUAGAAACAAGGGUCUCAUUCAUCCAGAGAUUGUACAGAAGUUGGCUGAAAGAGAAGGUAUCUCUCUUGGUAUUGGUUUUCUCAAUCACAUACGAAUAUUAGAUAGUCCGCGACAACAGCAAGGUGCUCUGAGCCUCGAGGAUACUACCUUGUGCAAACCCAUGGAAAAUGGGCGACAUGAUGGGAAAAGCGGGUUCAUAAGAGUUGAGGUUGUCACAGCAUCUCUCAGCUUCCUAACUAAUUUCGAGGACGUCUAUAAAUUGUGGGCUUUUGUGGCAAAGUUCCUUAACCCGUCAUUCAUCAGAGAGGGUACACUUCCAACAGUGGCCGAAGAAGAUCCAGAGACAUAAUGAAUCAAGCAAUUCAAAAACCAGUCGUGAAACAAUCCAGGAGUCUGACUGGAAGAUUCAGAAGACCCUAAAGAGGAUUUUGCAGGUACAUUAGUAUAUGCAUGGCUUGUUCUUCCUCAAGACUCUCUGAUGCAAGUGGGUGAAUUUGUUAAUUAAUGUUUGUUGUUGCUUGAAAAUGUCCAUUCUCUUUUGGAGGUUCUUGUAGAGUUGUUUUAGAAAAAAAAAAUGUACCAUUUUGGAAGUCACCAUGACCUCAAAGCAGAAACUAUAUGGACAACUGUUACCACUUGAAAGCAUUUCUGCUUUUGGUUUAUACAACAUUCCAUUUUCUUCUCUGUAAAAAAGUAGCAUCUAAUUUUACCUUCUCAUUUGCCUAGUUGGUUCUUGAACCAUUUUUACUUUUUACCAUAGUCAAGAUAGACAAGCUUUUUAAUGUGAGAAUAUCAAGAUAGACAAAGCAUGAAUAAACUUUGUUGGAAGUUAGAAAUUUUUGUUGGCUAUACCAAAUUAUGCUUUACUGUCAAAUUAGAAGCCAUGAAAGUGUAAGAAUAUCCAUGGUAGAUACUGGUGGGUGAAACACAUUGUUUAGAUUAGGUUGAAGUUCAAUAGAUCAUACAACUUGUCAAUAACAUAAACAAUCUUAAUAGAAUUGACAUUAAACAACAAACCCCAUCAUGAAACUGGAUUAAUUAGUCAAAGAAUCCAAGGGUGGACUGAAAAUCAAAGAGUCUGUAUUCGAUGUCCUUUUCCAACUCGUAAAUUAUCAAAGGUUGGGCCAUAGCCAUUGAGUUUUGUUCCCUAUGGAAUGUAAUGCUGAAGUUACAUAUCAAUAUCAUUAUGCUUUUCUUUCUUUUGGUUACUUAUUUUGGAUCCCACGUUCAACUUAGUGGGGUUUUUUUUAAUAAAGUUGGUAGGGUAUAAAAAAGGGGCACUGCAAACUUCUUUUCAUAUCCUGAAAUCAUGAUUCAAGACCUACUUUAAGUUAUAUUUUUUUCCAACAAUAUCAUCGUAUGGUAUCUUGUAGGCAAAGCUGUCUUGUACAGGGAACUUGUACGAGGUGGUUGAUGAUGGUGAAACAUUGACAAACUUCAUCUAAAUUGAAAAUUGCAGUUGGUCACCAGUUAAAAACCUGUUUGAUAUGGAAGAUUUUGCAUGUCAUCAUCUUUAUGAAGUAUUGUUAUUAUUGUUGUAUAUUAAUAAGGGAUAAGGUAUGUUAAGGGGGGAUCAACUCCUCACGGAAAAGUCUUUGAAGUGUCGUCCUUGGGGAUGCCAACCCAAUCCUUCAACAAUGUAAGGUAUUAUCUCUUAGGGAAGAGUUUUGCACCCUAUGUAGAGAGCAUGUACGUUUGACAGAGGGGGAGGUGCCUCGAUUGUAUGUGGACAUAUGACCACCCACUAAGAAACAAUGUGAGCACCUCGCCCUUGGUAGCUAGCUCAAGUGGUACCAUAUGCCCCAACAAAUUGUUGAAUAUUGGCAAUAUCCCACAUUAGGAAAAGAUAGAAAGGAGAAGAUUUUGGGAUGAUACAACCAAAGGGGGAGGGGUUCUAUAUAUAACAAACCAAACCCCCUCCCUUUCUAUCUUUUCCUAAUGUGGGAUAUUGCCAAUAUUCAACAAAUCUCCACCUUGGCGAUAUUCCACAUCUUCGAACAUCUUCUCAUAACACUAACUUCAAUAGUGUCUUCAAAUUUGCAACCAAUCGCCUUCUUCCCUUUUGGUAGUUGUGCCAGCUUCCACAUCUUGUUUUUCUCUAGAGAUUGCAUUUCUUCUUCCAUUGCACCUAACCAUCUAAACUCUGAAUGGCUUUGGUGUAAGUGGAUGGAAUAUUAUCAACAACUGGAAGUGCAUAAGCUACCAUGUCAGUGAAACGAGCAGGUUUCUGAAUUUCUCGUCUCUGCCUUCUGACUGCAAUUGGCUCUGAUUGCUGUUGAGGUUCUUGGGUAGAAACCUCUUCCUCAUCUGACUCUGCAUCUGCCAAUGAAGAAUCACUAGUGGUACCUUCUGCUGGAAUUACCACACUCUGCUCAAACUCCACCUGCUGCGGAGUACACUCCACCUGUUGCGAAGUACUACUCACUCCUUCUGGAUUUACCUUAUUCAACAUGGCAGAUUCAUGAAAGGUAACAUCCCUACUGAUUAUCGUCUUCUUUGCCUCUAGACACCACAAACGAUAUCCCUUAACACCAGCAUUGAAGCCCAUGAAUAGAGCCUUCUUUGCUCUUGGAUCUAACUUUGAUUCUUUCACAUGAUAAUAUGCUAUAGAACCAAAAAUGCGCAAGGUGUCAUAAUCAGUAGCAGGUUUUCCAUACCAUUUCUCCAAAGGAGUCUUGCCAUUUAUAGCAGAUGAUGGCAAAUGAUUGAUGAGGUGUUGAGCGUACGUCACAGCCUCAGUCCAAAACUUUCUAUCUAAUCCAGCAUUAGAUAACAUACAUCGAACUUUCUCCACAAGCGUUCGAUUCAUACGCUCUGCCACCCCAUUCUGUUGCGGUGUUCCACCUACGGUGAAGUGCCUUACUAUGCCACAAUCUUGGCAUAUCUUCAAGAAUGGAUCGCUUUUAUAUUCUCCACCGUUGUCUGAUCGGAGAACCUUAAUCUUCCUUCCUGUCUGAUUUUCAACUUUAGUUUUCCACUUAAGGAAAACUUCAAGCACCUCAUCUUUGUUCUUCAUAGGAAACACCCAAACUCGUCUGGAAAAAUCAUCAAUAAAGGUGACAAAAUAACGUCUUCCUCCAAGUGAUGGAGUCUUGGACGGUCCCCAUACAUCAAAAUGCACAUAAUCCAGAAUACCUUUAGUAUUGUGAAUCCCAGUGCCAAAUUUCACCCUUCGUUGUUUUCUCAGAACACAAUGCUCGCAAAAUUCAAGUUUGCAAGUCUUUGUACCUUUCAAUAAUCCUUGCUUGGCUAGAGUUUGCAAGGAUUUUUCACCAGCAUGGCCCAAACGCAUAUGCCACAGCUGUGUUGCCUCAACGUCCUUCUUGGUACUCGAAAUUGUUGCUGCUGUUGUCCUAACCACUGUACUACCUUGGUAGUAAUACAGAUUGUUCUUUCUUAUGCCUUUCAACAUCACCAAUGCUCCUGAAGUUGCUUUAAGAACUCCAUCUCGUAUUGUCACAACUAGGCCUUUAGAUUCUAACGACCCCAAAGAGAUGAGAUUCUUCUUCAACUUUGGGACAUAUCGUACAUCCCGCAAAAUUCUAGUAGAUCCAUCAUGACUCCUCAGUUUAAUUGAACCUAUCCCGGCUAUUUUACAUGUGUUAUCAUUACCCAUGUAAACAACCCCUUCAUCUAGUUUUUGAAAUUCAAAGAACCAUUCCCGAAUGGGACACAUAUGAUAGGAACAACCAGAAUCCAUGAUCCACUCAUCUGCAUAUAAUGUUGAAGAUGUCAUACUAAGAGAAAAGUCUGACUCUGCUUCACUAUUGCAUUCUGCAACAUUUGCAUCUUGCGGAGUCUUCCCUUUUUUCUUCAAUUUUGGACAAUCUUUCUUCCAAUGUCCUUUUUCUUUGCAAAAGGAACAUUCAUCUUUGGCAACAGCUCGACCUUUGGACUUUCUUCUCUUCCCAUUAGACUGACUUUGUUGACGACCUCUUGUUACCAAUGCUUCCACUGCUGCUUCACCUGAACCUUUCAACUUAUCCUUUCGGCGUAGUUCAUAGCUAUACAAUGCAGCAGUUACUUCAUUGAAAGUUACUUCCGAUUUUCCAUGAAGUAGAGUAGUUUCAAGGUACUCAAACUCCUCAGGAAGCGAUCCCAACAACAUUAACGCCAAGUCUUCGUCUUCAAAAGUCACAUCCAAAUUCAACAAAUCAGCCACCAGCUGAUUAAAAUUGGUAAUGUGCUCGUUCAUCGUGGUACCAGGAACAUAAUUGAAACGAAACAGUCUUUUCUUCAUAUGCAACUUAUUUUGACUGUUCUUCUUCAAGAAUUUCUCCUCCAAUGCUUUCCACAAUUUACUUGCAGAAGUCUCUUUACUGAAUGUAUACUUCUGCUCUCUGGAAAGACAUGAUCGAAUUGUACCACAUGCCAAUCGGUUGAUGGUCUUCCAUUCUUUAUCAUCAACCCCUUCUGAUUUUUCUUCCUCAAUGGCAAUAUCUAGACCCUGUUGAAAGAGGGCAUCUAGAAGCUCACUUUGCCACAUGCCGAAAUGACCUGUUCCAUCAAAAAUUUCCACUACAAAUCUCGUAUUUGCAGUUCCAAUCCUCGGCAAAAUGUACGAAGUGGAAGUUGUUGAUAUGGAUGGUUUUUCUUCUGUCAUUUUUGCCAUAGCUUCUACUUAAUAGCCACCAAAUGCAGAAUACCCACAAGCUUUAGGAAAUGUUUCUGAUGUGUAAGAUCAGACUAAGCUGCAAACACAGAGCAUACUACAAAAUCUUGGCUCGGAUACCAAUUGUUGCGGAAGCGACGAUAAUAUUAAUAACAAUAUUAUCAGAAAUAUUUAGAUAAUUAUUAUGCCAACAAUUAUACUAAGAAAAUUCCCAGUUAAAUUGGAGGGGUCACAAAUGGUCCCGCUUAAAACCCAACAACUAGACAGAACUCACUUAGAUAUUUAUAGCAAUAAUAACUAAAUAUUUCUGAUAAUAUUGUUAUUAAUAUUAUCGUCGCUUCCGCAACACAAAUGACCUAUAUACCAUAGGUUAGGAGUUCAAAUCCCAAGGACAAAACACUCAUAUUGCCUCUUGGUGGAUGGUUGUAUGUCCACAUACAGUCAAGGCAUCUCCCUCUGUGAACCAUACAGGGCUUUCUAUGGAGCGGGGGCAAGACUCUCUCAAGGGACAAUACUUUCCAUCGUUGAGGGACCGAGUCGGUGUCUUUGAGAACAACACUUUGAAGACUUCUCCCGGAGGAGUCAAUCCGCACUCAACAAGGUGCAAUGACAAACAUGGCCAGAAAUUUGGUUGAUUUGUCAAAGGUGAACCAUAUUUGGUUGGUUAAACAAGCAACCAUCUGGCUUAUCCUUAUAGUUUGGCCAGAACAGAGAUAAAAUCAUAAAAAAAGCAUUAAAGCCCCACUUUUCUAGCUUCUUCUUGCAUCGCAUAAGAUCAAUGGCAGAAUCAUAAUAUGGAAUGAUAGAAGUCAAUCCAUGCUUCCAUUGCCUUUAACACCAUAUGCUCCAUGCCAAUGAAGCAAUCCGGGGCUUUGUCUAUCCUUUCUAUUUUUUUUUUCCCUUUAGUACAGAAUGGUUAAGGCCCCAUAAUAAGAAGAGACAUCAUUGAUUUUUAUUAACAAGCCAAAAUUCAGAUAGGGCAUUCCAAGAGUUUUAUUAACAUCAAAUUUUCACACGUGUUUUCUCAGCAAUGGCUGAAGGUAAACCUUAACCAUAACAAAACAAACUCCAUGAUUUUGGUUCACUUUUUCCUUGGACAAGAGUUUUCAGCCAAUGGAGGCCUUUUCGUUUUUUUGUUCAGAGCCAGUGGAAUCAAAUCAAUUUUUAACAUUUUUAGAAACUGGGAAAGCAAUUCAACAGGAAAUCCUGUCCAUGAUAGCUAUAACUGAAAUAGUAUAAAAAAUCCUGGACUGAUACUAUAGUAUUCAAUUGUGAGAUACACCAUAGUUUGAAAGCUAUGCUUUAUUCUCUGACAGAUUCAAAAAGAAAGAAAUAAAAUGGAGAGCCAAAGGAGCAACUGAGAGCUGCAACAGUUGAGCAAACUUUCAAUAUGACUAGGAAACCAAACGAAGCCCUUAAUUCUUCAAGGUCUUGGUAGGAGACUUUGAUAAGAAGUUGGUAAGUUCAAGUCCUACUAGCAGCUAUUUAAUGUUUGAUGUAUAUAAUAACUUAUUAGCUGCUGUUUUUGUUCUUUUCUUUGCAGAGAAUUCCACCAGCUUUUGUGAAGUAUGCUUCCAACGGAAAUGUGACUACCAUGUUCACCUUGUAUUCUGACUCAGGGAACUCAUGGCGAGUUUAAGUCAAAGUUCAACAAGGAAGCUACUUUUUCAACAGUGGAUGGUCAAAGUUUGUCAAAUACCAUGGCCUGGAAAAAGGGAUUUUCUGGUUUUCUUUUUGGUUGAUAGUUCAAUGCUUGAUGUUUUUAUUUAUAAUCGAACAGCAUGUGCAAAGAACAUCAGUUUGGCUGCUAAGAAACCAAAGGGUCGACCCCCUAGAGUUAGCAGACAGAUUGAACAAACCCCAAACAAGAAACCAAGAACAGUUUCUCGUGAGCCCCAUCCUUUUCAUUUCAUGUAUAAUCCUCCAUGUUCAUUUUCCAUUUCACUAACUUUUUUAAUGUUUCAUGCGUAGUUUAGGUGCACAGGAGGCUGAGUUUGUAUCUGAAGUAACCCCAAAGCAUGUUUCAUUUCAAAUGGUUGGGAAGGAAUACCAUAAAUACUAUGGUGUAAGAACGACUACUUAUUAAAUGCUGUUAACAAGUGUUAAUUACUUUCUACAUUCAUGUAAAUAUCUGUUUCUUAAAUUUCAGUAUAUUCCGCGUUGUUUUGUCAAAGAAACAGGCAUGGGAAAGGAAUCCAUAACGGUAAUUAAGGAUCCAAGAGGAGGGAUGUGGCUAAUGAAGACCAACGUGAGCAGAGGACAGGUUCGUUUUGGUUGUGGAUGGUUCCAGUUUCUGCAUGGAAACGAAAUAGCUGCUGGAGAUACCCUGUUGUUUGAGCACCUUCCAAAUACAGGCAAUUUUAUCCACAUACAAGUUAUUAACAAGGGUGGAAAUGGGAAUUGUGGGAGACUAAACAAGCAAGCAAAUCCCUGUGAGGACACCAGCCUUGCUGCUAAGCGACCAAGAGGUCGACCUCGCAAGCAAAUUGAAGAACCACCAAGCACAAAAUAUGCUCCAAGCACAGCUUUUUGAAUAUUGAACUGUUGAAGAUGGUGACCAUGGGUUACAUUGUAUGCCAGUCUUACUUUUGUUUGGUCUGUAAGAAAAAGAAAUGGUAUGAUCAUGAAAUUGAAAAGCCCUUUAAGUUCGGUGAUCAACACUUCAUAUCAUUAUUUUUCUGUUUAUAGUACUUCCUCCAUUAGACUAAAGAUUUUAACAAGACCAAACACGUUACACUGACAAUGAUGAAGACUAAACACGUUACACAGUUAAUUACUCUCUCAUAAUUCUUAUUAUAAGGUUUUAAUUAAUAGUGCUGGACAGAUAAGAUUAUCUGCUAUAAUUGGAGAUCCUAGCCUUGGUUUUGAAUGGCUGAAGAGGAAGAUGAAAGGCAAAUACAAACGUUGGUCAUUAAAUGAAUAUGUCCUUCGGUUUCCCGUUGAGCUCAGAAACAAAGAAUUUAGCAGUCAAUGGCUAAUAAUCAUCAUUAAAAUUGUAUUAAUUACUUUUGAAAUAUGGGUUUACAGGCAUUUCCUUAUGAUGGAUAAAAUACUCAGCAAUGGUCAUUUAAAGUAUAUAAGCGACUCACCUUAUUCCUUCAAAAUAAUUCCCCAAGACACUACCCAAAAUGGAAAACUUGUAACCAUUUUCCCAUCAUCUCUCUUUUAUUUUAUCUGAUAGUUGCAUGUAUUGAUAAGAGUUCUUUUACGGGGAAUUCCGAAAAAGUUUGUGAAAAACAAUGGAAAUGGCAUGUCAAGCCCAGCAAUGUUCUGUGUCCAAUCUGGUGAAGUAUGGAAGGUGGAACUUACAAAAUGUGACGGCAAAAUAUGGUGUGAAAAUGGCUGGCUAGAAUUUUCAAAUCAUUACUCUUUGUACAUUGGACAUCUUUUGGUUUUUAGUUAUGAUGGGAAUAGCAAUUUUCAUGUAAUCACCUUUGAUAGGACUGCUACAGAGAUACAAUAUCCCUACACCGGCAAUUAUCACAGGCAGUCCAAGUAAUUCUGGAGCAGAAUAUCGAGCAAUCCAGGAAACCGAGAGAGGAAUCGCAAUUGCCUGGCCCUCGCCCUCGCCCUCGCCCUCAGUCUCAUAAGAUGAUGAGAAGUACAAAAUCAGCAAUGGAAACCGAAACCGAGUGCAAUGGGAAGCCUGAUUUUCCUUCUAGAAAGGGUGAUACAAGCACGAACCAUAACACAGUUCGACGAUUGAAUACUUGUGAAAAGGUUAAGGCUCUCGAGAGAGCUCGUAGUACUUUCAAAUCUGAGAAUCCAUUUUUCUUGGUUGUCAUUCAACCAGAUUAUGUGGGUCUUAGUCUCGGUAAAAGAUAUAGAUUGGUAAGCAAUCAAUUGAAUUCCCACUGUCAACAUAUAUGUAUGCUGUUCAUUCAUUUUGUUAUGUGCAGGCCAUACCAGCUGACUUUGUAAGGGAAAAUUUGAUGAAAGAGCACUGUUCUAUGACUCUUUGUCACUCAAGUGGGAAAAGUUGGAUGGUUACCUUCAAGCAAAAUCAAAAAGGGAAAAAGCUAUAUUCAUUUCUACAAACUGGCUGGGGUACUUUUGUACGGGAUAACAAUUUCCAAGUCGGUCAUAUACUUAAAUUUUCAGUGAAAAGUUAGUGGAGCAAAAUUGUUUUUGCUACCUCAGCAACAGAUAAAUUUGCACCAUCAAUUUACUAAAGUUGUCUAUCCUUUUAUCCAACGAGGUUUUUUUUUUUAAUUUUAAAUAUAUUAAAAAAAUAUUUUCUAAUAGGUAAAUAUAUUAAAUAUAUUAAAAUUUUAAAAUUAGUUAUACUUAAAAUUUUUUUAAUAUGUUCAAAUUUUAAUAUAUUUAAAUGUAUUAAGUAUAUUAAAAAAAUUAAAAUUGGAUAUACUCAAUAUUUUCUUCAACAUAUUUAAAAUUUUAAUAUAUUUAAAUUAUUUUUAAAUUUCUUUAAAAUUGCAAAUAUAUUAAAAAAAUUCUCUUUACCUAUUAAAAAAUAUAUUAAAUAUAUUAAAAUUUUAAUAUAAUUAAAAGUUUAAAAUUUUUUUAAAAAGUAUAUUGAAUAUAUAUAUAUUAAAAUUUUAAAAUUGGUUAUACUUAACAUUUUUUUUAAUAUAUUAAAAAUUUAAAAUUAAUUAUAAUUAACAAUUUUUAAUAUAUUUAAAAUUUUAAAAAACUUUAAAAGAAAAAAAAUCACAUUGUAGCUUUGGAGUCUGGUGGCCCCAGUUUAUUUGGCUCCACCUGAAAAUAGAAAUUUUUUUAAAGUCCCUCAUUGUUUAAAAAAUUACAGUAAUUUUUUAUAUUUAUACAGGUAAUACCAUUCUAUAUAGCUCUAUCAAAAAAUUAAUUUUUUUUAUUCCGGUUGUUAUGUAGCAUGUUGGUGGCGCCAAACUCUUUAGCUCCAUCAACUUUCACUGUAGAUCUAAAGUCAUUUAUGCGUUUAAUAAAAAAAUGAGUCAUUUAUAUAAUUAAUUAAAUUUUUUUAGUUAAUUUUAUAAAAAAGCCUGCCUUUGAGCUAAUAAAUAGCAUCAAAAUAUCCUUCAAUGUAGUCAUUUACCAAGGCCAGCAUGCAAAUUGCCAUCAAUCAUUAGCAUCAGAAUGGAAUGCUAGAACCCAACUUAUGCCUCCAUUGCCUUCAAAAUAAAUGCAGUCUCCAAAGCUGACUUUUAGCACUUACGAAACCUGUUCUGUUCCACAGUGCCUGUCAUUAAAUUAAGCACUAUAGGAUGUCUAUCACAUAACUCAAAUUUGAAAAGAAAAAUGGUUAUGAUAUUUUCACUAUUCGGCACGAAAUUAUAGGUGAACAAUUUUUGUAUUUUUGCAGAUGCACAUAUUUUAGCCUGUGCUCCAACAUUUAUCAAGCAAUUUCACAAUAUAUGCUCCAUGCUUAUGAAGCAAUGACUGAACAUAAACCCAUAAGUUAAGAAAACAAACUCUGGGUUCUUUCAUGGUUUAGUAUAGGAGCCUGGGGGGCUUUAAACCAAAUCAAAAUUUACCAAUUUUAGAAACUGGGGAAAGAGAUUUUAUACUCUAUAGGUAAUGCUGUGAUAGCUUUUCCUGAAAAUAGUAUAGAAAAUCCCAGGAAAAUGAAAUCUCUGACACCGCUAAAAUCUUUUUAACUCUAGUAUCUUAUGGAAAGUCAUUUGACUGCAAAUCUUCUGCAACUCCACGUUCAACAAAAAAAUAAAAAAAAAAGAUAAAAAGAAAGAAAUAAAAUUGACAACUAAAGAAGCAAAUGAGAGCAGUAGCAGUAGAUGCAAACUUUGAAUAUGACUAGGAAACCCAAAAGAAACCCUUCUUUCUUCAAAAUCUUGAUAGGAAACUUUGAUAAGAAGCUGGUAAGUUCAAAUCCUACUAAACAACCAUUUAAUGCUUCUUAGUUCUUAAUCACUCAAGUUUUCUGUAUGUAGUUAUUAAAUGCUGUCUUCUUUGGUUUUUUUGCAGAGAAUUCCACCAGCUUUUGUAAAGUAUGUUUUUAAAGGAAAUGUGCCCACCAUGUUGACCUUGUAUUCAGACUCAGGGAACUCAUGGCGAGUUAGAAUCAAAGUUGAACAAGGAAGCUAUUUUUUCAACAAUGGAUGGUCAAAGUUUGUCAAAUAUCAUGACCUGGAAAUAGGGGAUUUUCUGGUUUUCUUUUUGGUUGAUAGUUCAACGUUUGAUGUUUUCAUUUAUAAUCGAACGGCAUGUGCAAAGAACAUCAUUUUGGCUGCUAAGAAACGAAAGGGCCGAUCCCCUGGAGUUAGCAGACAAAUUGAACAAACCCCAAGCCAUAAAUGUACUUCAACUUCCAAGAAACCAAGAACAGUUCCUCGUGAGCCCCAACCUUUUCAUUUCAUGUGUAACCCUUCAUGUUCAUUUUGCAUCUCACAAACUUUUUUUAAUGUUUCAUUCAUGGUUUAGGUGUACAGGAGGUUGAGUUUGUAUCUGGAGUAACCCCGAAGAAUGUUUCAUAUGUAAUGGUUGUGAAGGGAUACAAUAAAUACUAUGCUGUAAGAACACAACUACUUUAUUCGAUAUUGCUGGCUGUUAGUGUUAAUUACUUUCUACUUCAUAUAUGUUCUUUUUUUCAGGGUAUUCCGAUAUGUUUUACUGAAGAAGCAGGCUUGGGAAAGGUAUCCAUGGUGAUGGUUAGAGGUCCAAAAGGUGGAAUGUGGCCAAUGAUGACCACUUUUAGUUCAAAACAAGUUCUUCUGAGUGUUGGAUGGUCCAAGUUUCUGCAUGAAAACGAGAUUGUAAUUGGAGAUACCCUUUUGUUCGAACACGUACCAAAUACAGGCCAUUUAAUCCAUGUCCAGGUUGUUAACAAGGAUGGAACUGGAAACUGUGGUAGCCUUGCUGGUAAGCGACCAAGAGAUCGACCUCGCGAGCAAACUGAACUACCACCAAGCACAAAAUAUGCUUCAAGUUCCAAGCGUACCAAAGGUCCUUUAACUUGCAUUUCAUCACUUCAAUUUUUUUCAUGUUUUUUAGUCUCAUUUCAUUUCAAUCAUCAUUGCUUGUUUAGGUGUAUCAGAGUUAAUCUUGGAACAGGCUUCAUUUGUAGUUGUUUUGAAGAAAUACCAUCAAUACUCUGUUGUAAGAACUAUGUCUUGAUUAUCUAUUCUCAAUUCAAUGCUGUUUCUACUCCAUUUUAAAUAUCUUUUACUUAAAUUUCAGUCUGUUCCAGCCAGUUUUGCCAAAGAAACAAGCUUGGCAGAGGAACCGAGCACGGUGAUAAAGGACUCAGAGGGUAGGAAGUGGGAAUUAAACAUCUUGGUUGAUGCAAAAUCAAAUGUUCGUCUAGGUGCAGGAUGGUCACAAUUUGUGCAAGAAAUCAAAUUAGAAGCUGGAGAUACCAUUUCGUUUCAACACAUUCCCAACACUGGUAAUGUAAUUUACUUCAAGAUCAUUAGCAAGGCUAGAGCAGCAAAUUAUGGUGAUGGAAGAAACAUGAGAAAAAAUGUCUGUUAAAAAGUGGUAUCAUUUGUAAUGUCUGUUGUUUACCAGUUGUUGAAGAUGGUGAUGGUGGUUUGUAACUUGUAUGAUUGUGUUGUACCUGUCUAUCUUUUGUUUUGAUGGUAAGAAAAAGAAUUGGUAUGAUCAUGUAUGAAUUUCCAGGAACCCUCUUUGAAGUUGGAAAGUCAUUCAGGAAAGCUUGAUCAUUAUGUUUCUGUUUAUAGUUAACUUGCUGCAGUAGACUAAAGAUUUGUUGGAGAUUGGAUACAUGACAAUAUGUUGACAAUGCAUGUACAUGAUGAUAUAGUUUAACAGAUCCCAUUUUUGGUAAUUCAUAUUAAAAAUAUUUUUAGACUUUCCAAUUAUAUAUUCUUUUAUAUAGCAAAGUUGUUCGCUUUUUUAUAAAAAUAAUUAAUUAUUUAAAUCAAUUAUUUUUUUAUAAAAUAUGAAAAUAAUUUAAAAUCUAUUGUAAAAGUUAGUGAAGUCAAAGUGUUUGGCGUUAUCAACAUACUAAGUCAGCAAUUUGUAUUAAAAAUUUAAUUUUUUGGUGAAGCCAACAUGUCAAGUUACCAAUUUGCAUUAUAAAAUUAAAAUUUUGAUUUUUGGUGGAAUCAUAUAAAAUAACGUUACUUUAGAAAUAUUGUAAUUUUUAAAAGUAUAGGAGAUUUAAACAAUUUUAACUUUUUCUAAAUUGGCGUCACCAAAUUUCAAAAUAUUAGCUAAAUUUCAAAAUAUUAGCCUGUUAUGUAUAUUUGCCUAUUGAAACAACCUAAAUUUUUUAUUUAUUUGUUGGUUACUUUUUCUGAUUUUUAGUUUUUUUUUCAUUUUUUAGUUUUUCUUUUUAAGUUUUUUUAUUUAUUUACUUUUUAUAAAACCAAUAACAAACAAAUAAAUAAAAUAAAUAAAGUAAAAAUAAAAAAAAACUUAAAAAUUAAAUAAAUAAAAAAAUUAAAAAGAAAAAAAAAGAAAAGGACAGAAUUAGAAAAAGUAACAAAUGAAAAAAAAAUUAAGCUGUUCCAAUAGACAAAUAGGCAAAACAAGCAAGUGUAUUGGAAUCUAGUAGCGUCAAUUUAUUUGGCUCCACGUGAAAAAGGUAAAAUUGUUUAAAUUUUCUAUACUUUAAAAAAAUCACAAUAUUUUCCUAGUAUAUAUACAAAUGACGUCAUUUUACAUGGCUCUACCAAAAAAUUAAUUUUUUAAUACAGAAUUACUGACGUGACAUGUUGGUAACGCCAAACACUUUGGCUCCACAACUUUUACUGUAAAUUUUGAAUUGUUUUCAUAUUUUAUCAAAAAACAGAUCACUUAAGUAAUUAAUUAUAUUUUGGGGUUAUUUUUAUAAAAAACCCUCAAGUUCUUAAUAUGAUUUUCGUUAGUGCACCUCUCAUAAUUUAAUAGAUGGAUUAAUCUGUUGUAACUAGAGAUACUAGCCUUCUUUUGAAUGGUUGAAGAGGAAGAUGAAAGGCAAGUACAAAACUUUGUUUAAUGAAAUGAAUCUAUCAUUUUGUUUCCCUCAAGUCCAAAAACAAUGAAUUUAACAGUAAAUAGCUAAUAAUCAUCAUUAAAAUUGUAUUAAUUACUCUUGAAGUAUCGAUUUAUAAGAAAUGAACGGAAAGCUAAGCAGUCAACUAUCUCUAAGCAUAUGUUUCAUAGUAUAGUAACCAGUUCAACAGUCCCUGGAAAGUCGAAUCAACCUAUAUUAGUUAUUACUUCUUUUUUUUAGCUUGUUUUGUGUUUAGUUCUCAAAGGCUUAUUCUAAAGCUGAUCAAGCAUGGCUGUUGCUUCUCAUCAGCAAGGCAGUGAUCUUUUAAAGUAUAUAAGCAACUCACCUUUUUUCUUCAAAACAAUUUUCUUAGACACUAUUCAUAAUGGAAAACUUGGAAGCAUUCUCUUAAGACCUUUCUUUUAUUUUAUCUUAUUCAUAAACCUCAAGAGUAUAUGCAACUUACCAAGCGCCUUUGUAAAAAUGUCAACCAAUUGAACUGAGGUCGGAACAUAAAAAGGUACAAUCAACUCAUCCUAAAUUGUAUCCCUAACAAAGUGACAAUUCACUUCAAUAUGUUUAGUACGCUUGUGAAAUAUAGGAUUCUGUGCAACAUAAAAUGCAGAUUGACUAUCACAAAAUAAAGUAAUAGCUUUAGGAUGAUAAACACCUAAACUCAAUAGCAAUGUCUUCAGUCACUUGAGCUCACAAGUGGCAGAAUCCUAGACCUAUACUCAGCCUCAAUGGAAGAACGAGAAACAAUACGUUGUUUCUUAGUUUUCCAGGAAAUAGGAGAUUGUCCCAGAAAGACAAGCCAGCCAGUAAACGAACGUGAGUUAACGGACAAGCAACCCAAUUUGAAUCAUACCACCCCUUUAAGGACAAAUCACUAUCAAAUCUCAAUAGAAAUCCUUGGCCAGGAGAGUCUUUCAAGUACCAAACAACCCACAGAGUUGUGUCCUAGUGCUUCUACCUCGGCUCAUGCAUAAACUGAGAUAAAACAUGAACCGAGUAUGCUAAAUCAAGUCUAGUCACUACCAAAUAGAUUAAACAACCCAUUAACCAUCUGUACUACUCAGAAUUAGUCAAAACUGCCCAUGGAGCAUGCAUCAAUCUAUGAUUUUGCUCUGGGAAUCUUACGGGCUUUGCUUCCAAAUAACCAAUCUCUGAAAAUAAUAUCAAGUGUUUAUUUCCUUUGACAAAGAAACAUACCCAAAGAAAUAUUUUUGGAAGCAAGAAUUGAGAUACCCUUUACAAGUUUUUAAAGCAACAUAAUCAUUCCUAAAAAUAAUCAAAUCAUCAACAUAAACUAGCAAAUUAAUGUGUACAAAUUCCUUAGUGUAUGUAAAGAGAUUAAUAAGAAUAUGAUUGAAGAAACUCAUAGCCUUUCAGUGCAGUAAUCAGCUUAGCAAACUAAUACCAAGGAGCAUGUUUUAACCUAUACAAAGACUUGUGCAAAUGAAAAAUUAGUCUAGGCAUAUCAAGUGCAAAACCUGGAGGAAGCUUCAUGUAAGCCUCUUCUUCAGGAUCACCAUGCAAAAAGGAAUUAUAUACAUCCAUUUGAUGUAACUCUUAUUUUUCGAAACUGCAACAACUAAGAAAGCACUAAUAAUCACCAUUUUUGCCAUAAGAGCGAAAGUUUCAUUAUAAUCAAUAGCUUCUACUUGGCUAUUACCAAAAAUGACAAGACAAACUUUAACUCUCUCAAUAUUUCCAUCGGACUUAUAUUUAAUCUUAUACACCCACUUACAAUCUAGAGUUUUCUUUUUAGGAGGAAGUGUCUUUAUAAACCACGUGUCAUUAUCCUCCAAAGUACGAAUCUCCUUUUACAUAGCAUUAUGCCAUACUGCAUCUUUCACAGCCUCUUUAAAAGACUGUGGCUUGAUCUUUGCAGUAGUAGCUAUAUGAAAAUUCCAGUGUUUCAUAGUGAAUUUGUCACAGAACAUAAUACGCUAUAAGAAAUGGAGUACCUGUGGAAGGCCCUAAACUAUCUAAGGUGGGAGAUGGACUUUUCUUUAUGGCAGUAUUAAUGACAAAAUCUUGAAACUAUUGAGGAAAUUUUUCUCUAUGCUCUCACCCCAAUUCAGAUACAUCAUUAUCCAAAGCCCCAAAACCCUUUAUACCACCGUGUCAUCGGAGGAAGAAGAAUACUCCACAAGUGACGAAAAAUCUGCAAGUGGCGAACUCACAAGCUACGGAGUGACAAGAGAAUGAAUUGUAUAAAAAAUAUGUAUAAAAUAUUUCGUCUGCACUCCUAUAUGGCAGAACAACAUUGUCGAGCUCAAUAAUUGCAAUAUUCCCAUCCAAAUUCUAAAAUAAUAUCUUCAAAAAAUUUCACAUCACAGACACAAAAAACUUCUUAGAAUCCAUACAAUAUAAAUAUAAACCCUUUUUUCCAAAAGGAUACCUAACAAAAACAUACUUUCGAGCAAACGUAUUAACUUAGAACGCCGAUUAUGAGCAAAACAUAAGCAACCAAGCACACGAAGAUCAUCAAACAAAGGAGGUCUACCAAAUAACAUUUCAUAGGGUGUUUUUCCAUGAAGAAGAGGUGAAGGAGUUCGAUUGAUAAAAUGAGAAGCAGCCACAUUUAAAAUAUGUUAAAAUAUGUUAAUGCUUCCUGAGGACUCCCCCAUUUUUUUGAGGAGUACUACACAAAAUGUUUGAAAAAUAAUAUAAUUUGUAAGAAAAUAAUCCUAGAGAUACAAUAUCCCUACACUUGUAAUAGUCAUAUGCGAUCCGAUGAAUUUCCGGAGCAGAAUAUCAACUAAUCCGAAGAUGAUAACUCUAUAAAGAUCAUAAAAUACAUCUCUCCAAGAACAAUGAUGGAGGAGCCGAAAUCGAAUUCAGCUAUGGAAAUCGAAACCAAGUGCAAUGGGAAGUCUAAUGGAUGUCAAGUUAGAAAUGGUGAUAAAAGCAAAAGCCAUACUAUAAUUCAAUAAUUUAAACCUCAUGUAGUGAUUGAGAACCCAUUUUUCCAAGUUGUCAUGCACCUAUCAUAUGUUGGUCACACUAGUGAUAAAAAAUGCAGACUGCUAAGCAAUCAAUUGAAUUCCCCACUAGAUCCUAUGCAUGCAGUUCAUUUCAUUACUUCAUUAAUAUAUACUAAACUUGCAUAAAUGAGCAAAAUUUUCCUUUUCACAGGCCAUACCAGCUAACUUUGUGAGGAAACAUUUGAUGAAAGAGCAAUGUUCAGUACUCCUUUGCAACUCAAGCGGCAAAACUUGGAUUGCUACCUUCAAGCGGAGACGAAUAGGGGAAAGACUAUAUAUACGAAGCGGUUGGGAUACUUUUGUACGGAAUAACAAUAUUCAAGUCGGUGAUUUUUGCGCGUUUGAGCUAAUAAAUAGCAUCGAAAUAUCCUUCAUAGUAGUCAUUCACCAAGGCCAGCAUGCAAAUUUUCAUCAGUCAUUAGCUUCAACUGAUGCAUUUCGUCCCGAGAAAUGGAAAGUUCCGUCGUACGCAAGUCGGAGCCGCACCGAACCAUUGACUGCUCUUGAGAAAACUAAAGCUUUUCGAAUAGCUAGUGCUUUCUAAUCUGAAAAUCCGUUCUUUAUUGUAAUCAUACAGCCAUCUGUUGAACAUGGACUGUAAAGCAACAAAGGAGCAACUUGGUGCAUUUUGUUUAUUUUGUUUAUUUUGUUUAUUUUUAAUAUUUGUAAUGAUAGCUAUAAUUGAAACAAGUUGAUAUGCAACUUGGUUUCAUAAUAAUAGCUAAUAUGCUUUCAUAAUGAUAGCUAUAAUGCUUUUAUCUUUUUAAUUAUUAAUUGGCAAGUUGCCAAAUUUAGUGGAAAUUGUUAGGUAAACAUUCCACUUUUGUAACUCUAUAUUUUGAAAUGAAAUGAAAAUGGUAUGAUUAUUCGGUUUCAAUCAAACAUAUUUUUUUUCCUUUUGCUUGUUAACCGAGAGCUUAUGCUCUUGAUGCUUUGUGUUUUUCUGCUUGCUGUUUGAAGAGCUUAUGCUCUUAGUGUUUCAUUGUUUGGUUGUUGCUGCCAUUUUAUCCAACAAAUGGUAAUUAGAGCAUCCUAUCUUUGAGGACCUUUGUGGUUUUGUUUUAGUUUUCAAAAUAAAGUCAGUUUUGCUUCUGCAAAAUCAGUUUCAGCAACAUGAGCUUUGUACCUCCUCCACCACCAAUUUUUGCUGGAGAAAACUACCACAUUUGGAUAGUUAAAAUGAAAACUUACCUCCAAGCACUUGAUCUGUGGAGUGCAGUUGAAAAUGAUGUCGAGCCACUACCAUUGAGAGCAAAUCCAACCAUUGCUCAGAUCAAGCAACAUGGUGAGGAGCGAGCCAAGAAGCAUAAAGCCAUGGCCUGCCUACAGAAUGGAGUGUCUGAUGUAAUUUUUACUCGCAUCAUGGCCUGUGACUCACCCAAACAAGCUUGGGACAAGCUGAAAGAGGAGUUCAUGGGAUCAGACAAGACAAGGCAGCAACAAGUAAUUAAUCUUAGAAGGGAGUUUGAAAAUUUGAAGAUGAAGGAGUCAGAAACUAUCAAGCAAUAUUCUGAUAGGAUUAUGGCUACUGUCAAUAAUAUUAGACUCCUUGGAGAAGAUUUCAGUGACAGCAGGGUUGUUGAGAAGGUUAUUACCACCUUACCUGAAAGGUUUGAGUCAAAAAUCUCCUCAUUGGAGGACUCGAGAGAUCUCACAACCAUUUCUUUGUCUGAGUUGGUUAACUCACUUUAUGCACUUGAGCAGAGAAGAGCAAGUAGGCAGGAGGAAAGUCCUGAAGGUGCUUUUCAAGCAAAGAUCAGAGAAGGCUCCAGCUCAAGUCAGAAAGCUAAGAAGCCUUGGUUUGAAAAGAGGGAAAGAUCAAAGAAAGAUGUCGGUAGAAGGAGGUUUCCACCAUGCGUUCACUGCAAGAAGACUAACCAUUUGGAGAAGUAUUGCUGGAACAAACCAGACAUCCAAUGCAAGAGCUGCAAGCAGUAUGGUCAUCAUGAAAAGAUUUGUAAAAAUCAAGAAAAGUUACAAACUCUGCCAGUACAAGCCAAGACUGCUGAAGAUCUUCAAGCUCAGGAGGAGCAUGUCUUCACUGCCUCAUGUUCUACAACCACAAGCAAAUCCAAAUGCAGUUGGCUUGUGGAUAGUGGCUGCUCACAUCACAUGGCAUCAAAUGAGAGCCUGUUCAAGGAUCUUGACAGGAGUUUUGCUUCAAAGGUCAGAAUAGGCAAUGGGAAUCUGAUUGAAGCUAAAGGCAGAGGUGAUAUUGUGAUCAACACUAGUUCAGGUAACAAGGUUAUUUCAGAUGUGCUUUAUGUACCUGAAAUAGAUCAAAAUCUACUUAGUGUAGGUCAGCUGGUUAAGAAAGGCUACUCUCUAGUUUUCAAGAAUGAUUCUUGUAUUAUUAAUGAUAUUCUUGGUAGAGAAGUUGUUUCAGCACCCAUGGCAGAUAGGUGUUUUAUGUUGGAUGUGAGCCAACUUGAGAGAAGAGCCUAUACAAGUUCAGUUGACAAUGCUGAUCUGUGGCAUAGAAGAUUUGGCCAUGUCAAUUUCAGGUCACUCAAUUUGCUGCACAAGAUGAGUUUGACAGAGGACAUGAUUGAGGUUGAUGCAAAUGAGUCUGUUUGUGAAGUAUGUUAGCUUGGUAAACAGGCCAGGUUGCCUUUUCCAGUAAACCAAGCAUGGAGGGCUCGAGAAAGACUUGAAUUGGUGCACUCAAAUGUCUGUGGACCAAUGAAGACUCCUUCACUGAAUGGCAGUAAGUAUUUUAUACUGUUUAUUGAUGAUCUGACCAGAUUUUGCUGGGUUUAUUUCAUGAAACAAAAGUCAGAAGUGUUUGAAGUUUUUGGAAAGUUCAAGGCAUUGGCAGAAAAUCAAAAAGGCUGCAGGAUUAAGGCCUUGAGGACAGACAAUGGUUCUGAAUACUUGUCUGAAAGAUUUCAGAAGCUAUGUGAGCAGGCUGGGAUUCAUCAUCAAUUGACCAUAGCGUAUACUCCUCAGCAAAAUGGAGUAUGUGAAAGGAAGAACAGAACAGUGAUGAACAUGGCCAGGUGUUUGUUGUUUCAAAGCAAGCUUCCAAACAUUUUUUGGGCUGAAGGUGUCAACACCUCAGUGUACCUGCUCAAUAGGCUGCCAACACAUGCUUUAAAUGAUAAAACUCCUUUUGAAGCAUGGUAUGAUCUUAAACCAACAGUUUCCCAUUUAAAAGUGUUUGGUUGCAUGUGUUUUGUACUUGUCCCUGCAGAAAGAAGAACCAAGCUUGAGAAGAGAUUAGUUCCUGGUAUAUUUGUUGGCUACAGUAGCUGCAAAAAGGGCUACAGAGUAUUUGAUCCUUCAACCAAGAAGAUUUUGGUAAGCAGGGAUGUCAAAUUCGAUGAAGGAAGGUUUUGGAGUCUAGAUGGCUCUAACACAAGUCAGUUUGAAGAAGAGCAGAUUGACAACAAUCUGGAAUUGGCAGAAAAUGAAGUCAGUAAUGCCAAUGUAGAUGAUACUCCUGUGAGAGGGACCAGGUCUAUUACUGAUAUCUACCAAAGAUGCAAUGUGGCCAUUGUUGAGCCUUCAAGCUAUGAAGAAGCUGCAAGAAGCAGGAGCUGGAAGAAGGCUAUGGAGGCUGAAAUCGACAUGAUCCAUAAGAAUGACACUUGGGAUCUGGUAGACAGACCUGAUCAGAAGAAGGUCAUAGGUGUCAAAUGGGUUUUCAGGACCAAAUUCAAUGCUGAUGGCUCUUUGAACAAGCACAAGGCAAGGCUUGUGAUGAAAGGGUACAAUCAACAGUUUGGCAUUGAUUUUGAGGAGACAUUUGCUCCAGUAGCAAGGCUGGACACCAUAAAGCUCCUGUUUGCUUUGGCAGCACAGAAACAGUGGAAGGUCCAUCAGCUUGAUGUCAAGUCAGCUUUCCUGAAUGGCUUCCUUAAAGAGGAGAUUUAUGUUGAACAGCCUGAUGGAUUUAAAGUCCAAGGAAAGGAGGACAAGGUUUACAAGCUGAAGAAGGCACUCUAUGGACUAAAACAGGCUCCUCGAGCCUGGUAUGACAGGAUAGAUGCUUACCUGUCUAAGCUCAAUUUCGAGAAAAGUUUGAGUGAGCCAACUUUGUUUAUAAAGAAGUCCAAAGAUGAGACUUUGCUGAUUGUCUCAAUAUAUGUAGAUGAUCUAUUAGUGACUGGAAGCAGGGUCGAUUUGAUUCAGGAGUUCAAGAAGAAUAUGCAAGACAUGUUUGACAUGACAGACUUGGGAAUCAUGACUUACUUCCUUGGUAUGGAAGUAGACCAGUCUGAUCAAGGCAUUUUUAUCAGCCAGCAUGCAUUUGCCUUGAAAAUUCUCACUAAGUUUCAUAUGGAAAACAGCAAACCAGUGAGCACACCAUUAGCUGUGGGAGAGAAACUAAGCAGCUUUGGAAAUGAAGAAAAGGUAGAUGAAAAGGAGUAUAGAAGCCUGAUUGGAUGUUUACUUUACUUGACAGCAACCAGACCUGACCUUAUGCAUUCAGUUAGUCUACUGUCUAGAUUCAUGCACAGCUGCAAUACAACUCAUUUGAAAGCAGUAAAGAGAAUACUCAGGUAUGUCAAAGGUACUUUGAAGUUUGGUGUAAUGUUCAAGAAAGGAAGUGAGCUGAAAUUAACUGGCUACUCAGAUAGUGACUGGGGUGGAUCAGUUGAUGAUAUGAGAAGUACUUCAGGCUACUUCUUUACACUUGGUUCGGGAGUUUUCAGUUGGAGUUCAAAGAAGCAACAAACUGUUGCUCAGUCUACUGCUGAAGCCGAAUACAUAGUAGCAGCUGCAGCAGUGAAUCAAGCCAUUUGGAUUAGGAAGUUGCUAUGUGAUUUGAAUGAAGAACAGCUCGAGCCUACUGAAAUUUUGGUGGAUAACCAGUCAGCAGUUGCCAUCUCUAAAAAUCCUGUUUUUCAUGGCAAAACCAAACAUUUUAAGCUCAAGUUUUACUUUGUUCGAGAAGUUGUCCAAUCCAAAGAAGUGAGUCUAAUACAUUGCAGCUCACAAGAUCAAUUGGCUGACAUUUUGACAAAGCCUCUUGGCACAAUCAGGUUUGAAUUUCUAAGGAAAUCAAUUGGUGUUUGUUGCCUACAGUCCAAGGAGGAGUGUUGAACAUGGACUGUAAAGCAACAAAGGAGCAACUUGGUGCAUUUUGUUUAUUUUGUUUAUUUUGUUUAUUUUUAAUAUUUGUAAUGAUAGCUAUAAUUGAAACAAGUUGAUAUGCAACUUGGUUUCAUAAUAAUAGCUAAUAUCCUUUCAUAAUGAUAGCUAUAAUGCUUUUAUCUUUUUAAUUAUUAAUUGGCAAGUUGCCAAAUUUAGUGGAAAUUGUUAGGUAAACAUUCCACUUUUGUAACUCUAUAUUUUGAUUAUUCGGUUUCAAUCAAACAUAUUUUUUUUUCCUUUUGCUUGUUAACCGAGAGCUUAUGCUCUUGAUGCUUUGUGUUUUUCUGCUUGCUGUUUGAAGAGCUUAUGCUCUUAGUGUUUCAUUGUUUGGUUGUUGCUGCCAUUUUAUCCAACACCAUCAAAUAUUAAGUCAUGUAGAUUGGUAAGUUUUUCUGUUGAAACUUGUUGGCCAUUUCCAAGUUCUUAUGACUGCACCAUGCAAAUGUUAUAAUGCAACUUGAAAAGGCAGAAAAUAACUGAACUGACAUGUUUUUGUUUAUACGAACAGAGUAUACCAGUGAAUUUUGCUAGGAAAUAUCUCACAAAGAUGCACAAAGAGGUCAUACAUCUCCUUUCAGAUGGAAAAUCAUGGCCAGUGAUAUUUUUUCAGCACAGUAUCGAAAAACCAAGUGUAAUAUCCGGUACGGGUUGGCGUGGAUUUGCUAUGGAUAAUAACUUAGAAGUUGAUGAUGUUUGUGCCUUUGAACUCAUUGAGGGUCCUAAAACAUCAAUGAAGGUAACCAUUUAUAAGAUGCAGGCUGUUGAAGACUUAUCUUUGGGUAAGUAGGUUCCAUUUCAGGUAAGGCCUUAGAAGAGGCAAAUUAAAGCUAUCAAGCUUUUCAAGAGGAUGAAGCAAAUCCCAGCUACCAAACCGUAGGACCGAUUUCAUUGAUUCAAUGAUUAGCUUGUCCUGUAACUGUUUAGCCAUGACAUUGUAACUUGUUUCUGAUGCCGUCCUAUGAACAUUUCACCUGUAAUAAUUUUCCUUUAGAUGGUUUUGUAAAUUCACUAACCAUUAGCUUGAAAAACUGGUCUGUUUCAUAUUAUAAAAAACGCUGCUUGCAAAACCCUCCAGAUUCUCCUAAAGAACCCAAAUUACCUACGAGCUUGAUGGAGGUGUAAACAAUGGUUGGAUAAACUGUUACGAACAUUUUUUUUUAUUCCUAAGCAAGUAAAUGAAAAUAGCAAAAUUAGUGAUAUAUGUAGCUUUCUAAAAAAUUAAAGCACUGUUAAUUUUAAUGAUUCAAUUUACUUGGUCAAAUAAUUAAAUGAUUUUUGUGUGAAAAUAUAUUUUCUAGCAAUGUAUCGCAAAGAAAAAAAAGUAAAAUAGAACACAAAUUCGAAUGAUACAAGUGGAGAGGCGAUUAUAUCUAUUUAUAAAUUUGUAAAACUAUAUUCUAAUCAAAGUUAAAUAGAAGUAAUGCAGUAAAGUUAAAAUAUCUUAUUCUAAUUAACAAAUAGAGAUAAUAUAUUUCUAUACGUAUUUCACUUGUGCAUCCCGCAUCGUACUGCGAGAGUCCAGAGGCCCCUACACUCUCAAUUGUGACCUGAGCCCAAUAGCUUGCCACUUCUAUUUUAUUUUAAUAAGAAUUUUACUAUUUUAUUAAAGAAACUAAGUUAUCAAAAAAAAUUUAUAAAAUUUUUACAAGACCCAUUCUUUAUCAUGUCUAUUUGACUAUUUCUAAUGUGGUUGAAUUUUUUAAAAACGACAUAAAUUUACCGAAUGCAAAUGAUAUGGGCAAUGUAAAAGGUAAGUUUUAGGUUUGCUCUUCAAGUUCUUGCUGCUCGGCUAAAUGGAUUUCGGUUCACUUUUUGUUGGAGCCAAUGGAGGACAAUGUUGGCUCUUAAGCUUAAAUCAAAUCAAUGUGUCUUUUAAUGAAAGAAAAAAAAAUGGAGAUUGUCAUCUGCAUUUUGAUUCUCUGACAUAUACAGGAUCAUCUUUCCUGCUCUGGUGGGGUAAAAAGCUAAUGUGAUGGAAAUCAUUUGACUGCAAAUCUACAACUUCACGUCAAAACAAAUAAAUAAAUGGAGAGAAUCCAAAGUAGCAAAGCAAAUGAGAAAACUGCAGCAGUUAAUGCAAAACUUUGAAUAUGACUAGGUGUUAGAAUAUACCAUAUCACAUGUGCAAAUUGUUAGUCUGUUAUUGAAUUGUUAAAUGGAGUAGUUUAGUGAUUGAAAAUAGUCAAGGGUCUAGACUAUAAACAUAUAAACAUGUGUAUUGUAUAGGGUAGAUUUUCAAGUUUUAAUAUUAAGAAUAUACUACUCUCUUCGAUCCUUGUUCAUUCUUGUAGGUUUCGAUAGGAGAUUUUGAUAACAAGCUGGUAAGUUCAUAUCCUAUUAACAGCCAUUUAAUGCUUCUUAAUGGCUCUAGUUUCAUGUAUAUAAACAACUUAUUAACUGUUAUUUUUUUUUUCCUUUUGCAGAGAUUCCACCAGCUUUUGUGAAGUAUGGUUUUAAAGGAAAUGCGCCCACAAUGUUCACCUUGUAUUCUGACUCAGGGAACUCAUGGCGAGUUAGAGUCACAGUUCAACAAGGAAGUUACUUUUUCAAUAGUGGAUGGUCAAAGUUUGUCAAAUAUCAUGGCCUGGAAAUAGGGGAUUUUCUGGAUUUUUUUGGUUUUUAGUUCAAUGUUCGAUGUUCUCAUUUAUGAUCGAACUGCAUGUGCAAAGAACAUCAUUUUGCUGCCAAGAAACCAAAGGCCCAACCCCUUGGAGUUAGCAGACAAAUUGAAGAAACCCUAAGCCAAAAAUGUGAUUCAAUUUCCAAGAAACCAAGAGCAGUUUCUCGUGGGAUAAAUUUUUCAUUUCAUGUGUAAACCCUUCAUAUUCAUCCCCCUUUUUUUCACUACUCAUUUCAAUGUUUCAUGCAUGGUUUAGGUGCAAGAAAUGUUAGCCAGGACCAGGAGGUUGUGUUUAUGACCCCGAAGAAGGCUUCAUUUGUAGUGGUUUUGAAGCAAUACCAGAAGUUCUAUUUUGUAUGAACAAAACAUAUUAAUUCUCAAUUCAAUGCUGUUUCUACUCCAUUUUACAUAAGCAUUUUUCUUAUAUUUCAGCCUGUGCCAACGAGUAUUACCAAAGAAAUUGGCUUGGCAAAACAUAAGUUCUAAAGGCAAAUACGAGUUCUUUUUUGGUAGAAUCAAAGUAUCUUUCAUUUCCUUUUACAAGAAAAACAAGCUCUUGGCCAUUAAUGAAUCAGCCUCGAGCCUAGAAACACUUAAUUUAACAGUCAUUAGCAAAUAAUAUUUUAGAAUGGUAUUAAUUACUUCUAACAAAUGGACCAUUCCAUACUUUAGGUAGAUAUGAGUAAUAAUGAGGAGAAUGUACUCAGCUAUCUUCUUCAAGUUCAUGUUUAUGUUUAUUAAUUUCUCAAAGGCUCAUCCCUCAACUGUUCAAGCAUGGCAACUUCUUCUCACCAGCAAGGCAAUGGCCAUUUAAAGUAUAUAAGCAACUCUCCUUAUUUCUUCAAAAUAAUUCUCCUAGACACUAUCCUGAAUGGAAAACUUGUAAGCAUUUUCUUUUACUAUUUAUGUAUAUUAUAUAUAUAACAUUUGCAUAUGUUGAUAAGAGUUCUUUUACAGGGAAUUCCCAGAAAGUUUGUGAAAAACCAUGGAAAUGGCAUGUCAAGCCCAGCAUUGCUCCAGGUCCCAUCUGGUGAAGUAUGGAAGGCGGAACUUACAAAAUCUGAUGGCAAAAUAUGUUUUGAAAAUGGCUGGCUAGAAUUUGCAAACCAUUACUCUUUGGAGUUGGGGCAUCUUUUGGUUUUUAGAUAUGAUAGGAACAGCAAUUUCCAUGUAAUCAUUUUUUAUAGGAGUGCUUAAGAGAUAAAAUAUCCCUACACCAGCAAUUAUUAUAGGAGGUCCGAUGAAUUUCCGGAGCAGAAUAUCAACCAAUCGGAAGAUGAUGCCUCUAUAAAAGAUCAUAGGAAACAUCUCUCCAAGCAAGAAAAUGAGAGAGGAAUUGCAACCGCCAUGUCCUUGGCCUCAUAAAAUGAUGAGAAGUACUAAUUCAGAUAACGAAACCGAAACCAAGUGCAAUGAGAAGUCUGAAUUUCUAACUCAACAAAUUAGGCAUAAUGGAUGUCCAGCUAGAAAUGAUGAUAAAAGCACAAGCCAUCCUAUAAUUCAACAAUUUAAGACACAUGAAAUGACGACUGAGAAACCAUGUUACCAAAUUGUCAUGCACCCAUCAUAUGUUGGUCAUAGUAGUGAUAAAAAAUGUAGACUGGUAAGCAAUCAAUUGAAUUCCCCGCUAGAUCCUAUGCAUGCUGUUCAUUUCAUUACUUCAUUAAUAUAUACUAAACUUGCAGAAAUUAGCAAAAUUUUCCAUUUCACAGGCCAUACCAGCUAACUUUGUGAGGAAACAUUUGAUGGAAGAGCAAUGUUCAGUACUCCUUCGCAACUCAAGAGGGAAAACUUGGAUUGCUACCUUCAAGCGGAGACGAAUAGGGGAAAGGCUAUAUAUACGAAGCGGUUAGGAUACUUUUGUACGGGAUAACAAUAUUCAAGUCGGUGAUUUUUGCGCGUUUGAGGUAAUAAAUAGCAUCGAAAUAUCCUCCAAAGUAGUCAUUCACCGAGGCCAGCAUGCAAAUUGUCAGCAGUCAUUAGCUUCAACUAAUGCAUUUCGUCCCGAUGGAAAGCUCCGUAGUACGCAAGUCGGAGCCACACAGAACCAUUGACUGCUCUUGAGAAAACUAAAGCUUUUCGAAUAGCUAGUGCUUUGAAAUCUGAAAAUCCGUUCUUUGUUGUAAUCAUACAGCCAUCACAUGUUAUGUAGAUUGGUAAAUUUUUCUGUUGAAACUUGUUGGCCAUUUCCAAGUUCUUAUGACUCCACCAUGCAAAUGUUAUAAUGCAACUUGAAAAGGCAGAAAAUAACUGAACUGACAUGUUUUUGUUUAUAUGAACAGAGUAUACCAGUGAAUUUUGCUAGGAAAUCACAAAGAUGCACAAAGAGGUCAUACAUCUCCUUUCAAAUGGAAAAUCAUGGCCAGUGAUAUAUUUUCAGCACAGUAUCAAAAAAUCAAAUGUAAUAUUCGUUACUGGUUGGCGUGGAUUUGCUAUGGAUAAUAACUUAGAAGUUGGUGAUGUUUGUGCCUUUGAACUCAUUGAGGGUCCUAAAACAUCAAUGAAGGUAACCAUUUAUAAGAUGCAGGCUGUUGAAGACUCAUCAACGAAGGUAACCUUUUCAGGUACAAUGUGCAUAUAUGUAUAAAAUUCAUUAUACAUUUGAUAUGUUCAAAUAUAAGCUUGGAUUUUGUUCUUUGAAAACAGAUGAUAGAAGUAGAGAGAAACAAGUUGAACCCAUGAAAGCUUGGUAAGUAAAAACUGCAGAAUCAGCAUCGAUGAAGAAGAAAGGAGAUAUAUCUAAUCUGCUUGUUGAUUAUAACUGUGAUGCUUCAAGAGAAAAUCUUAGAUGACAUUUUGGUGUCCAGAAAAGGCCAUCGAAGGGGCAAGUCAAAGCUAUCUAACUUUACAAGAGUAUGAAAUCAAUUCCACAUACCAACAUGUAGGACCGAUGCCAUUGAUUCAAUGAUUAGUUUGUCCUGUAACUUUUUAGCCAUAACAUUGUAACAUGUUUCUGAUGCUGUCCUGAUGAACAUUUCACCUGUAGUAAUGUUCCUUUAGAUGGUUUUCUAACCGUUAGCUUGAAAAGAUGGUGUAUUACAUAUCCUAAAAUCAAGUUCAGAACAUGAAACAUAGCAGUUGCUUGAAGCUACCCAAGUGCUAAUUUCGUGUCUACUCAGGUGCAUGGAUUUUGUUUCACUUUUUCUUGGACAAGAGUUUGCACCCAUGGAAGUUGCUCUCAGCUUAGAAAAAUGGAAACCAAUUCAAUAGCAAAUGCUAUGGUAGCUAUUACUGAAAUAGUAUUAAAAAAUGGAAGAAAAAGAAUCCUGGGCUGAUUGUAUAGCAUUCAUGUGUGAGAUUAUCAUCUGUAUUCUGAUUAUCUGACAGAUUCAGCAAACGUGAUUUUAAUCAUUUCAAUGCUAAUCUACAACUUCACGUCAAACAACCCAUUUCCCCCAAAAAAAUAAAUAAAUGAGAGAAUCCAAAGAAGCAAAUGAGAAAACUGAAGCAGUUAAUGCAAAACUUUUGAAUAUGACUAGGAAACCAAAACGAAGCCCUUCUUUCUUUAAGGUCUUAGUAGGAGACUUUGUUACCAAGCUGGUAAGUUCAAGUUCCAUUUAAUGCUUAUUAAUGGCUCAAGUUUUAUGUAUAUUAAAUGCUGUCUUCUUUUAACUUUUUUCAGAAAAUUCCACCAGCUUUUGUGAAGUACGUUUUGAAAGGAAAAGUACCCAAAAAGUUCAGCUUGUAUUCUGACUCAGGGAACUCAUGGCGAGUUAGAGUCGAAGUUCAACAAGGAAGCUACUUUUUCAACAGUGGAUGGUCAAAGUUUGUCAAAUAUCAUGGCCUGGAAAUAGGGGAUUUUCUGGUUUUCUUUUUGGUUGAUAGUUCAACAUUUGAUGUUUUCAUUUAUAAUCGAACUGCAUGUGCAAAGAACAGCAUUUUGGCUGCUAAGAAACCAAAGGGCCGACCCCCUGGUGGUAACAGACAAAUUGAACAAACCCCAAGCCAAAAAUGUACUUCAGCUUCCAAGAAACCAAGAGCAGUUUCUCGUAGGCCAACCUUUUCAUUUCAUUUCAUGCAAAACCCUUCAUAUUUAUCCCCCUUUUUCUACUAAUCAUUUCAAUGAUUCAUUCAUGGUUUAGGUGCAAGAAAUGUUAGCCAGGAGGUUGAGUUUAUAACAGAAGAAGCCCCAAAGCAUGUUUCAUUUGUACUGGUUGUGAAGAAAUACCUAAAAUACUAUGUUGUAAGAACAAGUACUCAUUCAAUGCUGUUAAGUGUUAAUUACUUUCUACUUCAUAUAAUUUUUUAUAUACUUUUAAAAUUUUCAGUUUAUUCCAAGAUAUUUUGCCAAAGAAACAGGCUUGGGAAAGGAAUCCAUAACGAUGAUUAAGGGUCCAAGAGGUGGGAUGUGGCCAAUGAACACAACCGAGAGUGGAAGACAGGUUCGUCUGGGUGGUGGAUGGUCCCAGUUUCUGCAUGAAAAUGAUAUAGUAGUUGGAGAUACCCUUUUGUUUCAGCACAUUCCAAAUGCAGGCAAUUUAGUACACGUCCAGAUUCUUAACAAGGCUGGAUAUCGAAACCAUGGACGAGGUGGACGACGGGGGCGACAAAACAAGCAAGCAAAUGCCUCUGAAAAGAACACCAUUAUUGCUAUUAAGCAAAAAAGAGGUCCACCUUGCAGGCAAAUUGAAGAACCAAAUUCAAAGAUAACCAAAGGUCUUGUAACUUACAUUUCAUAUGUUAACACUUUAGUUUUCAUUGUUCUUUUUAGUUUCAUUUCAUUUCAAUUGGUUGUUUAGGUCUAAGCAUUGAGGGGGAGACAGAUAUUACCCGGAAGGAUGAGUUCGAAUCAGAGUUAACGCCGAAGAAGGCUUCAUUUGUGGUGGUUUUGAAGCAGUACCAGAAAUUCUAUAUUGUAAGAACAACUUAUUUAUUCUCAAAUGGUACUCGACUUUUACACAUUAUUCCAAUAUAGGAACAAUGUUUCUUUUAUCAGAUAGCAAAAAUAAUCAUUGUAUGAUUUAUCAUGUAUGAUUUACAUGUGAUAGAUGUCAUAAUACUUCUUUUUUUUGCAUUUUAAAUGUUGAUUUACUUUUAGUUUAAUUUAUUUAUUUUAUUAAUUUUAAAUAAUGAAUUUCUUUAUUUUGGGUUUUCAAAACUAUUGUUUUCUCAUUCAAUACUUAUUUGUUAAGCAUAGCUCAAUUCAAAUUUUUUUAACACGAAUGUCCUCAUGUACUAAUGAUAUUUUAGAGCAUACACGAAUUUUAUCAAAACCAUUAGUGUUAUGGGUAAUUUGUAUAAUAUUUAAAAAGUUUAGGUACUAAACUAAAUCUAAAAAAAGUUAGGCAUCAAAUUGGGAAAAAUGUCAAGUUUAGGUACUAAAUUAGGCCCCUAAAAAGUUUAGUUAUCAAAAAAAGUGUAAGUUUAAGUACAAAAUUAGACUGAAAAAAGUUUAAAUACCAAAUUAAGAAAAUAUACCAAGUUCAAUUACCAAAUGUUAUAUUAAGCAUUAUUAAUUCAAUGAAGUAUGUGCCCCAUUUUAAAUAUGUUUUUCUUGAAUUUCAGCCUGUGCCAACCAGUGUUGCCAAAGAAAUGGGCUUGACAAAGGAACCAAGCACAGUGAUAAAGGACUCAAAGGGUAGGAAGUGGCGAUUAAACAUCUUAGUGUAUGCAAGAUCAGUUCAUCUUGGUGCUGGAUGGUCCAAGUUUAUGGAAGAAAAUAAAUUAGAAGUUGGUGAUACCCUUUUGUUUCAGCACAUUCCCAACACUGGUAAUGUCAUUUACUUCCACAUUAUUCGCAAAGCUAGAGAUGGAAAUCAUGGGAAAAGAAAGAAUUGAGUAAAUGCCUGCUAAAAAGUGUAGUAUCAUUUUGUAAUUUCUCUUUCAGUCUUUUGUUUUAUUAGUUUUUUGUUUGAAUAUUAAACUGUUGAAGAUGGCAACAAUGGGGUUGUAUUGUAAGGUUGGUUUUUUAUCAGCCUCUCUUUUGUUUGGAUGGUGAGAAAAAAAAAAGUACGGUAUGAUCAUGUAAUUCCAGGAAAGCCUUUUAAGAAAGCUUCACCAGUAUGUUUUUGUUUACAGUUUACGUCCUCUAUUAGACUCUAAAGAUUGGAUGGAGCUUACCAAUGCAUAAACAAGAUAAUAUGGUGUAACAGAUUCAUAUAUGAUUAUAUGCUAUAAUUGAAGAUCCUAGUCUUGUUUUGAAUGGCUGAAGACAAAUUUUGGUCAUUCAAUGAAUCUGCCCUUCAGUUUGCCUCGAGCCCAAAAACAAUGAAUUUAACUGUCGAUAGCUAAUAAUCAUCAUUUAAGGUUAUAUUAAUUACUCUUGAAAUUUGGAUUUUAUCACCAUUUCCUGCUUUAAGUAGAUAUAAGAAACAAUGGAUCCUUUUUAAGUAUAUGUUCAAGUUACCCAAUUAUUUGCAGAAACUCUCUAAGUAAGCUGUUCAAGCCUGGCUGCUUCUCAUCAGCAAGGCAAUGACCAUUUAAAGUUUAUAAGCAACUCACCUUGUUUCUUCAAAAUAAUUCUACAAGACACUAUUCGGAAUGGAAAACUUGUAAGCAUUCUGCCAACUCUGUUGUAAGACAUUGUAUUUUACUAUAUAUAUAUUUGCAUAUAUUGAUAAGAGUUGUUUUACAGGGAAUUCCUAGAAAGUUUGUGAGAAACCAUGGAAAUAGCAUGUCAAGCCCAGCAAGCUCAGGGUCCCAUCUGGUGCAGUAUGGAAGGUGGAACUUACAAAAUGUGGUGGCAAAAUAUGGUUUGAAAACGGUUGGCUAGAAUUUUCAAACCAUUACUCUUUGGAAGUGGGGCAUCUUUUGGUUUUAGAUAUGAUGGGAAUAGCAAUUUCCAUGUAAUCAUCUUUGAUAGGACUGCUUCAGAGAUACAAUAUCCCUACACCAGCAAUAAUCAAAGGCAAUCUAACGAAAUUCCGAAGCAGAAUAUCAACGAAUCCAAAACCGAGUGCAAUGGGAAGUCUGGAUUUCUUGCUCAACAAGUUAGUCAUAAUGGAUGUUGUUGUUCCAAUAGGGUCGGAAGCGUGUAAAUUAUUGUACUAAAAAAUCACACAAAGUUCAAUUCCCAGGGAAGAGAGGUGGAUCACAUGGAUCUCUUAAAUAUCAAGUCUUUCCUUAGUCAGAAUAUCCCUUCUAUAGUAAUUUAAUAGCACAAUUAAAUACUACUAUUAUACCCUCAAAUAUUGAAAGAAAAAUAGGACAAGAAAGAACACAAGAGUUUUAACGAGGUUCGGUAAAUUAUACCUACGUCCUCGGGCACUAACACCAGAUGAUAACUUUACUAUCUUCAAAAUAUUACAAACAAAUAGAAUUCCUUGAGAAUUCUCAAAUGGGAGAAGAGAGAAAACUAAGAGAGAAAGAUUGGUUGGGAUGAAUUGAAAUGAGAAGGCCUAUUUAUAGUUGAGGUUUAAGGACCAAACAAUAAAUAACCCAUUAUCUCAAGGACCAAAAAAAAAAUUAUCCCAUGCCACUUUUUCAAAGUCAACUUUAGGGUGCUAAGCUUGCACCACUUUGUAUUGUUUGCCAUUAAUGUUGUCUCCCAUUAAUGUUAACAAUCUCCACCUUGAAGAUUUGAUUAGGAUAAUCACAUCUUCACACACUUCCUUCAACUCCCCAAAUUCGAUAAAGCUAUCUUUUGUAGUGCCUACAAAUGCACUCUCGAGCGCCAUACACCUGAAGGUGCUCAAAUUCUCAGGAUGUUAAUCAAGUUCAAACAAUGAUUAAACUUGAUUGUUGUUACCACCUUGGUCAUCAUAUCUGCGGGAUUAUCUGCUGUCGGAAUUUUCUGAAGUAGAAUUUUUCCUUUUUCAAAGACUUCCCGCACAAAGUGAUAUCUUACGUCGAUAUGCUUGGUUCUUGAAUGAUAGACUUGAUUUUUCGCUAAAUGAAUAGCGCUCUGACUGUCACAAUAUAAACUUAUGUGACUUUGAACAACUCCUAAGUCUUUCAACAAUCCAUUAAGCCAAAUAGCCUCCUUAACAGCUUCUGUAACUGCCAUAUAUUCUACCUCUGUAGUAGACACAGCUACUGUAGACUGUAAGGUAGACUUCCAACUCACUGGGGCUUUCGCAAGAGUAAACAGAUACCCCGUAGUUGAACGACGUUUAUCUAAAUCACCAGCAAAGUCGGAAUCAACAUAUCCAACUACAAACUGACCAAGUGCUUCAUCCUGUUCAAAAAUUAAACCAACAUCUACGGUUUUUCGAAGAUACCGUAGAAUCCAUUUCACAGCUUGCCAAUGUCCUUUUCCAGGAUCAUGCAUAUACCUGCUCACAACUCCAACAGCUUGUGAAAUGUCAGGCCUCGUACACACCAUCGCAUACAUCAAACUCCCAACUGCAUUAGCAUAUGGGACUUUCGCCAUAUAUUCUCUUUCUUCUUCAGUUUUCGGAGAUAAUUGAGCACUAAGUUUCAAAUGAGAAGCAAGUGGGGUACUUACAUGUUUUGUGUUUUCAUUUACACCAAAACAUUGUAAUACCUUUUUCAGAUAUUGCUUCUGAUUCAAACAAAGCUUGCCUCUCUGUCUAUCUCUACUUAUCUCCAUGCCGAGAAUCUUCUUGGCCUCACCUAGAUCUUUCAUCUCGAACUCUUGAUUCAACUGAGCCUUCAGCUUAUCUAUCUCUUUUUGGCUCUUCGAAGCGAUUAACAUAUCAUCAACAUACAAGAGUAGAUAAAUGAAAGAUCCGUCAUGUAGCUUCUGCAAAUACACACAAUUGUCAUAUUUGCUUCUUGUGUACUUCUACCUUCUCAUAAAGCUAUCAAAUCGCUUGUACCACUGCCUCGGGGAUUGCUUCAAUCCAUAUAGCGAUUUGUUCAGCUUACAAACCCAAUUUCUACCACCAGCAUCUGUGUAUCCUUCGGGCUGAGUCAUAUAGAUCUCCUCUUCUAACUCACCAUGCAAGAAAGCCGUCUUAACAUCAAGUUGAGCUAGCUCCAAAUUCAACUGUGCUACCAAGGCCAACAAAAUUCUAAUGGAGGAAUGCUUCACAACAGGGGAAAAUACAUCAUUGUAGUCAAUUCCCUCCUUCUGAGCGUAGCCUUUAGCUACCAAUCUUGCCUUGUAGCGAAUAUCCUUCUUGCUAGGAGAUCCAUCUUUCUUUGCGAAUACCCACUUGCAUCCGAUUGCCCUUUUACCUUUCGGUAAUUGCGCCAACUCCUAAGUAUUGUUCUUCCGGAGAGACUGCAUUUCUUCAUCCAUGGCGCUUUUCCAUUUAUCACUUUCUAAGCUUUGCAUUGCUUCUUGAUAAGUGAUAGGAAUAUCAUCAACAACGGGAAGGGCGUAGGCCACCAUAUCAGUAAAUCGAGUAGGUUUACGAAUUUCUCUCCGUGGCCUUGCAACUGCAACUGGUUCUGGUGUACUUAGUGGUUCUUAGGUCAGAACCCUUCAACCUCUAAUUCCUCCAUUGUGGCUGGAGAAUUAGACUUAUUAACUGGGCAAAUCCCCAUCUGCUCAAACUCCACCUGUUUUGGAGUACACUCCACCUGCUGUGGAGUAUUGCUCGUCUGAAUAUCUUUAUCUGCUACCUUUUUCAAUGUGGCAGAUUCAUCAAAGGUAACAUCUCUGCUACAGAUCAUUUUCUUUGUGCUUAAGCACCAAAGACGAAAUCCCUUCACUCCAGAAGUGAUUCCCAUAAAGAGAGCUUUCUUUGCCCUCGAAUCUAACUUUGACUCCUUCACAUGGUAAUAUGCAGUGGUUCCAAACACAUGUAAGGAAUCAUAAUCUGUAGCCGGUUUUCCAGACCAUACCUCCAUAGGAGUUUUUCUUUCUAAUGCAGAUGAUGGCAAACGAUUAACAAGAUGGCCAGCGUAUGUCACAGCCUUAGCCCAAAAUUGCUUGCCCAACCCAGCAUUGGACAACAUACAUCGAACUUUCUCCAGCAAUGUUCGAUUCAUACGCUCUGCCAAUCCAUUCUGCUGUGAUGUAUCCCUAACUGUGAAGUGUCGAACAAUACCAUACUCUUGGCACACAUCGAAGAACGGAUCACUUUUAUAUUCCCCUCCAUUGUCCGUCCUAAGCCGCUUGAUUUUCUUGCCAGUCUGGUUUUCGAUCAUAGUUUUCCAUUUAAGAAAAACUCUAAGCACUUCAUCCUUAGUUCUCAUGGUAUACACCCAAACUCUUCUGAAAAAGUCAUCAACAAAAGUAACAAAGUAGUGUUUUCCUCCCAAUGAAGGUGUCUUGGAAGGCCCCUACACAUCUGAGUGAACAUAUUCCAAAAUACCUUUUGUAUUAUGGAUAGCAGUACCGAAUUUCACUCUCUUUUGCUUUCUCAGAACACAAUGCUCGCAAAAUUUUAAUUUGCAAGCCUUUGCACCUUUCAACAAUCCUUACUUUGCCAGAAUUUGCAAGGAUUUUUCGCUGGCAUGUCCCAACUUCAUAUGCCACAACUAUAUUGAGUCCAAUUCUUUGUUGCCGGAAGCUGCAGCGACUGCUCCAAUAACUGUACUACAUUGGUAGUAAUACAAGUUAUUUUUCCUGAUGCCCUUCAAUAUCACAAGUGCGCCAGAUGUCACUUUCAAAACCCCAUCUCUCAUAGUAACAACUGAACCAUUGGAUUCCAGGGCUCCCAAUGAGAUGAGAUUUUUCUUCAAACUGGGCACGUACCGAACAUCAGUCAGAACUCUGGUUGAUCCAUCUUUAUUCUUUAAUUGGAUUGAACCUAUCCCAACAGUUUUACAGGCAUUGUCAUUGCCCAUAUAAACAACUCCUCCAUUUAAUUCUACUAAAUCAGAUAACCACUCCCGGUUAGGGGACAUAUGAUAGGUACAACCCGAAUCCAAUAUCCACUCAUCUGAAUAGAACGACGAUGAUGAUGCAACCAGUGAUAGUUCAGAGUCACUAGUAUCAUGCUUUGCAACACAAGCAUCUACAGCAGCUUUUUCCUUAUUCUUCAGCUUUGGACAAUUUUUCUUCCAGUGGCCUUUCUCAUGACAAAAAGCACAUUCAUCUUUCCCGAGUCUGGACUUUGACUUUGAUCUCCCCUUUUGAGUUUUCUUCCGAGUGUAUGAACGACCUCGGACUACUAAAGCUUCUGUAUCUCUGAUUGAGUUUUUCUGUUUGUCCUUCUUUCUCUGUUCAUAACUGUAUAAGGCCACACAGACUUCGCUCAGAGAUAUAUCACUCCUGCCAUGAAGUAGAGUAGUUUCUAGGAACUCAAACUCCUCAGGAAGUGACCCCAACAGCAUCAAAGCCAAAUCUUCAUCUUUGAAUGUCUCAUCCAUAUUCAGCAAAUCAGUGACUAACUGAUUAAAUUUGGUGAUGUGAUCAUUCAUUGUGGUACUUGGGACGUAAGUGAAGCGAAACAGUCUUUUCUUCAAGUGGAGCUUAUUUUGACUGUUUUUCUUCAAAAUUUUUUCUUCAAGUGCCACCCACAACUUAUUUGCAGAAGUCUCCUUUGAAAAAGCAUACCUCUGCUCUCGAGAAAGGCAUGAUCGAAUUGUGCCACAUGCCAACCGAUUGAUCGCCUUCCAAUCUUUCUCCUGUACAUCAUCUGGUUUCUCUUCAUCAAUGGCAAUGUCUAGACCCUGCUAAAAAAGGGCAUCUAGAACCUCACUUUGCCACAUACCAAAAUGGCCCGUGCCAUCAAAGAUCUCCACGGCUAAUCUUGCAUUUGCAAUUGUCGGUCUUGUCCACAUGGAUGAUGUUGAAGCUCCUACACCGACCGUUUUCUCCAUAAUCUUUCAAUAUACCUAAGGAAAUCUUUUCUGAUGUGGAAGAUCAGUUUAAACUGCAACCACAGAGCAUACUACGAUUAACCUUCGGCUCUUGAUACCACUUGUUGUUCCAAUAGGGUCGGAAGCGUGUAAAUUAUUGUACUAAAAAAUCACACAAAGUUCAAUUCCCAGGGAAGAGAGGUGGAUCACAUGGAUCUCUUAAAUUCCAAGUCUUUCCUUAGUUAGAAUAUCCCUUCUAUAGUAAUUUAAUAGCACAAUUAAAUACUACUAUUAUACCCUCAAAUAUUGAAAGAAAAAUAGGACAAGAAAGAACACAAGAGUUUUAACGAGGUUCGGUAAAUUAUACCUACGUCCUCGGGCACUAACACCAGAUGAUAACUUUACUAUCUUCAAAAUAUUACAAACAAAUAGAAUUCCUUGAGAAUUCUCAAAUGAGAGAAGAGAGAAAACUAAGAGAGAAAGAUUGGUUGGGAUGAAUUGAAAUGAGAAAUGAGAAGGCCUAUUUAUAGUUGAGGUUUAAGGACCAAACAAUAAAUAGCCCAUUAUCUCAAGGACCAAAAAAAAAAUUAUCCCAUGCCACUUUUUCAAAGUCAACUUUAGGGUGCUAAACUUGCACCACUUUGUAUUGUUUGCCAUUAAUGUUAACAGAUGUCCAGCUGUAAAAGGUGAUAAAAGAACAAAUCAUCCUGUAAUCCAACGUAUGAAGGGUCGUGAAAAGGUUAAGACUCUUGAGAAAGCUAUUAAGACUUUUAAAUCCAAGAACCCAUUUUUCCUGGUUGUAAUGCAACCGUAUUACGUCGAUCUCGGUCACAGUAGAGGAUGUAGACUGGUAAGCAAUCAAAUGAGUUCCCACUAGAUCCUAUGUUCUAUUGCUUCAAAAGUUGAGGUUCGUUUUUCAAUUUUAUUUUGUGCAGACCAUAUCAGCUAAGUUUGUGAGGAAACAUUUGAUGAAAGAGCAUUGUUCUAUGACUCGUUGUAACUCAAGUGGGAAAACUUGGAUUGUUACCUUCAAGCACAAUCAAACAGGGAAAAAGCAAAUUUCAGUACUGCGAGCUGGUUGGGGUACUUUCAUACGGGAUAACAAUAUCCAAGACGGUGAUGUAUGCGCCUUCGAGUUGAUAAAUAGUCUCCAAAUAUCUUUCAAAGUAGUCAUUUACGAAUGCCAGCAUACAAAUUGUCAUCAGUCAUUUGCUUCAACCGAUGUAUUUCGUUCUGUGAAAGGGGAGGCUCUGUCAUAUGCAAGUUAGAGCUGCUCGGAACCAUCAACUGCUUUCGGGAAGAUGCACACAUCUCCUUUCAAAUGGUUGGCGUCGAUUUUCUGUGGAUAAUAACUUAGAAGUUGGUAAAGCUUGUGUCUUUGAACUGAUUGAGGAUCCUAAAAACAUCAAUGAAGGUAACCAUUUAUACGAUGCACAGGCUGAUGAAGACUCAUCUUUGGGUAAGUAGGUUCUAUUCAUCGUCCAAUUGUUAUAUAACAUGUUUGAAUGUUUGUCCUGUAACUGUUAGGUGGAUCAUUGUGUUGGAAUGUUUUUUUACUUAGCCAUAACAUUGUUAACAUGUUUCUGAUGCUGUCCUGAUGAAACAUUUCACCUGUAAUAAUAAGGUGCCUGAGAAAUUUUGCAGUAAAAUAUAGUCUUCAAUGGAUUUUGCUGCUUGGAGAAUCAGAGACCAGGCUUGGAUUUCUUCAUAUCGUAAAAUCAUGAUCAAAACAUAAAACAGAGGGGUAGCUUGAAAAUUCUGAAGUGGUAAUAUUUCUUUAAAAUCAUUAAUCUAAAUGCAAAUUAAACCGACUUAAAAACAUAGUUAUUGUGCAAAUUUCAAAACAUUCUAAGGGUAAACAAUGCCAUUAGUCACUCAACUAUAGAAAAGUUUUCAUUUUAAUCACUUAAUUAAAAAAAAUUACAAUUUAAUCGGUAAUGUUUUUGAAUUAUUUUUGUUUGGUGUAACAAUUUUAAUCUUCUGCUUUUAUACUUUCUGUCAAUUUUAGCUUAAUUUUGUAUAAAAAUUGUAAAAAUUCAAAAAUAUUUAAAAAUAUAAAAAUUCAACUAAAAUUAAUUUUUUUUUAAUUUUUAUAUAGAAUCAAGGUCAAAUUGAUAAAAAAUAUAAACCCUUAAAAUUAAAAUUGUUAUUUUAUCAACUAAAAAGGUGUCAUCGUUAGUCUUUUAAUGGUUGGGUGACCAAAAAUAAUAAUUUCAAAAACAUUAGUAAUCAAAUUGUAAAUCUUUUUAGUUAAAGUAUUAAAACAAAAAUUUACCUAUAAUUGAGUGAAUAAUGACGUGUUUAACCGCAUUCUAAUUGUAAAGUACCAUUUGGUAUUUAAAAUUUAUGUUUGUUUAUAAUUUCGAUAUCAAAAUAUUAAUAAUAAAUUAUGACGAUUUAAAUUCAUGUCACCUAUGCACCCUAUUGGGAGCUUUAAUCAUACUCCAAACAAAUGUCAAUUAAUAUUAGUGAUUUUUUUUCCAACAACUAAUAUUAAUGAAUUUAAAUAUAUUUUUUUAUUUUAUAACAUUAUAUUUAAGAUAAAUAUUUUAUUUUCUCAGGCGUACUUCUUAUUGUGUUGAACUUUAAAACUUUAAAUACUAAUUUGAAUUUUACAUUAAAUAUAUUUAAAACAUAUAAAUAUCAAAUGUGUUGAAAAAACUAUUCUCAUUAUUUUUAAUAAAAUAGUUUUUUUUAUAAUACUUUAGAUACAAAAUUAUAUAUAAAACAAGUACUUAAAAUUAAUUUAAAAUCUUUACCAUAUUUUUUAGAAUGUCAGAUUUAAUAAACAUUUUAAAUUUAAAAUAUUCAUAUUAAAUGAGUAAUAUCUUAUUGAAAAAUUUUGGGGUUGCUUGAUAUAUCAUUGAAAAUUUUAAUUGGUUGAAAAUUAAAAUUUUUAUAUUUUAAUUUUUUUUAAAUUCAUUUGAUAAUACAAUAUAAAAGCUACUUGAUAUUGAAAAGGUGAUGAAAAUGAUGGAUAAGUAAGAGAUAUUUAUCAUUUAACAAAUUAUUACUAAAUUUAUAUUUUGAUUAUUUAAUUUUAAAAAUUAUAAAUGAUCAUUAAAUUAUUUAAAUUUUUUCAUUCAAGUCACUUGACUUUUUUUAAUAAAAUAGUUUUCAAAGUCACAAAUUUGAGAAUUAAGAUUUUCUAGACACCAAUUGUCAACUGGAUCUAAAAUAUAUUUUUUUACUCGUCGAUUAGUGCUGAUCAUCUAAUUAUCGUUUGAAGCUUGUUGGUUGAAUAUUUUUAGGAUAAAUUACAUCAAUAAUCACUCAAUUUUGAGUAGCUGGUAAAACAGUAACUCAAGUUUUAAUUUAGUCACCGUUAAUCAUUUUCUGUUACAAAAGUAACGGAAAUAUCAUUUUCCAUUAUAGAGUUUCAAAUCACUUACUCAACUAUCGAAAAAUAACAAAAUAACCAUAACUAACUAUUUUCUGUUUUGUCAGUUUCUUAAAUAGUUUUGUAAUUUAAAAAAAAAAGUGACUAAAUUUUUAAAAUUAAGCAAUAACUUACUAAUAAUUUGGUAGUUUAUGGAUGGUAAAUGUUAAGAUUAUAGAAGAAUGAUGGAAAAUACUGAUAUUACUUCAAGCGAAUACAGAAAAAAUUACAUUCUUGAGGAGAAGCUGUGCAUGCUUAUAUAGAACAACAUGCAGUCAGUAACUGCUAACAGUAACAGAAACUACUAACUAACUGUUGUUAAUAACUGAUAUCAACAGACUUAACAGCAAUAACAGAAGCCAACUAUUACUCUAACAUUCUCUCGGUUUCUUUGUUGUUUGCACAAGUGAGAGCAUCAGUCAGUGUGAGAACUCGAAGAGCUUGUCGAAACGAGCUAAACUGCUUAGGUGUAAUGGGCUUGGUAAGAACAUCUGCGACUUGUUCUGAUGAAGGGACAAAAUUCACUUGCAGUGUGCCAUCGAGAACCUUUUCCCGAACAAAGUGAUGAUCUAUUUCUACAUGCUUUAUGCGGGCAUGAUGUGUGGGAUUUGCAGCUAUGGACACCAUAGAAGUAUUGUCACACCAGAUCACAGGUGGUGAACAAGUUGACAGGCCUAUUUUAUCUAUCAGUUGUUUAACCCACAAAAGUUCUGACACACAAUUGGCGAGACUACGAUACUCUGCUUCAUAGGACGAUCUGGACACAACAUUUUGUUUCUUGGAACACCAUGCAACAGGGUUUGGUCCUAGGUAUACAAAUAACCAGUGGUGGAACGUCGAUCUUCAACAGAUGAGGCCCAGUCAGUAUCUGAGUAACAAACAACCUCAACUCGCCCUUUUGAGAAAUAUAAACCAUGAUCAACAGUCCCAAUAAGAUAUCUUAGCACCCGUUUUACUACUCGCCAAUGAAUUUCACUCGGAAGAUUCAUAUACUGACUUAGCUUGUUAACAUAAAACGAAAACUCUGGUCAUGUGAUGCACAAAUACUGAAGUAUCCUGUAACACCCCUCGCCCGCAUCCGACGCCGGGACGGGGUUCGAGGUGCUACCUGACUUUUACUAACACUUCUAUACUAAACAGGGCCAUGAAAUCUCAAAUAAUUAAAAACUUUUCUUUUCACAUACAAUUUGUCCCAUAUACGGGCUUACGAGGCCCAAAACAUACAUCUGGAGUGGUUCGGGACCCAACCGAGAACUCAUGAAAAACUUAGAAAAUCUCUUGCAUCAAGGCUUCAUACGCCCGUGUGCUAGGGACACGCCCAUGUCCCGAACCCGUGUCCAAAAACCUAGACAAAUACAAGGCUAUUUUCCAAGCCAUUUUGUCACACUCACAACAGAUGCACGCAUACUUAUACAAUAACAUACAACAUGGCAAAAUUAGGUACUUAAACAUUCCUAACAUGUCAUGAUUAUGGCAAUUUCACAUGCAAUAGAUAUUAUAGAUUUUACACACAUCUUUACCACAUUAAUGCUAUAAUCAUUAUAAACUCAUCACAUAAUACCAUAGCACAUGCAUGCAUAAUUAAAAUGGAUUUACAACCCCAUAAUCAAAAUAGGCCAACACAUAUGGCUAAAGCCAUGUCACAUACUCUAAUAUUUAAACUCCUAUACAUGCCAUAGGCUCAAAGUACUAGAAAUCACUACACCAAUAACGUUAGCUUGACAGUGUGAUAAUAUCUCCGACGAACUCCAACCCGAGCUAACCUGGAAACCCUAGGAAACAUGGGAAAGAAGGGGGGGUAAGCUUUCGCUUAGUAAGUUCAUAUGAAAACAAUAAGCAACUCAUUAACUUGUUUUAUCAAUGUUUACAACAUAUUCUCAAGUUCACUACAAGCUGUCUUUCUGAGCAAUUGUUACUAAAUUAUUUAUAUCUGGAGCUACAAAACUCCGAAUUAAGUUCCGUUAAUUUUCCAUGAAACUAGACUUAUUUUCCUUUCUUCCAUAAAAUUUCCAUAAUUUUUGGUUAAGCCAAAUAGUACAGUUUAUUCCUCAAAGUUACCCCUAAUUCACUGUCUGAUAGCUCCGACCCUUCUGUACUAAAGUUCAAUUAUCUCAUAGUACAAGACUCGAAUAAUGUUCUCAUCUAUUUCUCUUGAAACUAGACUCAUAUUUCUACUUACUAAUUUUUUUCUAGAAUUUUUGGUUGGGCCAAUUAGUACAGUUUAUUAGUUAAAAUCUCCCCUGUUUCAGGGUAUGACUACUCUGAACCCUGUGCACUACGAACCAAAUUUCUCCCUGUACAGAAUUCCAAAGACCAUGCCGUUUAUUUCCCCUAAAAAUAGACUCAAUAAGGAAUCCAUGCAUGUAAGGUAUGACUCUUAAUAAUUUUUUUACAAUUUUUGGUGAAUUUCUAAAGUCAGAACAGGGGAUCUCGAAUUUAUUCAGACCCUGUUUCACAAGAAUUCAAAUAUCACACAAUAUGAAAUUCUUUUUCUUUCCCUAUUUCUUUCAUGUAAAAAUAGACUCAUUAAGCUUUAAUCCCAUAUUUUAUUCUUCCUCUAACUUAUUUUCCACUAUUUUUAGUGUAUUUUCAAAUUUACACUACUGCAGUAACUCAAAUCUGUCAAGGCUAAAUUACUCAUUCAUGAUCAUUGUUCACAAAAUUAAUACAACAUCAUUUGUAUAAUCAUCACCGAGACAUUCAUAUCACAUUUUCAUUUACCAUCUUACCAUUUUGUUGUUAUGUCGAGUUUUCAACCCGAGGGUUAAGUACAUACCUGUUCAAAGUAUCCAUUUCACAACAUUUAUCAAUACGUCCCUUUCAUCUCGAGUAUUCCUCCAUUUGAGUAGAAUUUUACCCAUUGAACACAUCGGAAUAUAAUUCGGAUACAUGGAAAGUUUGCACAUAAGUGCCACAUAUGUAGCCAAGCUACCAUGUAACCCGCCCAUAAGUGAACUCGGACUCAACUCAACGAGCUCGUCGUUCGCAUCCAUAAGUGAACUCGGACUCAACUCAACGAGCUCGGAUGCCUAGUUACAUCUCACGAACUCGGACUCAACUCAACGAGCUCGCCGUUCGCAUCCAUAAGUGAACUCGGACUCAACUCAACGAGCUCGGAUGCCUAGUUACAUCUCACGAACUCGGACUCAACUCAACGAGUUCGAACAUUCGCAUCCAUAAGUGAACUCGGACUCAACUCAACGAGCUCGAAUGCCCAAAUAUUCCAGUGACAUGUCACUUGUAUCUUAAUCUAUUCCUAAGGUUCAACGGGACCUUUUUUCCAAUCAUGUGUCUCAACCAUCUUCUACGGAAUGCCGAUACCAAUACUCGGUAGUAUUUCACAUUUUCCAAGUAUAUCAUAUAAUUUGACAUAUUAUCAAACAAUUAUCACAAGUAUAAUAUCUCAUAAUAGCUAUCAUAUCAUUUAAAUAACAUCAAAACAUUUAAAAUAAUAACUAUGUUACCAACAUUUACAUAUGAACUUACCUCGAUACCACAAAGGUAAAAAAAGACGUAAUUAUCCCUUAAUCGAUUUCUUUCCGUUCUAGGUUCAAAUCUCGAUUUUCAUCAUCUAAAAUAUCACAUUCAACUUAUUAAAAUAAUGUACUGAUCAAAUUAGUCCAUUGACACACUUGAGCAAUUUUUACAAUUUUGCCCCUAUAUUUUGCCAAAAUUACUAAAUUACCCCUAGGCUCGUAAAAUAAUUUUUAUCACAUUUCUUUACUCCUUGAGUCUAGAUGAACCAUUUUCAUAACUAUAGCAACUCAUAAUUUCAACUAUUUCACACAUUUACAACUCAUUUUACAAUUUAGCAAUCUAGCCCUUUUUAAGGUAUUUUCAUGCAAUUUCUUUCACAAAAGUUGUUUAUUAGACAACUAGGACUCAUAAUCUUCCAUAAAAACACAUCAAACAACACAUUUACUCUCAUGGAAAAACCCUAGACUCUUCAUCAUUUUGCAAAAUAGACCCCUCAUAUGAAAGCUCAUGCUUUAGGGGUUCCAAAAAUGUAAAAAUCAUCAAGAAAUACAUUAAAAAUCACUUACUAGCAAGGGAUGUAAGUGGCUGAUAUUUCAGAGCUUCAAAACCCCUUUCUUUUCUACCAUUUUUGGUGGAGGAGAAGUGAAAAAUGAUAGCUUUUUCUUUUUAAUUUGUUAAUAAUAAAACUAGUCAAAAUUGGUGACCAACUUCACCUAAUUUUGACUUUUCAACAAUUUUUUUUGUCUCCCAUGGCCGACCAUCAUAAUUUAAAUGGCCUAAUUUCACUUUAAAGACCCCCAAUUUAAGAUACAAGGCAAUUUAAUACCUUUAGGUAUUAAAACACAACUUUUACCUUUUACGCGAUUUAGUCCUUUUUCGAAAUUGGACUAGAAAUUGCUAAAAUUAACUUACCAAAAUUUACAUACACUUAUAAAAUUAUAUUAUAACACAUAAAAUAAUACUAAAAGAAUUUUCUCUGGCCUCGGAAUAGUGAUCCUGAAACCAUUGUUCCGACUAGGCCUAAAAUCGGGCUGUUACAUAUCCCCACUGUACUGCGAUAUAAAUGAACAUCAGGAAAAGGAGGGUUGCCAUCAGAAGUAGACAAUUUUGGAGUCUUUACCAUAGGUGUAGGAGUAGUUGCUGCCCCUUCCAUGCCAGUCUUGGCAAGUAUCUCUAAAACAUAUUUUUUCUGACUAAGGAACACUCCUUGCGACAUGUGCUGCACAUCAAUGCCUAAGAAGAAACCCAGCUGCCCCAUAUCCUUGAGAGCAAAUUUGUGGUGAAGUUGUCAAACCACACUGUCCACCUCAGUAGCUGAACUACCUGUUAUUACGAUAUCAUCAACAUACACCAUAAGGAGCACCACAUUGUCAGAUAAAGUACGGAUAAACAAGGAGGUAUCAGCAUUGGAAGCAUUAAAAUGGAGCUGAGUAACCAAGUAUUGCUUGAGAGUAGUAAACCAUGCUCGAGGUGCUUAGCGCAGACCAUAAAGUGCUUUGUUCAGCUUACACACGAGCUGCUGGCCAUUGACACCUGGUACCUCAAAACUAGGUGGCUGUUGCAUGUAGAUUUCUUCUGUCAGAUCACCAUUGAGAAAGGCGUUAUUGACAUCAACCUGUCGCAAAGACCAUCAUUUCAUAACAGCAAUAGCAAGCACAAUUCGGAUGGUUGCUGCUCGAACCACUGGGCUAAAUGUGUUGCAAAAAUCAAUGCCAGCAUGUUGAGAAAAGCCUUUGGCCACUACUCGGGCUUUAUACGGUUCGACAGUCCCAUCAACCUUUUUCUUCACUUUAAACAGCUAUUUGCAGCCAACAGCUCUUCGAUUAGCAGGAAGAGGAUAGAGACUCUAUGUGUUAUUUCGAAGAAUAGCUUGUAGUUCAUUGUGCACUGCUGCUCGCCAACACUCACUCUGCAUUGCUUCAUGAAUGUCAACAGGAGGAUCACCUGAUAAACAGGCUGCCCGAGUUAGGUAUACCUUAGGCUUAAAUAUUCCGGCUUUACUACGGGUGACCAUGGCAUGAGAGUUGAGUUGAGUAGUAGGUUGAGGAGCAGCAGAUUGAGGGGAUGAGGCUGGUGAACUGUUAUUAGGAGUAGGUUGAUGAAAAGGUUGAGCUGUCUUAGACGAGCGGGCUAAAGGAGUAGUAGGAGUAGAGUUUGGUGAAGGUCUAGGAACCGCAUUAGAUACUGACGUAUUGGCAGAUUGAGAAUUAGGGUCUAGAACAAGUAACUUAGAACUUGACUGUAAAGAGACCACAGCGGGACCAGACUUGGAUUUAACAGCUUUGUAAGGAAAUGAUGACUCAUGGAACGUAGCAUGACGAGAAAUGUAUAUUUUGCCAUUAUCAGCUUGGCAACGAUAACCUUUAUGUAAAGGUGAAUAGCCUAAAAACGUGUAAGGUGUGGAACGAAACUGAAGCUUGUGGGUGUUAUAUGGCCUAAGGUUUGGAAAACAUAAACAACCAAAGACUCGAAGGAAAGAAUAGUUUGGUUGGACCUGAAAUAAUUUCCCAUAUGGUGACACUUUGCCUAUAGGUGAAGAGGGCAACCUGUUGAUCAGAUAUACAGCACUGCUGAAGGCAUCGUUCUAGUAGGACAACGGCAUAGAUGCAUGAGCUAGCAUGGACAGACCUGCUUCCACGUUCUGCUGAUGUUUUCUUUCAACUAAGCCGUUUUGUUCAGAACUAUAUGGACAUGUAACCCUCUGCUGAAUACCUUGCUGAGAUAAAUAACCCUUUAAUGCUUGGAACUCUCCACCCCCAUCUGUUUGUAGAGCAAGCAACUUGUAACCGAGAACUCGUUUUACUUGUUUAUGAAAGAGUGGAAAAAUAUGAAACACAUCGAAUUUUUUCUUCAAAAAAUAGAGCCACGUAUAUCUGGUACAAGCAUCAGUAAAAGCAACAUAGUAAUGAAAACCAUUAGAAGAAAUCGGAGCAGGGCCCCAAACAUCUGCAACUACAAGUUGUAAUGGUUUAGUAUAUUCAGAUACAGACUUAGAAAAAGGUAAUUUGUGUUAUGUUCCUAAGUGACAAGCAACACAUGGAAGAGGCUCUGUAGAAGCACCAAAACUUAUAUUACAAUGACGUAACACCGUUUGAAGUGUAGCAGUACAAGGAUGUCCGAGUCUGGAAUGCCAUAGACUUAGAGGAAGAGAAGUAGCAGCAGCAAAACACUGAGCUGAAGUCGUAGAGGCAGCAAUAGAAGACGAGUCAGGUAAGUCAAGUUUAUACAGACCAUUAUGUACGGAACCCCGGAGCAGAACCUCAUUGGUUUGUAGAUCGCGAACCUAACACUGUUUGGGAAAGAACUCAAACAUUACCUUGUUGUCCUUAGUGAACUUAGAGACAGACAAUAAAUUUUUGGUUAUCUCAGGUACAAAUAGUAGAGACUUCAUCAAUAAAGGACGAGAGUGAGGAAGAAGAGAAGAUUGACCAGUUGACCGGAUAGAGAGAGCAUUACCAUUGCCCAUAUACACCAUACCUGAACUAUUGUAUGGAGUACUGUCACAUAGGGAAGCAGAGGAGUUAGUGAGAUGGUGUUAGGCGCCGGAGUCUGGAUACCAUGCAUUAUCACCCACAGUUUCAGGAGUAGCAAUAAGAGCCUGAGGUUGAGAAGGCGAUGGUCCUGGAACAGGUGCACUAACAUGCUGCAGAGGAUUGACAGCAAACGGACUAGUCCAUGCAUGAGGAUGAACUGGGGGAGCAAACCAAUUAUGUUGUGAGUAGGGAGGCACAACGGGCAUAGAAGACGAUACCCAGGGAUUAAGAGAUGAACCAUUGCCAACCAUGCAGACAUUGGCCUGAGAAGUGGGAUUAGGCCGAUAGGCAGUACUCUUAUAGGUGGAGUCGAAUCGAUAAUAGCAACAAUCAACAAGAUGACCAGCCUUUCCACAUAACUGACACUGAAAUCGAGAGCCUGAGGAACGACCACGACUUCCUGAAGGUCGAUAAGCUGGAGGGGAGACAGUAUUGACUUCAGGAGCAGUAGGCUGGUGAGAGACCAUGUUCGCAAACUGAGAGCAUCAAGCAUAGUGAGUUGUUGACGAGCUUCAGCAUCAAGCAACAUAGUAGUAACCCUCUGGACACUAUAAGGCACCGGACUUGCAGUAAUGAUUGUGAGUACAGACUCAUAAUCAGAUGAUAAGCCAUUAAGAAUGGCUGUAACAUGUUCACGCUCACUGAUAACCUCUCCACAACUAGCAAGACUGUCACAAUAGCCCUUGAUUUUCAUCUAAAAUUCUUUUAUAGAAAGAUCAGCCUUUCGCUGAGAAUGUAACGCCCUUCUAUAAAACAUUAGUUGAGAAGUGGUUUUGCUGCCAAACAAACUAACUAGAGCAUUCCAAAUUUGAAGACUUGUAUCUAGACCAAUAAGAUGAUGAAGAACAGAAGGACUCACCGAUGACAGUAACCAUGAUGCAAGCGCACUAUCUUGCUGUUCAAAUCGAGCAAACUCAGGAUUUUCAUGCGAGAUGCCAGCAUCAUAAAAAAUGAAUUGAGAAGAAGGAACAAAGCACGAAUUAAUGAAGUUCUGAAGCUUAUAUGUCUUGAUUGCAAGAAGAACCUGUUGACGCCACAAUAGGUAAUUAUUAUCAUCAAGAAUCACACUGAUCUUCUUGGUAGAGAAAAACCGACUGUCAACAACUUCAUUUGGAAGAGAGGACAUUGCUAGAGUAGCCGAGUGAAUAUCAAAAGAAUUGGGAGGAGAAGUCAUGAGAGAUUACGCCAGGCAAACAUGGACCUCCGAUACCAUGUUAAGAUUAUAGACGAAUGAUGGAAAAUAUUGAUAUUACUUCAAGAGAAUACAGAAAAAAUUACAUUCUUGAGGAGAAGCUGUGCAUCUUAUAUAGAACAGCAUGCAGUCAGUAACUGCUAACAGUAAGGGAAACUACUAACUAACUGUUGUUAAUAACUGAUAUCAACAGACUUAACAGCAAUAACCAACUAUUACUCUAACAGUAAGCGCCAGGUAUCUCCAGCUUUAUGGAUUUUAACCUCCCAUUAACUAAUCCCCAGCCCCUAAACAACGUUGAUAUUUGGAGGGAAAAUCGGUAGAGAACCCUAAAUUUAACUGUCCCCAAUUUCUCAUGCAAUCCACGAUUUAUGACAAAAAUUUAAGAUAUCAUGGUUUCCAACUCCCAUGGAAAUUCUCAAAGCCUCCAACUUAUGGUAAAAGAUCCUGACUUUGACCAAUUCACUAAGAACCCAAAUCAUGUACGAGCUUGAAGGAGGUAUGAUCAAACCCGGGCAAGCUCCCGGUAUUGAUACGGAGGUACGGAGAAGUUUCAAGGUACUUUCAGGAUAGAAUUCGUGUCAGGUUGCUUGCUGUUGACGGCGGAGCCGGCUGUGGGACGUCAUUUUGUUUCAAUUUGGAUAAGGUGGUUGAAGCUUCUAGCUUGGAUGUUAGGAACCUUUUUAUUGUCAAGCAAGUCAGUGAAAAUAUAUGAGCUGUGUAAACUGUAAAGUGGAAGUUUUUAGCUCUGCUCUUCAAGUUCUUGCACUCAGGUAAAUGGGAUUAAUGGUUACUUUUUCUUGGAGCAGUUGUCUCUAAGCUUACAUCAAAUCAAUUGAUUUUUUUAGAAAAUGGAAAACAAUUCAAUAGUAUAAAAAAUGAAAAAGAAAAUCUUGGGGCUGAUUGUAUAGCAUUUAGGUGUGAGAUCAUCAUCUGCAUUCUGAUUUGCUGACAUAUACAUGAUCUUUCCUGCUCUGGCGGCGUAAAAAAGCUAAUGUGAUGGAAAUCAUUUGACUGCUAAUCUACAACUUCACGUCAAACAACUAUAUAAAUGGAGAGAAUCCAAAGUUGCAAAGCAAAUGAGAAUUGUAGCAGUUAAUGUAAAACUUUGAAUAUGACUAGGAAACCAAAACGAAGUCCUUCUUUCUUCAAGGUUUUGAUAGGAGACUUUGAUAACAAGCUGGUAAGUUCAUAUCCUAUUAACAGCCAUUUAUGCUUCUUAAUGGCUCUAGUUUAUGUAUAUAAUUAUUAAAUGCUGUCUUCUUUUUUUCAUUUUUUUUCAGAGAAUUCCACCAGCUUUUGUGAAGUACGUUUUGAAAGGAAAUGUGCCCACCAUGUUCACCUUGUAUUCUGACUCAGGGAAUUCAUGGCGAGUUAGAGUCAUGGUUGAAGAAGGAAGCUACUUUUUCAACAGUGGAUGGUCAAAAUUUGUGAAACAUCAUGACCUGGAAAUAGGGGAUUUUCUGGUUUUCUUUUUGGUUGAUACUUCAACGUUUGAUGUUCUCAUUUAUAAUGGAACUGCAUGUCCAAAGAACAUCAUUUUGGCUGCUAAGAAACGAAAGUGCCUACCACCUUUAGCUAAUAGACAAAUUGAAGAUACCCCAAGCCAAAAAUGUGCUUCAGUUUCCAAGAAACCAAAAGCAGUUUACCGUGGGAUAGCCUUUUCAUUUCAUUUCAUGUGAAGCCCUUCAUACCCAUCCCCUUUUUUCACUAAUCAUUUCAAUGUUUCAUGCAUGGUUUAGGUGCGAGAAGUGUUAACCAAGAGGUUGAGUCUAUAACAGAAGUAACCCGUAAGCAUGUUUCAUUUGUAAUGGUGGUGAAGAAAUACCAUAAAUACUUUGCUGUAAGAAUAACUACUUUAUUCAACGCAGUUCAUUACUUUCUACUUUAUAAAUAUUUAAAUGUUUCUUAAAUUUCAGUGUGUCCCGAGGUGUUUUGCCAAAGAAACAGGCUUGUUAAAGGAAUCCAUAACGUUGAUUAAGGGGCCAAGAGGUGGGAUGUGGCCAAUGAACACCACCGAGUGUGGAAAACAGGUUCGUUUGGGUGGCGGAUGGUCCCAGUUUCUGCAUGAAAACGAAAUAGUUGUUGGAGAUACCCUUUUGUUUGAGCACAUUCCAAGUACAGGCAAUUUAGUCCACGUACAGAUUGUUAACAAGGAUAGAUAUAGAAACCGUGGGAGACGAAACAAACAAGCAGAUGCCAGUGUGAAGAACACCAGCCCUGCUGCUAAGCGACCAAGAGUUAGGCCUUGCAAGCAAAUUGAAGAACCAUCAAGCACAGAACAUGCUCCAAGUUCCAAAAGAACCAAAGGUCUUUUAACUUAUAUAUAUAUAUAUAUUACCUUUUCAUCGCUUCAUUUCAAUCAUCCACGGUUGUUUAGGUGUAAGCAUUGGAAAUGAUGAGAUUGUAUCAGAGUUGACCCCAAAGAAGGCUUCAUUUGUAAUGGUUUUGAAGGAAUACCAGAAGUACUCUGCUGUAAGAACAACCACUUGAUUUUAAUUCUCAAUUCAAUGAUGUUUUCUUUUUCAACUUCAUUAGAUAUGUUCUCUUAAAUUUCAGGUUGUUCCAACCAGUUUUGCCAAAGAAAUGGGCUUGGCAGAGAAACCGAGCACCAUGAUAGAGAACUCAAAGGGUAAGAAGUGGCUGUUAAACACCAUAGUUGAUGCAAAAUCACAAGUUCGUCUAGGUGCAGGAUGGUCACAGUUUGUGCAAGAAAACAAGCUAGAACUUGGAGAUACUCUCUUGUUUCAGCACAUUCCCAAUACUGGUAAUGUCAUUAACUUAAAGAUUAUUUGCAAGGUUGGAGAUGGAAAUAAUAGGAAAAGAAACAAGUGAGCAAAUGUAAGUUAAAAAGUAGUAGCAUACCAUCAUUUGUAAUUUCUCUACCACUCUUUUGUAUCAAAUUGUUGAAGUGGCAACCAUGGGUUGUAUGUAUGAUCAUGUUUUUACCAGUCUCUCUUUCGCUUGGAUGGUAAGAAAAAAAAAUAGUUUGAUCAUGGAAGUGCAGGAACUCCUUUUUGUAAAUGAUCUAAUCUUUCUGUUGAAAUUGGAAACGAUUUAAGAAAGCUUCAUCAUUAUGUUUUUGUCUACACCUUACUUCCUGCUUUAGACUAAAGAUUUGAUUGCAUGUCACAUUGACAAUAAUGAAGAUUCGAUAUUUUUAAUUCAACUCUUUCCUUCUUUUUGUUUUAAUCAGUACAAUAUUUAGCUUAAUUAAUAGUGCUGGACAGAUAGAUAAGUUGUCUAUGAUUGGAGACCCUAGCCUUGUUUUGAAUGGCUAAAGACGAAGAUGAAAGACAAAUACUAACUUUGGUCAUUAAAUGAAUCAGCCCUACAGUUUUCUCGAGCCCGUAAACAAUGAAUUUAACAGGGCAAUGGCUAAUAAUGAUUACAUUUGUAUUAAUUACUCUUGAAAUAUAGGUUUACGAGCAGUUUAUUAUGAAGGUAGAUAUAUGAAAGGAUGAUGGAUGAAGUACUCAGCAAUCUCCUUAAGUUUAUGUUUAUGUUAGUCUAUUAUUUGUAGAAACGCUCAUCGUAUUGGAAACUACAUCAACCUAUUUUUCCAGAUAUUACUUCUUUUUGAGCUUGUUUUGUGUUAGUUCUAAAAGACUCAUUCUGGAGUUAUUCAAGCAUGGCUUCUUCUUCUCACCAGCAAGGCAAUAGCCAUUUAAAGUUUAUAAGCAGUUCACCUUAUUUCUUCAAAAUAAUUCUCCAAGACACUAUACAGAAUGGAAAACUUGUAAGCAUUCUCCUAACACCUGUCUUUAUCUGAUAUUUUGAUAAUCUCUGAAGUAAUUAGGUCAUAGCUGAAAAACAACAGUUUGUUCUUGGACAUUGUAUUUUGCUAUAUACAUAAGUAUUUGCAUAUAUUGCUGAAAAUUGUUCUACAGGGAAUUCCCAGAAAGUUUGUGAAAAACCAUGGAAAUAGCAUGCCAAGCCUAGCAAUGCUCAGUGUCCCGUCUGGUGCAGUAUGGAAAGUAGAGCUAACAAAAUCUGAUGGUAAAAUAUGGCUUGAAAAUGGCUGGCUAGAAUUUUUAAACCAUUACUCUUUGGACAUUGGACACCUUUUAGUUUUUAGAUAUGAUGGGACUAGCAAUUUCCAUGUAAUCAUCUUUGAUAAGAGUGCUUCAGGGAUACAAUAUCCCUUCACCAGAAAUAAUCAUAGCCGGUCCAGUGAAAUUCUGAAGCUGAAUAUCAAUGAAUCCAAAGAUGAUGACUCUAUACAGAUCCUAGAGAACAUCUCUCCAAGCAGGAAAACAAGAGAGAAAUACAAAUCGCCAUGUCCGCAGUCAAUUAGGAUGACGAGAAGUACUGAUUCAGCUAUGAAAACCGAAUGUAAUUUGAAGUCAGCUCAAUAAUUUGGACAUAAUGGAAAAGGUGAUAAAAGCACAAGUCAUCGUAGGAUUCAACGAUUGAAGGCUCAUGCAGAGGUUAAGGCUCUUGAGAGAGCUAGUAUUACUUUUAAGUCUGAAACCCCAUUUUUCCUGGUUGCCAUGUACCCAUGUCAUGAUAAAAGGUGUAGACUGGUAGGCAAUCAACUUAGUUCCCACUGGAUCCUAUGUAUGACAGAAAUGAGCAAAAUGUUUUAAGUAUUUUCUCUUCUAUUGCUUGCAAAGUUGAAGUUUGUUCUUUAAUUUUUUUAUUUCAGACCAUACCAACUGAAUUUGUCAGGGAACACUUGAUGAAAGAGCAUCGUUCUGUAACUCUUUGCAACUCUAGUGGGAAAACUUGGAUUGCUAACUUCAAGCAAAGUCAAAUAGGGAAAAACUAAUAUUCAUAUCUACAAACUGGUUGGGGUACUUUUGUACGGAAUAACAAUAUCCAAGUCAAUGAUGUUUGCGCCUUUGAGCUAAUAAAUAGCACUGAAAUAUCCUUCAAGGUAGUCAUUUACAAAGGCCAGCAUGCAAAUUGUCAUCAAAUAUUAGCUUCAGAGAUGCAAUAUCCAUACACCAGGGAUAACCAUAGUCAAUCAGACGAAAUUCUGGAGCAGAAUAUCAAGGAAUCUGAAGAUGAUGAUACUACAGAGAUCCUAGAGGUCAUCUCUCCAAGCAGGAAAAUAAGAGAGGAACUGUCGUCGCCAUGUCCUCGGUCUCAUAAGAUGAUGAUAAGUACUAACUCAGCUAUCAAAACCAAAACUGUGUGCAAUGGGAUGAAAGGUGAUAAAAGAACAAGUCAUCAUACAAUUCGACAGUUGAAAACACAAGAAAGUUUAAGGCUCUUGAGAGAGUUCGUAAUACUUUUAAAUCUGACCCUUUUUUCCUUCUGGUCAUUCAACCAUCAUAUGUUGCUCUUGGUCACACCACAAACUUUAAACUGGUAAGCAAUCAAUUGAAUUCCCACUAGAUCCCAUGUGUUUUCAUUUAUAUUGCUUGUAAAUUGAAGUUUGUUUUUCAAUGUUCUUUUGUGCAGGCCAUACCAUGCAACUUUGUCAAGGAACAUCUGAUGAAAGAGCAUUUUUCUGUAAUUCUUUGCAACUCAAGUGGGAAAACUUGGAUUGCUACGUUCAAGCAAAGAAAAAUAGGGAAAAAGCUAACUUCAUAUCUAGUAGCUGGUUGGGGUACUUUUGCAAGGGAAAAGAAUAACCAAGUAGGUGAUGUUUGUGCCUUUGAGCUGAUUAAUAAUAGCAUCGAUAUAUCCUUUAAAGUAGUCAUUUACCAAGGUCAGCAUGCAAACGGUCAUCAGUCAUUAGCUGCAACUGAUGUGUUUCAUCUGGUGAAACUGAAGGCUCCAACAUGUGCAAGUCGAAGCUCCUCAGAACCACCUGUGAAACACAAGGCUCCAUCAUAUGCAAGUCAGGGCUGCCCAGAACCAUUGACUGCUCUCGAAAAAGCUAAAGCUUUUCAAAUGGCUGGUGCUUUCAAAUCCGAAAACCCAUUCUUUGUUGUUGUCCUACAGCCAUCGUAUGUUCAUGGAAAUAAAUUGGUGAGUUUUUCAUUUGAAGCCUGCUAGCCAUCCCAUGUUCUUUUAACUCAUGCAGAUGACACAAUGCAACUUGAAAAGGCUUAAAAUGUUGAAGUAAUUAUUUUAAAACAUUUUGUUUUGCUUCAUCUCCUUUGAAUAAAUGACUGAACUGACGUGUUUGUAUGAACAGAGUGUACAAAUGAAUUUUGCUAGGAAAUAUCUCACAAUGAUGCACAAAAAAGUCAUACAUCUCCUUUCAGAUGGAAACUCAUGGCCAGUAAUAUAUGACCCGCGUUUUGAAUGGUCCUAUGUAUUCCUCUGUAAUGGAUGGCAUAGGUUUGCUGUGGAUAAUAAUUUAGAAGUUGGUGAUGCUUGUGUCUUUGAACUGACUGGGGGCAUUGAAACCUCAAUGAAGGUAAACAUUUAUAAGAAGCAGGCUAUUGAAGAUGAAAAUUUGGGCUCAUCCUUGGGUAAGUGGUAUCCAUUCCAGUACUAUAUACAGUCAUUGUCCAUGUGAUUUGUUUAUAUAUAUAUAUCUCAUCUUUGUAUUCUUAUUUUCAAAUGUUUUCCUUAGAAGUGUUUAUUUCAGGGGGUCAUCAUCUGUUAUAUACCAGAUGAUUUUUAUUAUCACCUACAAUUUACCUUGAAAGUUUUGUGUCUGAUGGGUUGAAAUUUUUUUCCAAUGUUUAUGUUUCUCAGGUAUUAUGCAACACUGACUCAUUUUUGCCAUUCCUGAGACACAAAACAUAAAAAAUACCGAUUGAUGAUGGGACCUGGCUUGUCAUUAAUGGGACCUAAUUGGUAAUAAAUUAGACCUACUGGAUAAAAGCUGGUGAAUGUGCAAGCAAGUUAAAACCCAAGGCUCUGCAUGAAACAUGAAGCUGAAGGAUGAGUCUCUUUUACUCUUUGACCAGCAAUGAAAUGCUAAAAAGCAGCAUUGGAAAAAGGAAAAAAGAAGACAGUUUUGCUCCUUUUUAGAAAUGGCUAUGGCAAUUGACAAAGCACAUCAUGCCUUAAACUUUUGUAAUUUAUCUCACACUCUUUUGUUUACUAGUUGUUGAAGAUGGCCAUGAUAGGUUGUCUGAUUGUGUUUUACCAGUCUCUCUUGUAAGGUAAGAGAAAAAAUGGUGUGACCAUGUAACUCCAGUAACCUCAUUUUGUAAAUGAUGUAAUCUUUCAGUUGAUACUGGAAAGUCCUUUAAGAAAGCUUCGUAUUAGUGCUUGACAGAUAUGUUAUCUGCUUUUAGUUGGAGAUCCUAGCCUUGUUUUCAAUGACUGAAAGAGGAAGAAGACAAAACAAAACAUAAGCUGUGAAAGCAAAUACAAACGUUGGUCAUUAAUGAACCUGCUCUAUAGUUUCCCAAUAGCCUAGAAACACUGAAUAUAACAGCCUAUAGCUGAUAGUCAUCAGUAAAAUUGUAUUAAUUACUUCUGACAGAUUGACCAUUUUGUACUUUAAGUAGAUAUGAGAAAUAAUGGAGGAUAACUUACUCAAUUAUCUCCUUUAUGUUUUUAGACAAUUAUUUGCAGAAACUCUCAUAGUAUAGUAACCCAUUCAGCAGUCCCUGGAAACCAUCAACCCGUAUUUCGAGUUAUUACUUCCUUUUAUCCGUUCAAGCAUGGCAUCUUCUUCAUACCAGCAAGGCAAUGACCAUUUAAAGUUUAUAAGCAACUCACCUCACUUUUUCAAAAUAAUUCUCCAAGACACUAUCCAGAAUGGAAAACUUGUAAGUAUUUUUCCAAAACUAUUCUUCUUUUAUCUUAUAAUUUUUUAUUAUCUGUUAAGUAAUUAGUUCAUAGCAGAAAAACAUCAGUUUGUUGUAGGACAUUGUAUUUUACUGUAUAUAUAUUUGCAUACAUUGAUAAGAGUUCCUUUUCAGGGCAUUCCCAGAAAGUUUGUGAAAAAUCAUGGAAAUAGCAUGUCAAGCCCAGCAAUGCUGAGUGUCCCAUCUGGUGAAGUAUGGAAGGUGGAACUGACGAAAUGUAAUGGCAAAAUAUGGUUUGAAAAUGGCUGGCUAGAAUUUUCAAACCAUUACUCUCUGGAGUUUGGGCAUCUUUUGGUUUUUAGAUAUGAUGGGAAUAGCAAUUUCCAUGUAGUCAUCUUUGAUAGGACUGCUACAGAGAUCCUAUAUCCAUACACCAGAUAUAAUCAUAUUCAUAGACGAUCCAAUAUUGACAAAUCCAAAGAUGAUGACUCUACACAGAACCUAGAGGACAUCUCUACAAGCAGAAAAUUGAGAGAGAAAUCACAAAUGCCAUGCCCACAGCCUUGUAAGAUGAUGCACAGUACUAAUUCAGCUAUCAAAACCGAAACCGAGUGCAAUGGGAAGUCCGAAUUCCUAGCUCAACAAAUUAGGUAUGAAGGAUGUCCAGCUAGAAAUGAUGAUAAAAGCACUAGACAUCGUAUAAUUCAACAAUUGAAGCCUCAUGAAAAGGAUGAUGCUCUUGAGAGAGCUAGUAAAACUUUCAAAUCCGAGAACCCAUUUUUCCUGGUUGUCAUGCAACCAUCAUAUGUUGGUCUCAGUCACAGUAAAGGAUAUAGACUGGUAAGCAAUCAAUUAAGUUUCCGCUAGACCAUAUGCAUGCUGUUUCAACCCAUUACUUCACUAACAUUUAAGUUUUUUCCAUUUCUGUUGCUUGAAAAGUCGAAGCUUGUUUCACAAUUUUGUUUUGUGCAGGCCAUACCAGCUAACUUUGUGAGAAAACAUUUGAUGGAAGAGCUUUGUUCUAUAACUCUUUGUAACUCAAGUGGGAAAACUUGGAUUGUUACCUUCAAGAACAAUCAAAUAGGGAAAAAGCGAACUUCAUAUCUACUGACUGGUUGGGGUACUUUUGUACAUGAUAACAAUAUCCGAGUCGGUGAUGCUUGUGCCUUCGAGCUGAUAAAUAGCAUCGAAAAAUCCUUCAAUGUAGUCAUUUACCAAGGCCCGCAUACAAAGUGUUAUCAGUCAUUAUCUUCAACUGAUAUCAUUCGUCCCAUGAAACGGAAGGAUCAGUCAUAUGCAAGUCCAAGCGGCUCAGAAACAUUGACUGCUCUCGAAAAAGCUAAAGCUUUUCAAGUAGCUAGUGCCUUCAAAUCUGAAUAUCCAUUUUUUAUUAGUGUAUUACAGCCAUCAUAUUCACGUAGAAUGGUGAGUGUUUCAAUUGAAACCUGCUAGCCAUUUCAAAGUUCUUAUAACUCCACCAUGCGGAUGAUAUAAUGCCAUGUGUGUCUUUGUAUGAACAGAAUAUACCAGUGAUAUUUGCUAGGAAAUAUCUAGCAAAGAUGCACAAAGAGGCCAUACUUCUCCUUUCAAAUGGAAAAUCAUGGCCAGUAAUAUAUUGUCAGCACAAGAUUGAAAGUACAGGGGCAAAUGCAAUAUUCGGUAGUGGUUGGCGUAGGUUUUCUCAUGAUAAUAAGUUAGAAGUCGGUGAUAGUUGUGUCUUUGAACUGAUUAUGGCUGCUGAAACCUCAAUGAAAGUAACCAUUUAUAAGAAGCAGGCUGUCAAAGACUCAUCUUUGGGUAACUAGGAUCUGUUUCAGUACUAUAUAUAUAAUCUAUAUUCAUUGUUCAUGUGAUUUGUAUAUAUAUAUAUGUUUAAUGGUUGGGUUUUGUUCUUGAAAAACAGCUGAUAAUAGUAGAGAGAAACAAGUUGAACUCCAUGAAAGCUCGGUGAUUGGAACCAAAUCUGCUUUGAUGAAUGAGAAAGAAGAUAUGUUUAAUCUGCUUCUUGAUUAUAACUGUGAUGCCUCGGGAGAAACCUUGGAUGACAUUUUGAUGUCAAAUAUCAGUUCUCCAGGUAAGGCCUUAGAAGAGGCAAGUCAAAGCUAUCAAAGCUUUACAAGAGAAUGAAGCAAUCCAAGAUACCAACCAGUCAGAUCGAUGUGUUUGAUUCGCUGAAUAGUUAUGUUGGAAUGUUUUCCUUAGUCAUGACUGUAUAACAUGCUACUGAUGCUGUCUUGAUGAACAUUUCACCUCAAUAAGGUGCAAUUUUCCUGUAAAAUUAGUUUGCUAUCACUCUUGGUUCUCAUUUUCCAUUGUAGCAUUUCGUGAAUUAGGGACCAAUUUAUUCGUUGUCGGAGAGAGCACAGCUUUGGUUGCUACUGAAAUAAACACACCAAUACGGAUGUUUUCGGAUCUAGUAGCUGAUGCCUUCAUUUCGGAUCUAGUAGCUGAUGCCUUCAUUUUGUAGGCUUGAUUUUCUCUGUUGCACUUGUUUGCCACUGGUUGGAUUCAACCAUUGCCCCUAUCACCCUGAUGAUGACAGUCCUUUAUGGCUGCUUUUGCCUCUGGGACAGGUUUUAUCAUCCAGCUGAUGUUCUCUGCUCAUUGUAUUGGAGAUAUGCUAUAGCAUUUUAUUACCCUUCUUUGUACAUACAUGUGGAGAGCGUUUUAAAGCUUCCAACCAAAGGAGGAGUGCAAUAUGACUUACAAACACUAUGAGUUUACAUUAAAGAAAUUCUAAUAUAAAUGUACUAGCGAAAUUUAUUUUUUAAAGAUAUGAAAAAAUUUAAAAAUUAAAUUUGAAAUUCAAGUAAAUAAUUUAACUUGGUCAAAUGACACUAAUAAAAAGAUUAAUUCUUUCUAAAUUAGGAGCUGAAUUCUUUCCCAAAGCACCUUGAAUUGAAACGUUUCGUUUUAGUCCAAAAAUAAGUAUGCGGUUUAUAGUGUAACUACCUUUAUCCUUUAUCAACUCUGUUUCUUUCUUAAACCCUAAACCCUCCCCUAUUCCCAGCCAAUCCCCACCCCUUAAAAUACACUAAGAAUUGGUGGGAAAAUCGUUAGAAAGCCCUAAAUUUCAUUGUCCCCGAUUUCUCAUGCAAUCCACUAUUUAUUACAAACCUUCAACUUCUCAUAAUUUCCAACUCCCAUGGAAAUCCACAAAAAAACCCUGCUUUCAAAACCUCCAGAUUGUCCUCAAAAAUUCCAACUUUGACCAAUUCGCUAAGACCCCAAAUCACGUUCGACCUUGAAGGGGGUGCAAACGAUGGGUUUCGGCCAUCUAACCCGGUCAAGCUCCCGGUAGUGAUACAGAGGCACGGAAAAGUUUCGAGGUACUUUUGGGAUGGGAGUCGUGUUAGGUUGCUUAGUGUUGAUGGCGACGGCGUUGAAGGCAGAGGUUCUCGGGUGCCGUUUUGUUUCGAUUUGGAUAAGGUGGUUGAAGCUUCAAGCUUGGCUAUUAGGAACUUUUUUAUUCCUAAGCAAGUCAGUGAAAACUAUAUAGGCUAUGUGAAGUGGAAGUUUUUGCACAGGGUUUUUAGCUCUGCCCUUCAAGUUCUUGCUACUCAGGUAAAUGGAAUAUUUAUUUUUUUUUUUUGAAUGCAAAAUUUUAAGUGGAAUUUUUCGUCUUUUUUUUUUUGGAAUUUUGAUGUUAAUGUUAUACUGUAUGGUUAUAUUAUGCAUUGGAUUUUGACAGUUUAAGGAGAAAAAAAUUAUACAUUUGCAUCUUCUCGUUGUUAGACAUUGAUUGUAAUUUUCACAAAACUGUAUUUAACUUAUUUUUGACAGAAUGUGAUGAAAACAGGCAAUGUUUCGGGCUAUAGGAAUCGGGUAUUCUCGUUCACUUACGUCAGCUGCUGCACUUAACUGGGUAUUGAAGGAUGGACUUGGACGAUUAAGCAGGUGUAUUUAUACAGCUAGUUUGGCAUCUGCUUUCGAUACCAAUUUGAAGGUAAUUGGCUCGUGCUCAUGUUAUUAUGAUUCUUCUUAAUCACAGUUUUGCGGUUACCAGUUAUCUUACUAUUUGUAGUCUUAUCUCGUUUGAAGAGUAUCUUACUAUUUGUAGUCUUAUCUCGUUUGAAGAGAGUUAGGUUUACAACCUCGAUGCUGUUCACUUUUAGCAUUGGAGUUGAACUGCUCACUCCGGUAUUUCCUCACCAAUUCUUGCUUCUCGCGUCAUUGGCCAACAUUGCAAAACAAAUGAGUUUGGCAUGCUAUAUGGCAACCAGCGUAAGGAUUCGGUGUUCAUUUAAGUGUAGCAUCUUUUAACUUUCAUCAUCUCAGUCUUGGGAUUUUUUUCACGUUAUAUGCUUUGGUGUUUUAAUGUUUUCCACCAUGAAUGAGCAGCCUCCCAUUCAUCGAAGCUUUGCAAUAGCUGAUAACCUUGCUGAAGUUUCUGCAAAGUCACAGGUUACAGUUCGUCCUUCAAAUUCAUUGCAUGGUUGAUACUUUUUGUGUGGAAAAUGCUCUGAUCUUUGGAAUUGUUUUCAGAUUCAAUCAGUAUGUUUCGAUAACCUUGGACUCAUGCUUGCUGCUAUCUUGAAUAUGUUGCUCAAGAACAAUCAAAGGUUUAUACUCUUUAAUAUCUCUACUGUUUCAAUGAUGUUGCUCAAGAAACAAUGAAUGGUUUAUACCGGUUUCACUGUUUGCUAUUUUGGACAUGCUCAUUUGUAACGGCAAUUCAGUACCAUUGAUUAGGCUCAUGCUUGUCUAAAGCCUUAUAUUAGAUGAAUUUGUUUCUACUAGUGCAUAAUUAUGCUUGAUCGUUCAACUCAUUCUAUUUGGAAAUUAAUUCCGGUUUUCUUGAUUGUCCCAAUUACGCUAGGCUGCAAACUGGACUACCUUUCAUUCUAUACCCUAUUUUCUCAGCAAUUGACCUGUUUGGAAUAUAUCAAGGUCUGAAGCAUGUCCAUCUGCAGACCUUAACUAAGGUAGAAUGUUUAUUUUGAGUACAUUUUCAGCUUUCUCAUAUUUAAGUUGUUACUCUGAAGAAAUAAAAGAAUCCACACGUAUUUGCUCUGAUACCAUUAAAAUGUGGCACCUCACACUUGACCCCUAUGGGGGAUCCAAAUGUAGGAUGUCACAUUCUGUUCCCAGAGCAACUCAGACUAUUAUCAUUCUUUUUCCUUGAGUUAAAUGGACAAGCAUGGCAUAAUCCAUAAGUUAUACAUUAUGCACGUAUAUAAGGUCAAAUGGACCCACGUAAAGUGGCCCAGGGUCUUACGAGGUCAAAACACAGAGUCAAGAUACAAAUCCAGUUAUCCAAACUCAAUCUAUCAAGAUGGAGGGUUGUCUCGAGACAGUGAAGCCAUGUCUCGAUAUAUGCCUCCCUGUUUCAAACUUGUUAUGGGGUUCUUGUCUAGAGACAAUGACCCUUAUGUCUCAAGACACCUUAUUCGAUGUUCAUUCCUUAGAGCAUGCGGACAGUUGAAAAGAGAGUUUCUGUUUUCCUGUCUUAGUCUCUGGGUUUCUUAAUUGGUUCUCUCUUUUUCUUUACCAACAUUCAGGAUAGAUUGGAAAUUAUAAUUGAUUCAUGGAUUUCAUCCGGAUAUGUACCUUCACCUGAAGAAGUGAGUAAAGAUGAAGAAAUCAAUUUUAUGUGGAGCAAAGGUAAAGGUUUUUUCAUGGUUAUGGUUUACCUUUUAUUCACCAUUUACCUGAGCUGGUAACCAUGGAUGAAACAUUUGGAUUAGGCAAAGAGCCAUUGCGCAUCAGAAUAGGGUGCUUGAAUCCCAAGGCCCAAUUAUCCAAGUUAUCGGUGAUGACAAUGCAGUCUGUAAGUAACGAGGAUCAUUAUUUCAUAUGCACGGAAAUCUUCUACCGAGGAUUAGCAAAAACUAGAGAGGCGCAUAUGCAAUGCAAUCUUUACUAGCUGUGUUUCACUAUGGUGCUUACAUGAAAAGAUCUCAUUUGUGCCUUUUGUUCCUUUUCAUUUCGUUCUUGUACGAAACUCUAGCAAGGGAUCCUUCUUUGCAUACGUGAAGGAGCUCGCAUGGCUGAUGUUAUAAUGGGAUUAUUGCAGGUGAAAGGAAUUAAGUUUCACAUGUACUCACAAGCUUAUGUUUAUUGCUGGUGGCUAAAUGUUGUGUUGUUGCAGGCUUGCAAUGUUCGCAAGGCACUCCGUUCAAGCAUGUGGGAAAGCACAACAAAGGCUAGUGAUUCCUCGGACUUAAUUCUCAAAGAAUGGUUUAAACUGAUUGAUGAUAGCAAGCGGUACGUACAGAAACAGUUCGGGCCGUUGAAUGAACAAAUGAUGGUACGAGGUUGGGCACUUAAAAAACAUUUUAUUGAACACAGAAGAGCAGACACGGUACAGUUACAUGGAUGACUGAAAAAUAAACAUUCCCUUGAAUCAAGUUGCUCUUCACAAAUCAUCGAAGAGUAUUUGGGUUCGCAUUGGUUCAAUUCUUUUUCAUUCAAGAAAAGCCAACAAUACAACCAUUUUUCACAAAAUGCUUUGUUGUAAUAUUGGACAUUUGUUCUCAUUUAAUUGUAAAUAGAAAAGGUGACCCUUAGCAGUCAUAAUAAGGUACUCUUAAGUGAUUGCUGCAAUUAGCGCAUCUUUAACAUACUUGAAGAGCCAUUAGCAAAUCACUGAACCAUGCAUUUCCAUCAUAUAUUACAAAUGAAUGUAAUGAAUUGUGUACAGAGGAAGAAACUAGACAAAGCAUUUUACAAAAAUACAUCUGGUCUCACUGUAUAAGAAAUGGAGAUUCACUAUAUAUUCCAUUAUAAUUUGUAUUCUAAUACCCUAAUAAAGCACCAUAGCAUGAGUCAUG